RNAcentral lists this long non-coding RNA (101920 nucleotides) under Triticum aestivum (bread wheat). Its description in RNAcentral is "long non-coding RNA (TAES_LNC025113)". Lineage: Eukaryota; Viridiplantae; Streptophyta; Magnoliopsida; Poales; Poaceae. The record is from RNAcentral.
CGUGGUGCUUCUUCUCCCUUCAUCUUACUCCGGGUGAAAACUUGAUCUUUGGAUCAGAUGGUGGCGACGUUCUUGCUCGUGCCCUUCCUGGAGGCACCGUCUUGGAGUCCUCAGUCCGGCGUGUCCGUCGCACAUUCUCUCGGAUGAUCACUCCUUGGUGGUGGUCUCCGUCGGCUCCUAGCGGAUCCUUUUUUGCUCAUCUUUUAGAUGCUUUGUGUCGUUGAGGUUGUGUGUCGGUGCCCGACAUUCGUGUAUCUUGCCUUGGGUCAGUGUGGCGUGCGUUUUGUAUUGGAUGCUUGAUGUUGUGGUUGUGCUUUAUAAUAUAAAGCGAGGGGGAACCCUUUUUUGUAAUUUCAACGUCCCCACACUUGAGAUCAUGGGUAGUAUAAUUCCUCUUGUGACCAUUCGCAAUCUUAUGAAAAUAAUAAGUAUUACAAUCCCCUUUGAGCAACCAGCACUCAUGGGAAUGCUGAAGCCAAUAGAUCUUCUCAUUGACCAGCAUCUCAUGCAACUCAAAAUUAACGUCCACUUUCCUACUAUACAAUUCUGGAAGAAGAGGGCCAUCCUCCUCAAGCUCUUCUAACAAUGACAACACCAAUCUAAGGUGGUGUUUGGUUCUCUAGUCCUAGGACUUUUUCUAGUCCCAAUUAAAAAGUCCCUAGUUCCUAAAAAGUCCCACCCUGUUUGUUUCCAGAGACUAAAAAGUCCCUAGUCCCUUCCUAGAGGUUAUUAAAUGACCAUGUUGCCCCUAGUAUAUAGAAAAAAACAAUCAAACAACACUAUGGGGUGGAGGGCCAAUGGGUGCAUGGAGGGGCAUUGUUGAAAAAGUCCCAAAAAGUCCCAAAAAGACUCUCCUUGAGAGUGUUCUUCAUUUAGUCCCAAAUGCCUAGUUUAGUCCCUAAAAAGUCCCUCCCGUUUGGUAAAAAGUCUCUAAGAGGGACUUUUUCUAGUCCCUACACAAAAAAGUCUCUGGAAACAAACACCCCCUAAGAUUUUCCUUUAGCUUCUUAGCAUGACCAAAUUUAUCUGAACCCCAACCUUUAAAAUAAAGGUAAUUACACCAAUGGUGUCUAAACUUGCUACCAAUAUUUAGUUUAGUGCACGAACUUGAAGAAUACACCGAUUUGGUGCAAAAACUUGGCUUUCUGAUGCAAAUACAGUCCGAAUCACGUUUUCAUACGUCCGCGCUGCUGACUAGAUGCCAGCGUGGCUGCGGGACCCAAUGUCAGCUAGUGCCAUCGCGCACAGAGGCAUGUGGCCACGCGGCUGGGUGAAAUAUCACAGAAACCCCCUUUGAUCUGUUUAUUUUUCACACAUAAGCCCCUGAGCCGGUGGGACACAGCAGCCGGCCCAUAUCCUAACAUCCCGCCUGUGUCAUGAUCUGCCUCGGGCUCUUCUCGUCGUCUCUCUCCUAGUUCGAUCGUUCGGUGCCGCCACCUGGGUGGAUCGUGACGGCACCAUUGAUCGUCGCGGGCGCGAAUGGCGGCGCCUCAUCGGCGAGCUCUCGGAGAUGCAGCUCCUCCAUAUGGUGAGAAUUGCGUCGUCUCCUCUGCCCCUCUGUCUCCUGGUUUCUAUAGGGUUUUAAAUGUAUGUAUGGCGCGACAGGAACUAGGAUCUGUAUGUCAUGGUGCUGCUGUGAUGAUUCUUAGUUGUGUUUAGGUUAUUCCCCUAAUGCACAAUGACACUUUAGGAUUUGAAACUGAUGUUUGUUCUUAGGUAAUGCGUGCGUUAGAAAGGCACCUCUUUUUUGGUAUUUGUGAUGGACAAAAAAAUGCAGAUUUGGUGACAUAGAGGAUGGUCAAUUUGAUCUUAUUAGAAAUAUGAAGUAGGUAUACUGAAAAUUUAACAGUAGCAUUACUGAACUUGAUGGCAGUAGCAUUCCUGAACUUUUUGACAGAUGCUUAACUGAAUGUUGGACGCUUAACUGAAUUGUUUGACACUUGCUUAACUGAAUUUUGACUAGUAGGUACACACUCAAUUUUGAUCAAUGACCAUGUAUGUACGUGCAUAGUGUAAGCUAGUCAGUACUUGUUGGGUGAGUUUCUGUAAGCAGCCAGCAAGCAAAGGGCAUUUGUUGCCUGGACAAUUUUGUAAGAAACAGAGCAGACAUACACACCCGUAUAUGAUGUUGCCUUCAAAUCUUUGGUACACAUUCUUUAUAUGAUGGAAGAUUAACUCCUGGCAUAUGCUUACAGAGAUCUUUGGUGUGCAUUAUGCAAUUGAGCCUUACCUUAAUUUAUCACACCCGUAGCUCACAGCUGCAGAGCCACUCAGCCUUCAGAUGUCCCUACUCUGCUCUGUAAAGACAAGAACUCGUCUGAACCACUAGGAACCUCUUCCUCCCCAUGACAGCCAUCCAUCCUGUGGCACUUUUUUCUUUUUCAUUAUCUGCGAAAGAACGGACUUUCAUUCAUUGACAUGGGGCAUAAAAUCAUCCUGAUAGACGAGCUGAAUCUCUUCCUGCCCAAACCCUAACCAUUAGUUGGUAGGCAGAAAAAAGUGGAAGGCAUUCGUACCAAAGGUUGCUCGUGUGUAUGUGUGCUCUGUUUCUUACUCUGCUAGAUCUUCCUUGUUUCUUCCAGAAAUUCCACCGAGCAACCUGUGUGCGUGUGUGAGUCUAUCUUACCAACACAGCGGGAGACUCUCUGCCAAUAAUUUGUUUGUUUUAUCAAUUUUGGGUUGUUUACUGCAAGUGUUUUAUGAAGUGAAUUCUAUGCUGUUAAGAUAGUGUUCUUACCACUUAUUUAUCCAUAUUUAUUGAUGCUAAAUGAAUUAUUAACUAAACAUCAUUCAGAAUUUGUUUACUAAGUUGUGUGUUGUAAGCUGAGGUAAGAGUGAACUAGUUACUUCUUCUUUGCAUUGCAGGUGCUUUUGAUGGUCUUUUCUGAGUUCAGAUUCAUCGCAGAGGCUUCUUUUGUGGAACUGACAGCAACAACACAUACAAGGAUUAUGAAGUUGACUGGUUUGACAACUGUGACAGUGAUACUUGGUCCAUUCUAAGGAUUGAUGAUUUUCUGCAGCAGCUAGGGUAUGACAGAAAGAGUGUAAAGCUUGAUGUGUUUUGGUGUCAGUCGGGAAAGACAUUGGGUGAUGGACUAAGAGAGAUAAAGUGUGCUUCCGACAUCCUUGCAAUGAUAGCAACAACUACAGAGCACAAGAAUUUGUUGCUGAUUGUAGACCAUGGAGAGACACUUAACAGAGUUAUGAGAGAUGACAUUAUGCUAAAUGAUAAAAAUAUCCAAGAUUAGGAAAGAAGUGUGCCAAAUGAUAGGAGGGGAAGGAGGUUAUUUGGGGAAGGAUCAUCAUCAUGUUGUGGUGACGAAGAAAUAGAGGAGGAAGGUGGAGUAGACGCAGCAACAGCAGAUUUAGAGACUGAUGAGGAUUUCUAUGAUAGUGACUUUGAUAUAGAGAUGGGGACGAUGAUUUGUUCGAGACAAACAUAGAUAAAGAAGUGGAUGAUCACAGAGAGAAGGAUACAUCAUGUGACUAUGAAGCGGAGCUAGCUGAGGAUGCUGUCAAUGAACCAUUCAUGUCUGAACUUGAUGAAAAUGCACCUAAGUUCAUCAAUGAACUUGAUCUUUUGCUUAGAGGACUAUUUUGAUUACCAGACUUGUUAUUAUUAAUGUAAUGAACAUUUGGAUGUGAUGUACCUUGAACUUAAGUAUUUGGCUGUCAUGUUAUGUACUAGACCUAUUUAUAGUGUUGCCGUCAAUAAUUUGGUACUGAAUAUCACUGUCUUGCUGUCAAACUGUAGUUGUGAUGACCACAAAAAUGUUGUCAAAAUUUGGCACUGAAUAUCACUUUCUUGCUAUCAAAAUUUAAAAUUUUUGCACCGAAUAUCAUCGUGUUGCUGUCAAAUUUUAGCUAUGAUGUUCACACAAUUGUUGUCAAAAUUUGGCACUGAAUAUCAAUUGGUGCUGUCAAAAUUUAGUUAUGAUAUACUACUGUAGUACAUGAAUCAUUCGAUUCAAAUCAUGUUUGAUGUACAGGUACAUGAAACAAUAAUUUCAAUUUGAUACAGGAGAUUGAUUUGGUACAGGAGAUUGUUGUACAUGAAAUUGACAUUAAUAUGAAACUGCAGUACAGGAAACAAAAUAUCUCGAAUUGCCAUUUUCUUUCAAUACACAGACCAAGCAUUUCAGUAGUAAAUCUCAUUGAUUUCAUCAAAAUACUAAUUUUGUCUCAACUAAACCAAAAUACAUUAAAACAAAAUGCAUCAGGACCUGACAGCCAUUGCAAACAUGAUUGCGACUAAACCAAAAUACAUUAAUAUAGCAAAACAUUAUCAUCCUAUCUCUGGAUAGCAACUGAUCUCCAUUGCAAUCAUUCUCUUCUCCAUUCUCUGCUUCUUCUUGAGAGCUUCUAUGUCACCAUCUUUCUCUUUCAGCUUCUUCUCCAGAACCUCUUUCUUGCUAGCAAGAUUAGCAAUCACAAUUCUCUCCCUUCCUUGCCAUGGUUUGUCGAUCCUGUUAAUAAACAGUUCACACACUAAUAAGAGGCUCCAGUAAUAACUGAUGUGAUCUACUCAAAUUAUCACAAACCACAGAAUUAAGAGGACCUCCUGAAUUCAGACCCAAUGUUACCUCAUACUGUCACACCAAAAACCAUGGCCCUGUGUCACACCUUCAUUGCAUACACGUCGAGCAGGCGCAUCUCUGUGCCCACACAAGUCGCCCUUGAGACAGGUGUAGGAGCGCCGUGAGUAGCAGAGGAGGACCAAUGGCCGAGCGGCGGGAGGAUGAGGAGGAACGGAGGAGGUACCUUGCGCCGUAGAGUCUGGAGGUACUGCAGCAACUGGAGCCGUGGGCAAAGGCGCACGUGCUGCCGCUGCACAAGCCGGCGGACGAGCUGUGGCAGUCGGCGGACAUGCUCCUGGACGCGCUGGCGCUGGGCACGGACGGCCUCAACGCGGCAUGCCUCGAGCACCGCGGCAGGGUGUAGGGCGUGCCGGCUGCGCAACCGGUGUGCCUGGUGAAGAACACGGUCACGGAGGAGGCCCUCGCCGCAGUCCUUUUUAUUUGCCUACUUGAGCGCGCCGCCACGGUGGAAAGGGGAUUGAGGGUCACGGCUUAUGUGCGAAAAAUAAACAGAACGAAGGGGGUUUCCAUAAUAUUUCACCCAGCCGCGCGGCCACACCCCUCUGUGCGUGAUGGCACUCGCUGACAUUGGGUCCCACGACCAUGCUGGCAUCCUGGUCAGCAGCGCGGACGUAUGCAAACGUGAUUCGAACCGUAUUUGCACCAAAGAACCAAGUUUAGGCACCAUUGCUGUAAUUACCUCUUUAAAAUAUAUCUUAAUUUUAUUGAGCUUGAUGUCAAGAACGUCAAUAGGAUCUGAGGCCUGCACAGUCCUAUUCCAGAUCUUAUCGACCAGACCUAGGAAUUCAUCGUUUUUAACACAAGACAGGUCAAAACAGAAUUCACGGGUUUUAGGUGCCUCUCUCUCUUCAUCCCCGGACGAAAGUCAUAGAGGGUUAUGGUCAGAAAUUUCAGGCACUAAUUUCCUAACAGAAACUAUAGGAAAUAGGUCCUCCUAACUAUCAGACUUGAGAUUCCUAUCAAGUUUAUGAAGCGUCUGAGAAAACAUGACCAGCCAUUCAUGUCCAGAAACAGCUAAACUAACAGAAGAAACAAGAAGCUGUAAGAGUUUUUUUCUUUCAUAAAGGGCGACUUUGUUAUCUUAGAAUGUAGCAUCAAGUGAUACAAAGCAUUGUGAGUAACACCCGGCCUGUACGUAAAUUGGACUAAGAAGCCGUAAGAGUGUGCAACCAAAUUAACACUCCAACAAUGGGUAUCCACUCCAUUCAAUCAUUCAUGCAUCUCACGCACACAAAGAAGACAAUCCGGUGACAACAAAUACUCAUCGAAGAUAUUCCCCAAAAAACUCCUGCACUAAUUCAUAAAAAAGAGCAAAUCUAGCACGUAUUCAUCGAGAUUACAAACCGCUUGUAUCUCUAGCUAGCUAUAGCUUAGAGACACCUUGCCCCGUAGCCUGCGCUCCUCAACAAUGCCUGCUUGAUCUCGUCUGUGCUUAUCACCUGCCUCUUCCCUUCCGCCUACACACCGGGCACGCCGUGAAUGGACAUUGGCGAUCGAAUUUCAUUGGCAUGCAAUGAAGGAAAACUUAGAGCUAGUAUUUCAGAAGGACUUUACUUGUGAGCACGAGGCCUGCAUGGCGAAGUCACUGAAGCAACUCACGACACACUGCUCGAUCUCCAGCCCCAGCACGUCCAGCGCGGUCACCGUCGCAAUCAGCGCUCCGGGGUUUGUCGAGCAGCAGAUCUCAAUCUUCGUGUCGCCCCCGCCUUGGUUCUCGACGUUAGCACAUAACUUGGUGGAACUCCUCGUCGGCGUCCCCUCGUUGCCACCGCUGGAGAAAUUUUUGAGCAGGUUCAGCUCCUCGGGCGUGGUGCCCAUCUCCUCCUCCACGGUUUUAAUCCGCUCGGUCAGUUCCUUGACGUAGUCUAUGGUGUCCCCGAGGGUCGCAGUCCUAUCCAUCUGCAGUUCGAUUGAUCGGUUAAUUAGAUCUACACAUGUUAAUUAAGGUCCACAACUCAUAGAUAAUUCGAUAUACAGAAAUUAAGGGCGAUGCGACAGCACACCUUGCUAAUCUUGGGCACGGUGGACCGGAGCAUGGAGAGGCGGUCGUUGAGCCGCUUCCGGCGCCGCCUUUCCGCCAUGAGGUUCUUUGACGGAGUUCCGCUUCCGGCAUUGAGCUUGCUCUCCGGGUGGGUGCCGGAGGCCGGCAUGCUUCUCAUCCCCGAGCUCUCCCCGGCCCCUCCCCCGAACACGAACGUUGACGAGCUCGCAAUAGCGUCAUGGAGGGGAAGAGUGAGCGGCGCCUUGCCGGCAGCAGCCUGGACGACCGCGGGAGGGUCAGGGAUGCAGCUCCUCCAGGGGUUGCACACUUCGCUCAGGUAGUUGAAGUCGAACUCCUGGUGCGGGUGCGGACGCACGGCCGGCGGCGAGGGCAGCAUGGGCUGCUGAAAUGGGCCACUCCUCUCCUCGGCAGUGCAGCCCUUGCCGCCGCCGUAGAAGAGGAGGUCGCUGAUCGUCAUCAUGCUGUUGCUGCCCGGGUACGGCGGCGCCGGCGCCUCCUCCCGGUGAAGCGGCAUGAGCUCCUCCAAGAAGGACUCCUCAUCAAGCGGAUCCAUCCCUUAGUUGGUGUUAUGCUACUAGCUUUAGAAUAUGAUUGCUUCCCUCGCGCUUGCUUAAUACAGCCACGUCCACAGGCCCAACUUGCAGGUUGCAGCCUUGCAGGGGGUCACGGAAGCAACAAACCCAAGCGACAAUAAUUCCGCGGCACCACCUGGCUAGUAGGUACUCUACGGCUAGUUUUGGUGUCGCCACGUACUGGUCACGCAGAAAAGGGCAGACAAAACCUGAGAAUUGAAUGGAAUCUCCCCGUUUUUAAUUAGCCAGGCCCAUCUACGUACGUUGGCAGUUUCAAUUAUCGUCAGUGUCGUUUUCGAUCGCCAGAAUUCUGGUACUGUUUCGCGGCCACGGGCUGGCGGUGAUCGAGACCCGGCGACCAAUCCCCGAUCGAGCGAGCCGUUUGAGAUCGUGGGCACGCCUAUUUGCGAGAGUCAAGGGGGGCUUAACCUUGAUCCGGUUGUGAGUUUGUGACCGGGACGUUGGCAACAAACAAAAACAGUGCGCGGGCGCAUGGAACAAAACCGAGAGCUGUCGAAUGUUGUCAUGUGUGCAGAUUAGUACCAUGUAGACUUGCUGGAGCGCUACAUUUGCUUGGAAAAUAUCAGGUGAUGUAGAGCAUGAUAACAGCUCCCGCGAGCCGAGCCGUUUGAGAUCGUGGGCACGCCUAUUUGGAGAGUCAAGGGGGGCUUGUGACCGGGACGUUGGCAACAAACAAAAACAGUGCGCGGGCGCAUGGAACAAAACCGAAAGCUGUCGAAUGUUGUCAUGUGUGCAGAUUAGUACCAUGUAGACUUGCUGGAGCGCUACAUUUGCUGGGAAAAUAUCAGGUGAUGUAGAGCAUGAUAACAGCUCACGCGAGCCGUUGUAUCUUAGAUCCAAGGCUGGCGCCUGGCGCGUUGAUCUCCUGCAAAUUCGCCGAAACCUCAAGGAGUUUGACAUUUACACGCAAGUCUAGGACCUCGGUUGGUGACCCUUGGAUUACAGAUCCAAUGGCUCGCCGGAGCUCGUAUCACCGGAUAGCCUAAGGCUCCAUAUCAUCUGAUACUCUCACAUUUGCUUAUGUCGAUCAGUCUUUGGUUGCGGGGUGAGGUGCCAUGGCACACACCGGCGGAUGUACUGCAGCAAAUCACGGGGGCACGACAGGUUGGAGGUUGCAGGGCCUACGCGUCACUUGGCAUGCAUGCAUGUUUGCGGACCAGCUAUGCAUAUGCCCACGUGACCUGGAAGCUUUGGCACGUAGCAGGUGUGCUCAACUUUGUAAACAAAGACAAACAUCACCGUCAUACUCGGUACAAAGUUAGUUCAGAAACAAAAACAUAAAAAGACAGUGCCACCAGGACAGCUUUGAAGGACAUAGUACCUAGCGUAAUGCGGCAAAGGUCUAGACUAGUUGAUUGGAGGAAGCAGGGGGUCAGUGCCGCGACUCAUGGAAAUUAUGAAGUCCAUAGGGUCGACGUCCUUGGCACUAGCAAGCAAGCUUCACUGAAGAACGAAAUUGCUCUGCACACGGCAGUGCAUGGACAAAAUCUGAACGAUGCCCACCUUGUACGGUGCUGAUUUGCAAAAUGAUGCAAUCUAAUGGAUGACUUUAUCCACUGUUCAAGAAUCAGCUGAAAACGUAUCGUCCGUAUAUCACUGCUCACUGAAGAAUGACAACCAAUUUGGACAAGUACUCAGUAGGUCUGUUGGGGAAUAAUAUAUGUUCAAUUGUACACUUGUUACAAGUAGUUACUACCGGAAGAUGGUUUUUUACCGAGUGACCGCCGGUUUGCUGAGUGCAUUAUGCUAGCUGUUGACACCAGAUUUUGGCAUGGUCGAAAAUAUAAUUAAGAAGACCUCAAAUAGAAAAGUGUUCAAAGUGAGAAAGUUCCGUAUCAUCAAAAGGAGAAACUUUGAUAUUUGAGCCAUAGUCAUCCCGUCUCAUCUCUAAGGCCGAAAUUGUGUUCGAAGUACUGGGAUUUUGUAUCCAGAACACUAUUCGGCUGAUUACGCCCCAAGAUGGCCUCAUAUGGGAAAACUUUCUACAGGAAUUGUCUUCGUCUCGUCAUAACAGUCGAUUUAGAUAUAAAAACAUCUAAAUCGUAGUUCAUAUGCAAAAGUUAGAGUCAAAACAGUGUGCUUCAAAAGUGUGCCCCAGAAGUUCCGGGCAACUUCCGAGGAGGUUCCGGGCUAAACCAAAAGUUUGCACGCAGUGCGCCCCGAAAACUGGAGUUUUAACAUUAUUUGCAGAUUUGUGGGGCUGAAUUCAACCUUAAGAUGACCUCGGAAGAAAAAGUGAUCAACUGAAGAGUUUCUCUACAUUGCAAGAUCUACAACUUUGCUUUUGGGACCAUCGUGAUCCGAAGUCGUAUGUGUUCUGCAGAUUCAGUGCAAAAGGGCUACUUGAUAUAAUUUGAGCCCAGAAGUUCCGGUCCAGACCGGAAGUUUCGGCCCUCCUAAUCCGAAUUAGGUUAACUUUUGAUAUUUUGGACUGGAUUUGAGUCCUUUUCUUGUACGAAAAGUCCAUCCGCCUCAUAUAUAUGUAAGAGUUGACGGGCUAUUGAACAACACACAAUCGAGAAAUCGAUCUAUCAUAUUUACCUUUACUUUUAUCUUCUCCCUUGUUCUUCUUCUUUCUCGUUCUUCGUUCGUUCUUCUUCUUUGCAGGGCGGCGAAUCUCGAGUCCCUAGGGGCGAUCAGGUCGACCUAGGGAAGCCCAUAGCCGCCGUGCACCCCGACGGGGUCCCUCCCGAGCAUGUGGGGUUUCGGGUCCUCAAAAGCACCAGCCGGACUGCUUGUGUACCGCGCUCCCGGACGUGAGCUGCGGUGCAUCACCCUCGGCGUUGAAGGUACAUGGUGACGUGUUCGUGUGCGAACACUGGCCACUCGAAAAACAACUACCUAAACCAAGUGAUGAAGGAAAAUACUCGGCAAAAUCGAAGCACUUGGAAAAAUUGCCUCUUCGUUGAGUGUGAGACGAAAGAAGAAAAAACUCGCAAAACUGUGGCACUCCGCAAAACCCAACUAAUUUUAUGUAAAAGGGGAGUCCAUCCCCGGUUCCAUUGCUAAAGAACGGAAUAAACAUCCAUACAACAACUCCAAAAGCAGUUCGGAAGAAAAUAACUCAAAAAACUAGAGAGCAAAAAAGUGCAACAGAAAAAAGAAAUACAUCAAACUAAGGACAAGAUCAUUGAUCACUACUUCCUGGUAAAAGCGCAUGCACGCAUAUUAACCAGGAUUUUUCUGAAUCUCCAACUCAUCUUGUAAAGUUCAAGCCUGAACUUCGAAAAAAGCACGACUGACCUUCAUUGGGUGUGCAACCGUUGGUUGUGGAGACCAACAGAGAUCCAGCUGACAGAUUGUGCUCAGGUUAGUGCCUUUUGUCCCUACUCUAGGCUUCUCUUGAGAAUGAAAUUGGGGCAUUUAUUGUCCCAAGAUGUUGAUCUGGUUACAGAUAUCGAUUCCUGAGGUAGAAGAGAUUGAGGUAGCAGAAGAGCUUCGGGCGAGUUCUUUUGAUAGAUUUUUUGGGCUUCCAGAAAACAUUGCCCCGUACCCAGCUUAUUCUCGAAGCUCAACCAAAAAUAUAUUUUUACAAGUCUUAAUGAGUAGACUUCUAAAAAAUAAAGUUGGUUGGGCUUCUAGAAUAAGCUAGGUAAGGGGCAGCUUAUUCCGGCUUAUUCUAGAAGCCAGCAAACGAACUGGCCCUUCAUCUAUCAACUCCAGCUAACAUCCAAUGGUUUCUAUAGGAGUUUUUUCACGAAACUAGUGAAGUCCUCAAAUUUCUCUUUGCUCAAUUCUGCGGACAGAACCAUACAGUACCUGGCAGUUUUCAGGUAUUCCACCAUACAUGUUUGAUAGAUAGCCAAUGGAUGUUAUUAAGAAACAUGGGGUUCCUAAACUUCUAUAUACAUCAUAUAACAGUAGAUCAAACAUAAUUAAUGGCUGAAUUCCUAUUAUUAGAAAGCUAGAACCUAGCUAUAGAUAUAUAAUCAAAAUCAACUACACACCAAAAUGUUCCCUAAUACGAGGCCAAAUGUUUUUUUGGCUACCACACAAUUAAACAUGAGUUGAAUAGAUUCAUCCCCAUCGAAAAACACACAGUUUAAGGGUUUUAUGAUGUCACUUUUCCUCAAGUUAUUCAUAGUAAUAGUUUGUUCUAUCAGAACAGCGAGAGGAAAAUAAAAAAUUUGGAUGAACCCUAGGGGUCCAAAUAGUACGAAUAUACAUAAAAUGGCCCCCCCCCUAAACUUAAUCGCAUAGUAUAGGGGGCUAGUAGAUCAUUGCCUUUUGUUCUCUAAUAGCCCAAUGAGAGAGUCUAAGUCAUGUGAAAGCUCUAAGCUUUUUGCCAUUUCUACUAACUGGUACCAUUGAUCCAUAAGCCAACUAUCAAAAUUCCUUCUGAAAGUAAGCUUAAGCUAAUGUCCAUCCCAAAUGUUACUAAUGCUUUUAAAAGUCUCACUGCAAAUAACAUAGAGUAGCCCAAAUUGGAUGGCCAAAAGGGAGGUGCCAAGCCAGGUGUCUUCCCAGAAUCGGGUUUGAGCACCAUUAUCAAUUUGCAACCUAAAACCAAAUUAAAUAGCUUUCACUAUGGACAUAACCCCUUCCAAAACCUAGAGUAAAUGGGAAGGUGAAAAAAAAUAGGUCUGAUAGUGUUGUAUUUGUGGUCUAUAAUAAUUUUCCAAUUUUUCCUCCCCACAUAGUGUAUAUCUUAACCCAAGAACCCAACCGGCACAUAUAUAUUGUCAUCUUGCAAAUUCGGAACACCUAAACUUCCUAAUUGUUUAUUCAUACAUACUAGGCACUCUAAUUUAUAGGUGAAAUUUCCUCUACCACUCAAAGUCAUUCCAAAGGAAAUGAGACAUUUGAGUGUUUAUCAUCUCUGUCACCCACAUAGGAAAUUUUAGGAAUGAGAGAAAGUAAAUUGGGAUGUUUGCAAGAUAGGCAUGUGCAAGAAUAAGUCCACAUCUAUAAGAUAAGAGUAUACCUCUCUAUCUAGCAAUCCUUUUCAUAAUAUUAUCUAUAAGAGGUUUGAUAUCUUCUCUCAGGUAUGGAAAGACACAUCUACUUUGUCCUAGUUAAUCUACGAAAUCAGCUCUCCGUUAGAUUAGUUGAUUCCCCUCCGAGAAACUCUCUUGAAGCAAGAGAGAACUAGCUUGAGAUUGGUAGCUUGCUUAAUGUCAACAUUUUAUGGAAAAUAAUAGUAUCAUCGGCAGAAAGAUGGGUAGAGCCCCAAACUUAGUUCAUGAGAUGCAGGCUUAGCUAGCCUCAUAGUAAGAACAUCAACUAAUAAUUUAAAAAGUUAUUACCCUCCACAUUGUUGGUUGUAACUCCUAUAGAGGCUCCAUGUCUAAUAGGGUGUAUCCAGUGAGACCAUUUCCACCAAAUCCCCUAGCUCAGCUAGGAAAUCAAGAAUAACCAUAACAAAGGUUUUCUUUUAUAAUCCAUCUUAAGAACUAAACAUUUAUCCUUAGAGGAAUGGAAUGAAUGUAGCACCUCAUGGGCUAUAACUACUCUUUCCGAGAUAAUUACAACUUUAAGGAAAUUAGACUCGCUAUUAGUAAUCAGUCUAUGGAGAAUUGUAGAAAUUCGGUUAGUCGGAACUAUAGUAAAAACAUUUAAAUCUACAAGUAAGCAGACUAAUAGGUCUAUUUCUUCAUGUAAGUAGCCUCAUCCUCUUCUAGGAUGAAGGCAAAGAUAGCAAAAUUAAAUCAAUAAAUGCCAAGGAGGCAUUAUGAAAAUCUUUAAAGAGAUACUAAAUCAUCCUUAACUAAAUCCCAAAAAUGUUGAUAAAAUAAGAAAGGAAUCCCAUCAAGGCCUUGAAGGAAAUAUGUCCUAGAUGCAUCAAGACCUCUCAAGCAUUCAAGGGUACACCUAUGGACCACCGGUCCGAUACAUAUUAGGAAAACCAUUAAAAAUAUCCCUAGGGUUAAUACUACCUCUAAUUAGCACGUACAUGUAGCAGCAGCCAAGCUAGAAAGAAACGGAUCUAUGUGGUUCCUCGGUUUGUUCUGUAAGUUGGGUGUCUCUUUCUACUCAUAUGUACGAGUUGUUGGAUUUUCCUGAAGAAGAAAGGUGUUAUAGCACCACAGUAGAAAGUAUUUCCCUCCAUAAAGAAUUGAUGUAUACUACACAGCUUUUCUUCAUGUAGACUUUGUUGGGCCUUGCUACCUCUUGAGCAUGUGUUGGUUUUUUCUUGAAGAGGAAAGGGUGAUGCAGCAAAGUAGCAUAAGUAUUUCCCUCAGUUUUUGAGAACCAAGGUAUCAAUCCAGUAGGAGAUAAGAGCAUCUCCACCCACGCCCCCAGGAACGCCCCCCAGGCCACUUUUUUAGCACCGGCAGCAAAAAAUCCUCCCACUCACGCCCCCAAGUCCUCGUUUUUCGCCGGAUUGAAGCAAAAACAGCGCCGGCGACCGCAGCCCACACCCAGCCUACCGGGGGGCGCUUGGGACCGCCGGCACUCCCUUUUGCAUGUCGAAACCCCACAGGUUAGCCUCUCUUCCCUCUCUCUCUCCCCGCUCGCCCACAUGCAAAAGGAAUCUCGCCCACUUUUCCUCGCUUCUCUCCCCGCUCGCCGCUCGCCUCCUCACCGCACUGCCUCGCGCCACCCCGCCGCCCGCCUACUCGCCGCUCCGGCCGCCAGAAUCGCCUCCCCGAGCCCCAGGAAGCGGAGGAGGAGGAUGAGCGGGGAGAAGCAGACACGGCGGGCGGCCACGUGGAGCGCGUCGGAGCCGGCGUGCUUGGCUCCCUUGGCGAGGAGGAGCUCCGCGAGGGCGAGCAGCAUGCUCCCGGACUCGUCCUCGGCGUGGGGCAUGGCGUCCCGGGCGCCCCCUUCCUCCUCCUCCUCCCUCCUCUCCGUCCUCAUCGACGCCGGCUACGGAGGGCGCGCACGGCAAGGCACAGGCGGGCAUGGGCGCUCCCAGGCGCCCCCUUCCUCCUCCACCCUCCUCUCCGUCCUUGUCGGCGCCGGCCACGGAGGGAGCGCGCGGCCAGGCGCGGGCGCGGCCAGGCGCCCCCCUUCCUCCUCCUUCCUCCUCCUCCCUCCUCUCCUCGCUCCUCGAACUCGCGGGUGGUGUGGCUGCUGCACAUGCUAUGGCGGGGCUCGCGCUUGCGCGGCCGUGGCAGAGCUCGCGCUCGCGUGGAGGAGGGAGCUCGAUGGAGGGAUGGCGGUACGCAGCGGCGAGGCCCGUGCCAAGGAGCAUGCGGCGGACGGUGGCGGGCGUCCUCGAUGGUGCUGGAGACGGUGUCGAGCUGCGGUGCCGCCACGCAUCCUCGAAAUGCAUCUUGGGUGGGGGCGGCUGGGAAAUUUUGCCUCCCAUAGCCAAAAAUUCCUCCGGCGCGAUCCCAAGCGGCGAAAAAAGACCUCCUGGGGGCGCCAACGAGUGGAGAUGCUCUAACACGCAAGUCACCUAGUACCUGCACAAACAAUCAAGAACCUCUCAACCAACGCGACAAAGGGGUUGUCAAUCCCUUCACGGUCACUUGCGAAAGUGAGAUCUGAUAAAGAUAGAAGAUAAAUAUUUUAGGUAUUUUAGUUGUAUAGAUUGGAAAGUAAAGAUUGCAAAAUAGUAAACGAGAUGCGAUAGGAAAAGAGAUGCAAUAUAAUAAGGAAGAGACCCGGGGGCCAUAGGUUUCACUAGUGGCUUCUCUCAUCGUAGCAAGUAUUACGGUGGGUGAACAAAUUACUGUCGAGCAAUUGAUAGAAGAGCGCAUAGUAAUGAGAAUAUCUAGGCAAUGAUUAUGAAAUAUAGGCAUCAUGUCCGUGUUAAGUAGACCGAAACGAUUCUGCAUCUACUACUAUUACUCCACACAUCGACCGCUAUCCAUCAUGCAUCUAGAGUAUUAAGUUCAUAAGUAAAGAGUAAUGCUUUAGGCAAGAUGACAUGAUGUAGAGGGAUAAACUCAAGCAAUAUGAUAUAAACCCCAUCCUUUUAUCCUCGAUGGCAACAAGAUUGAACCCAAAGCUAAGCACUUCUCCCAUUGCAAGAAAGAUCAAUCUAGUAGGCCAAACUAAACCAAUAAUUCGAAGAGACUUGCAAAUAUAUCAAAUCAUGCAUAUAAGAAUUCAGAGAAGAACCAAAUAUUGUUCAUAGAUAAACUUGAUCAUAAAUCCACAAUUCGUCGGAUCUUGGCAAAGACACCGCAAAAAGUAUUGCAUCAAAUAGAUCUCCAAGAACAUCGAGGAGAACUUUGUAUUGAGAACAAAAGAGAGAGACGAAGCCAUCUAGGUAAUAAGUAUGCACCCGAAGGUCUGUGGUAAAGUACUCACACAUCAUCGGAGAGGCUAUGGUGUUGAUGUAGAAGCCCUCUGUGAUCGAAGCCCCCUCAGGCAGAUCGCCGGAAAAGGCCCCAGAUGGGAUCUCACAGGUACAGAAAGUUGCGGCGGAGGAAAAGUGGUUUUGUGGCUCCCCCUGAUGUUUUUAGGGUAUAAGAGUAUAUAUAGGCGAACAAAGUACGUCAGUGGAGCUCCGUGGGGCCCACGAGGGUGGGGGCGCGCCUACCCCCCUGGGCGCACCCUCCUGCCUCAUGGAAGCUUCACGGAGUUCCAGACUUCCACUCCAAGUCUCCUGGUUUGUGUUUGUUCCAAGAAAUAUCCUUGCGAAGGUUUCGUUCCGUUUGAUAUUCCUUUUCUGCGAAACACUAAAAUAGGCAAAAAAAACAUAAACUGGCACUAGGCCUCCGGUUAAUAGGUUAAUCCCAAAAAGAAUAUAAAAGAGCAUAUUAAAGCCCAUUAAACAUCCAAAACAGAUAAUAUAAUAGCAUGGAACAAUAAAAAAUUAUAGAUACGUUGGAGACGUUUCAAGCAUCCCCAAGCUUAAUUCCUGCUCGUCCUCGAGUAGGUAAAUGAUAAAAACAGAAUUUUUGAUGUGGAAUGCUACCUAACAUAAUUUUAAAUGUAGUUUUCUUUAUUGUGGCAUGAAUGUUUAGAUCCGAGAGAUUCAAGACAAAAGUUUAAUAUUGACAUAAAAAUAAUAAUACUUCAAGCAUACUAACCAAGAAAUUAUGUCUUCUCAAAAUAACAUAGCCAAAGAAAGCUCAUCCCUAAAAAUCAUAUAGUUUGGCCAUGCUUCAUUUCUGUCACACAAAAUGCUCCCAUCAUGCACAACCCCGAUGACAAGCCAAGCAAUUGUUUCAUACUUCGCCUUUUCGAAUUCUUUCAAAUUUUACGCAAUAUAUGAGCGCGAGCCAUGGACAUAGCACUAUAGAUGGAAUAGAAUGGUGGUUGUGGAGAAGACAAAGGGAGGAAGAUAGUCUCACAUCAACUAGGUGUAUCAAUGGACUAUGGAGAUUCCCAUCAAUAGAUAUUAAUGUGAGUGAGUAGGUAUUGCCAUGCAACGGAUGCACGAGAGCUAUAAGUGUAUGAAAGCUAAACAAAAGUAACUAAGUGGGUGUGCAUGUAACUUGCUUGCUCACGAAGACCUAGGGCAAUUUGAGGAAGCCCAUCAUUGGAACAUACAAGCCAAAUUCUAUAAUGAAAAAUUCCCACUAGUAUAUGAAAGUGACAACAUAAGAGACUCUCUAUCAUGAAGAUCAUGGUGCUACUUUGAAGCACAAGUGUGGAAAAAGGAUAGUAACAUUUCCCCUUCUCUCUUUUUCUCUCGUUUUUUGUUGGGCCUUCUUCUCUUUUUUUGUUUUUCGUCCAGAGUCUCACCCCGAUUUGUGGGGGAAUCAUAGUCUCCAUCAUCCUUUCCUCACAUGGGACAAUGCUCUAAUAAUGAAGAUCGUCACACUUUUAUUUACUUACAACUCAAGAAUUACAACUCGAUACUUAGAACAAAAUAUGACUCUAUGUGAAUGCCUCCGGCGGUGUACCGGGAUGUGCAAUGAAUCAAGAGUGACAUGUAUAAUAAAAUUAUGAAUGGUGGCCAUGCCACAAAUACGAUUUCAACUACAUGAUCAUGCAAAGCAAUAUGACUAUGAUGAAGCGUGUCAUAAUAAAUGGAACGGUGGAAAGUUGCAUGGCAAUAUAUCUCAAAAUGGCUAUGGAAAUGCCAUAAUAGGUAGGUACGAUGGUUGUUUUUAGGAAGGUAAAUGAUGGGUUUAUGGUACCGGCGAAAGUGGCGUGGCACAAGAGAGGCUAGCAAUGGUGGAAGGGUGAGAGAGCGUAUAAUCCAUGGACUCAACAUUAGUCAUAACGAACUCACAUACUUAUUGCAAAAAUCUACAAGUCAUCAAAACCAAGCACUACGCGCAUGCUCCUAGGGGAUAGAUGUUGGGGAACGUAGUAAUUUCAAAAAAUUUCCUACGCACACGCAAGAUCAUGGUGAUGCAUAGCAACGACAGGGGAGAGUGUUGUCUACGUACCCUCGUAGACAGCAACGAAAGCGUUGACGCAACGUAGAGGAAGUAGUCGUACGUCUUCCCGAUCCGACCGGUCCAAGCACCGUUACUCCGGCACCUCCAAGCUCUUAGCACACGUACAGCUCGAUGACGCUCCCCGGGCUCCGAUCCAGCAAAGCUUCGGGGAUGAGUUCCGUCAGCACAACGGCGUGGUGACGAUGAUGAUGUUCUACCGACGCAGGGCUUCGCCUAAGCACUACAAAGAUAUGAUCGAGGUGGAAUAUGGUGGCAGGGGGCACCGCACACAGCUAAGGAACGAUCACGUGGAUCAACUUGUGUCUCCUAGGGUGCCCCCUUGCCUCCGUAUAUAAAGGAUCCAAGGGGGGGGGGUGCGGCCGGCCCUAUGGAGGCGCGCAGGAGGAGUCCUACUCCUACCGGGAGUAGGACUCCCCUCCCCUUUUCCUUGUCCAAGUAGGAGAGGUGGAGGGAGAAUAGGAAAGGGGGGGCGCCUCCCCUCCCUCCUUGUCCAAUUCGGACUAGGGGGAGAGGGGGCGCGCAGCCUGCCCUGGCAGCCCCUUCCUCUUCUCCACAUUAGGCCCAUGAGGCCCAUUAACCCCCCGGGGGGUUCUGGUAACCCCCCGGUGCUCCAGUUUUAUCCGAUACUAAUCCGGAACGCUUGUGGUGUCCGAAUAUAGUCAUCCAAUAUAUCAAUCUUUAUGUCUCGACCAUUUCGAGACUCCUCGUCAUGUCCGUGAUCACAUCCGGGACUCCGAACUAACUUCGGUACAUCAAAAUGCAUAAACUCAUAAUAACUGUCAUCGUAACGUUAAGCGUGCGGACCCUACGGUUCGAGAAUAAUGUAGACAUAGAAAUAUCUCCGGUCAAUAACCAAUAGCGGGACCUGGAUGCCCAUAUUGGCUCCUACAUAUUCUACGAAGAUCUUUAUCAGUCAGACCACAUAACAACAUACGUUGUUCCCUUUGUCAUCGGUAUGUUACUUGCCCGAGAUUCGAUCGUCGGUAUCCAAUACCUAGUUCAAUCUCGUUACCGGCAAGUCUCUUUACUCGUUCCUUAAUACAUCAUAUCGCAACUAACUCAUUAGUUGCAAUGCUUGCAAGGCUUAUGUGACGUGCAUUACCGAGAGGGCCCAGAGAUACCUCUCCGACAAUCGGAGUGACAAAUCCUAAUCUCGAAAUACGCCAAGCCAACAUCUACCUUUGGAGACACCUGUAGAGCUCCUUUAUAAUCACCCAUUUAUGUUGUGACGUUUCGUAGCACACAAAGUGUUCCUCCGGCAAACGGGAGUUGCAUAAUCUCAUAGUCAUAGGAACAUGUAUAAGUUAUGAAGAAAGCAAUAGCAACAUACUAAACGAUCUGGUGCUAAGCUAAUGGAAUGGGUCAUGUCAAUCAGAUCAUUCAUCUAAUGAUGUGAUCUCGUUAAUCAAAUAACAACUCUGUGUUCAUGGUUAGGAAACAUAGCCAUCUUUGAUUAAUGAGCUAGUCAAGUAGAGGCAUACUAGUGACACUAAGUUUGUCUAUGUAUUCACACAUGUAUUAUGUUUCCGGUUAAUACAAUUCUAGCAUGAAUAAUAAACAUUUAUCAUGAUAUAAGGAAAUAAAUAAUAACUUUAUUAUUGCCUCUAAGGCAUAUUUCCUUCAGUCUCCCACUUGCACUAGAGUCAAUAAUCUAGUUCACAUCGCCAUGUGAUUCAACACUAAUAGUUCGCAUCACCAUGUGAUUAACACCCAUAGUUCACAUUGUCAUGUGACCUAUACUCAAAGGGUUUACUAGAGUCAGUAAUCUAGUUCACAUCGUUUAUGUGAUUAACACCCAAAGAGUACUAAGGUGUGAUCAUGUUUUGCUUGUGAGAUAAUUUUUAGUCAACAGGUCUGUCACAUACAGAUCCGUAAGUAUUUUGCGAAUUCUAUGUCUACAAUGCUCUGCAUGGAGCUACUCUAGCUAAUUGCUCCCACUUUCAAUAUGUAUCUAGAUCGAGACUUAGAGUCAUCCAGAUCUGUGUCAAAACUUGCAUCGACGUAACCUUUUACGACGAACCUUUUUGUUCACCUCCAUAAUUGAGAAAUAUUUCCUUAUUCCACUAAGGAUAAUUUUGACCGCUGUCCAGUGAUCUACUCUUAGAUCACUAUUGUACUCCCUUGCUUAACACAGUGUAGGGUAUACAAUAGGUAUGGUACACAGCAUGGCAUACUUUAUAGAACCUAUGGCCAAGGCAUAGGGAAUGACUUUCAUUCUCUUUCUAUCUUCUGCCGUGGUCGGGCUUUGAGUCUUACUCAACUUCACACCUUGUAAUACAGGCAAGAACUCUUUCUUUGACUGCUCCAUUUUGAACUACUUCAAAAUCUUGUCAAGGUAUGUACUCAUUGAAAAAACUUAUCAAGCGUUUUGAUCUAUCUCUAUAGAUCUUGGAGCUCAAUAUGUAAGCAGCUUCACCGAAGUCUUUCUUUGAAAAACUCCUUUUCAAACACUCCUUUAUGCUUUACAAAAUAAUUCUACGUUAUUUCCGAUCAACAAUAUGUCAUUUACAUAUACUUAUCAGAAAUGAUGUAGUGCUCCCACUCACUUUCUUGUAAAUACAGGCUUCACCGCAAGUCUGUAUAAAACUAUAUGCUUUGAUCAACUCAUCAAAGCAUAUAUUCCAACUCCGAGAUGCUUGCACCAGUUCACAGAUGGAUCGCUGGAGCUUGCACAUUUUGUUAGCAUCUUUCGGAUUGACAAAACCUUCUGGUUGCAUCAUAUACAACUCUUCUUUAAUAAAUCCAUUAAGGAAUGCAGUUUUGUUUAUCCAUUUGCCAAAUUUCAUAAAAUGCGGCAAUUACUAACAUGAUUCGGACAGACUCAAGCAUAGAUACGAGUGAGAAGCUCUCAUCGUGGUCCACACCAUGAACUUGUCGAAAAACCUUUUGCGACAAUUCUAGCUUUGUAGAUAGUAACACUACUAUCAGCGUCCGUCUUCCUCUUGAAGAUCCAUUUAUUCUCAAUUGCUUGCCGAUCAUCGGGCAAGUCAACCAAAGUCCAAACUUUGUUCUCAUACAUGGAUCAUAUCUCAGAUUUCAUGGCCUCAAACCAUUUCGCGGAAUCUGGGCUCAUCAUCACUUCCUCAUAGUUCGUAGGUUCGUCAUGGUCAAGUAACAUGACCUCCAGAACAGGAUUACCGUACCACUCUGGUGCGGAUCUCACUCUGGUUUACCUACGAGAUUCGGUAGUAACUUGAUCUGAGGUUACAUGAUCAUCAUCAUUAGCUUCCUCUCUAAUUGGUGUAGUAGUCACAAGAAUAGAUUUUUGUGAUGAACUACUUUCCAAUAAGGGAGAAGGUACAAUUACCUUAUCAAGUUUUGUACUUUCCUCCCACUCACUUCUUUCGAGAGAAACUCCUUCUCUGGAAAGGAUCCAUUCUUGGCAACGAAUUUGCCUUCGGAUCUGUGAUAGAAGGUGUACCCAACAGUUUCCUUUGGGUAUCCUAUGAACACAUAUUUCUCCGAUUUGGUUUUGAGCUUAUCAGGAUGAAACCUUUUCAUAUAAGCAUCACAAUCCCAAACUUUAAGAAACGACAACUUUGGUUUCUUGCCAAACCACAUUUCAGAUAGUGUCGUCUCAACGGACAUAGAUGGUGCCCUUUUAAACGUGAAUGCAGCUGUCUUUAAUGCAUAACCCCAAAACGAUAGUGGUAAAUCGGUAAGAAACAUCAUAGGUCGCACCAUAUUUAAUAAAGCAUGGUUAUGACGUUCGGACACACCAUUACAUGGUGGUGUUCCAGGUGGCGUGAGUAGUGAAACUAUUUCACAUUGUUUUUAACUGAAGACCAAACUCGUAACUCAAAUAUUUGUCUCUGCGAUCAGAUCGUAUAAACUUUAUUUUCUUGUCACGAUGAUUUUCCACUUCACUCUGAAAUUCUUUGAACUUUUCAAAUGUUUCAGACUUAUGUUUCAUCAAGUAGAUAUACCCAUAUCUGCUCAAAUCAUCUGUGAAGUUCAGAAAAUAAUGAUACUUGCCGUGAGCCUUAACAUUCAUCGGACCGCAUACAUCAGUAUGUAUUAUAUCCAAUAAGUCAGUUGCUCGCUCCGGAGAACGGAGUCUUAGUCAUCUUGCCCAUGAGGCAUGGUUCGCAAGCAUCAACUGAUCCAUAAUCAAGUGAUUCUAAAAGCCCAUCAGCAUGGAGUGUCUUCAUGCGCUUUACACCAAUAUGACCUAAACGGUAGUGCCACAAAUAAUUUGCACUAUCAUUAUUAACAUUGCAUCUUUUGGUUUCAAUAUUAUGAUUAUGUGUAUCACUACGAUGGAGAUCCAACGAACUAUUUUCAUUGGGUGUGUAACCAUAUAAGGUUUUAUUCAUGUAAACAGAACAACAAUUUAUUCUCUUGCUUAAAUGAAUAACCGUAUUACAAUAAACAUGAUCAAAUCAUAUUCAUGCUCAACGCAAACACCAAAUAACAUUUAUUUAGGUUCAACACUAAUCCCGAAAUUAUAGGGAGUGUGCGAUGAUGAUCAUAUCAAUCUUGGAACCACUUCCAACACACAUCGUCACUUCACCCUUAACUAGUCUCUGUUUAUUCUGCAACUCCCGUUUCGAGUUAGUAAUCUUAGCAACUGAACUAGUAUCAAAUACUUAGGGGUUGCUAUAAACACUAGUAAAGUACACAUCAAUAGCAUGUAUAUCAAAUAUACUUAUGUUCACUUUGCCAUCCUUCUUAUCUGUCAAUCACUUGGGGUAGUUCCGCUUCCAGUGACCAGUCCCUUUGCAGUAGAAGCACUUAGUCUCAGGCUUAGGACCAGACUUGGGCUUCUUCACUUGAGCAGCAACUUGCUUGCUGUUCUUCUUGAAGUUCCCCUUCUUUCCUUUGCCCUUUUCUUGAAACUAGUGGUCUUGUUAACAAUCAACACUUGAUGUUUUUCUUGAUUUCUACCUUCGUUGAUUUCAGUAUCACGAAGAGCUUGGGAGUUGUUUCCGUUAUCCCUUGCAUAUUAUAGUUCAUCACGAAGUUCUACUAACUUGGUGAUGGUGACUAGAGAAUUCUGUCAAUCACUAUCUUAUCUGGAAGAUUAACUCCCACUUGAUUCAAGCGAUUGUAGUACCCAGACAAUCUGAGCACAUGCUCACUAGUUGAGCGAUUCUCCUCCAUGUUUUAGCUAUAGAACUUGUUAGAGACUUCAUAUCUCUCAACUCGGGUAUUUGCUUGAAAUAUUAACUUCAACUCCUGGAACAUCUCAUAUGGUCCAUGACGUUCAAAACGUCUUUGAAGUCCCGAUUCUAAGCCGUUAAGCAUGGUGCACUAAACUAUCAAGUAGUCAUCAUAUUGAGCUAGCCAAACGUUCAUAACGUCUGCAUCUGCUCCUGCAAUAGGUCUGUCACCUAGCGGUGCAUCAAGGACAUAAUUCUUCUUUGCAGCAAUGAGGAUAAACCUCAGAUCAUGGAUCCAAUCCACAUCAUUGAUACUAACAUCUUUCAACACAAUUUUUCUCUAGGAACAUAUCAAAAUAAACAUAUGAAAGCAACAAUGUGAGCCAUUGAUCUACAACAUAGAUAUGCUAAUACUACCAGGACUAAGUUCAUGAUAAAUUAAAGUUCAAUUAAUCAUAUUACUUAAGAAAUCCCACAUAGAUAGACAUCCCUCUAAUCCUCUAAGUGAUCAUGUGAUCCAAAUCAACUAAACCAUGUCCGAUCAUCACGUGAGAUGGAGUAGUUUCAUUGGUGAACAUCACUAUGUUGAUCAUAUCUACUAUAUGAUUCACGCUCGACCUUUCGGUCUCCGUGUUCCGAGGCCAUAUCUGUAUAUGCUUGGCUCGUCAAGUAUAACCUGAGUAUUCCGCGUGUGCAACUGUUUUGCACCCGUUCUAUUUGAACGUAGAGCCUAUCACACCCGAUCAUCACGUGGUGUCUCAGCCCGAAGAACUUUCACAACGGUGCAUACUCAGGGAGAACACUUCUUGAUAAUUAGUGAGAGAACAUCUUAUAAUGCUACCGUCAAUCAAAGCAAGAUAAGAUGCAUAAAAGAUAAACAUCACAUGCAAUCAAUAUAAGUGAUAUGAUAUGGCCAUCAUCAUCUUGUGCCUGUGAUCUCCAUCUUCGAAGCACCGUCAUGAUCACCAUCGUCACCGGCACGACACCUUGAUCUCCAUCGUAGCAUCGUUGUCGUCUCGCCAAUCUUAUGCUUCCACGACUAUCGCUACCGCUUAGUGAUAAAGUAAAUCAUUACAUCGCGAUUGCAUUGCAUACAAUAGAGCGACAACCAUAUGGCUCCUGCCAGUUGCCGAUAAUUCGGUAAAACAUGAUCAUCUCAUACAAUAAUAUUUAGCAUCAUGUCUUGACCAUAUCACAUCACAACAUGCCCUGCAAAAACAAGUUAGACGUCCUCUACUUUGUUGUUGCAAGUUUUACGUGGCUGCUACGGGCUUAAGCAAGAACAAAUCUCACCUACGCAUCAAAACCACAAUGAUAGUUUGUCAAGUUGAUGCCAUUUUAACCUUCGCAAGGACCGUGCGUAGCCACACUCGGUUCAACUAAAGUUGGAGAAACAGUCACCCGCAAGCCACCUCUGUGCAAAGCACGUCGGGAGAACCGGUCUCGCGUAAGCGUACGCGUAAUGUUGGUCCGGGCCGCUUCAUCCAACAAUACCGCCGAACAAAAGUAUGACAUGCUGGUAGGCAGUAUGACUUAUAUCGCCCACAACUCACUUGUGUUCUACUCGUGCAUAUAACAUCAAACCAGAAAACCUAGGCCCGGAUGCCACUAUUGGGGAACGUAGUAAUUUCAAAAAAUUUCCUACGCACACGCAAGAUCAUGGUGAUGCAUAGCAAGGAGAGGGGAGAGUGUUGUCUACGUACCCUCGUAGACUGCAACGGAAGCGUUGACGCAACAUAGAGGAAGUAGUCGUACGUCUUCCCGAUCCGACCGAUCCAAGUACCAUUACUCCGGCACCUCCGAUUUCUUAGCACACGUACAGCUCGAUGACGCUCCCCGGGCUCCGAUCCAGCAAAGCUUCGGGGAUGAGUUCCAUCAGCACAACGGCGUGGUGACGAUGAUGAUGUUCUACCGACGCAGGGCUUCGCCUAAGCACUACAACGAUAUGAUUGAGGUGGAAUAUGGUGGCAGGGGGCACCGCACACGGCUAAGGAACGAUCACGUGGAUCAACUUGUGUCUCCUAGGGUGCCCCCUUGCCUCCGUAUAUAAAGGAUCCAAGGGGGGGGGGGGUGCGGCCGGCCCUAUGGAGGCGCGCAGGAGGAGUCCUACUCCUACCGGGAGUCGGAGUAGGACUCCCCUCCCCUUUUCCUUGUCCAAGUAGGAGAGGUGGAGGGAGAAUAGGAAAGGGGGGGCGCCGCCCCUCCGUCCUUGUCCAAUUCGGACUAGAGGGAGAGGGGGUGCGCGGCCUGCCCUGGCAGCCCCUUCCUCUUCUCCACAUUAGGCCCAUGAGGCCCAUUAACCCACCGGGGGGUUCCGGUAACCCCCCGAUGCUUCGGUUUUAUCCGAUACUAAUCCGGAACGCUUCCGGUGUCCGAAUAUAUUCAUCCAAUAUAUCAAUCUUUAUGUCUUGACCAUUUCGAGACUCCUCGUCAUGUCCGUGAUCACAUCCGGGACUCUGAACUAACUUCGGUACAUCAAAAUGCAUAAACUCAUAAUAACUGUCAUCGUAACGUUAAGCGUGCGGACCCUACGGUUCGAGAACAAUGUAGACAUGACUGAGACAUAUCUCUGGUCAAUAACCAAUAGCAGGACAUCGAUGCCCAUAUUGGCUCCUACAUAUUCUACAAAGAUCUUUAUCGGUCAGACCGCAUAACAACAUACGUUGUUCCCUUUGUCAUUGGUAUGUUACUUGCCCGAGAUUCGAUCGUCGGUAUCCAAUACCUAGUUCAAUCUCGUUACCGGCAAGUCUCUUUACUCAUUCCGUAAUACAUCAUAUCGCAACUAACUCAUUAGUUGCAAUGCUUGCAAGGCUUAUGUGAUGUGCAUUACCGAGAGGGCCCAGACAUACCUCUUCGACAAUCGGAGUGACAAAUCCUAAUCUCGAAAUACGCCAACCCAACAUCUACCUUUGGAGACACCUGUAGAGCUCCUUUAUAAUCACCCAUUUACGUUCUGACGUUUGGUAGCACACAAAGUGUUCCUCCGGCAAACGGGAGUUGCAUAAUCUCAUAGUCAUAGGAACAUGUAUAAGUUAUGAAGAAAGCAAUAGCAACAUACUAAACGAUCGGGUGCUAAGCUAAUGGAAUGGGUCAUGUCAAUCAGAUCAUUCAUCUAAUGAUGUGAUCCCGUUAAUCAAAUAACAACUCUUUGUUCAUGGUUAGGAAACAUAACCAUCUUUGAUUAACGAGCUAGUCAAGUAGAGGCAUACUAGUGACACUAAGUUUGUCUAUGUAUUCACACAUGUAUUAUGUUUCCGGUUAAUACAAUUCUAGCAUGAAUAAUAAACAUUUAUCAUGAUAUAAGGAAAUAAAUAAUAACUUUAUUAUUGCCUCUAGGGCAUAUUUCCUUCAGUAGAUUGGUAGGAAAAGACCAUCACUUAUCCCCGACCGCCACUCAUAAGGAAGGCACUCAAAGAACACCUCCUGCUUCAAAUUUGUCACACAAUGGUUACCAUACGUGCAUGCUACAGGACUUGCAAACCUCAACACAAGUAUUUCUCAAUUUCAAAAUUACUCAACUAGCGCGACUCUAAUAUCACCAUCUUUAUAUCUCAAAAUAAUUAUCUAGUAUCAAACUUCUCAUAGUUUUUAAUGCACUCUAUAUGAAAGUUUUUAAUAUACCCAUAUUGGAUGCCCAUCAUAUUUGGACUAAUUUUAUAACCAAACCAAUUACCAUGCUGUUCUAAAAGACUCUCAAAAUAAUAUAAGUGAAGCAUGAGAGAUCAAUAAUUUCUAUAAAAUAAAACCACCACCAUGCUCUAAAAAGAUAUAAGUGAAGCACUAGAGCAAAAUUAUCUAGCUCAAAAGAUAUAAGUGAAGCACAUAGAGUAUUCUAAUAAAUUCCGAUUCAUGCGUGUCUCUCCCAAAAGGUGUGUACAACAAGGAUGAUUGUGGUAAACUAAAAAGCGAAGACUCAAAUCAUACAAGAUGCUCCAAGCAAAACACAUAUCAUGUGGUGAAUAAAAAUAUAGCCUCAAUUAAAGUUACUUAUAGACGAAAACGGAAGAGGGGAUGCCUUUCGGGGCAUCCCCAAGCUUAGGCUUUUGGUUGUCCGUGAAUUUUACCUUAGGGUGCCAUUGGAAUCCCCAAGCUUAGGCUCUUUCCACUCCUUGUUCCAAAAUCCAUCAAAUGUUCACCCAAAAACUUGAAAACUUCACAACACAAAACUCAACAGAAAAUCUCAUGAGCUCCGUUAGUAUAUGAAAGAAAACCACCACUUUAAUAUGCUAUAAUUAACUUAUUAUUUAUUUAUAUUGGUGUUAAACCUACUAUAUUGCAACUUCUCUAUGGUUCAUACCCCCCAAUACUAGCCAUAGAUUCAUCAAAAUAAGCAAACAACACACGAAAAACAGAAUCUGUCAAAAACAGAACAGUCUGUAGCAAUCUUGAGGUUUCGAAUACUUCUGUAACUCCAAAAACUCUGAAAAAUUAGGAAUACAUAAAUAAUUUGUAUAUUGAUCUACCGCAGUUGGAAUUGGUAUUUUAUCGCUCUCUUCUGAAAAAUGAAAAUUAUUUUUGUGAGCGCAUACUUUCUGUUUUUAUCAGCAAGAUCAAGCAACAAUCACCCAAGAAGAUCCUAAAGGCUUUACUUGGCACAAACACUAAUUAAAACAUAAAAACACAAUCAUAACAGAGGCUAGAUAAAUUAUUUAUUACUAAACAGGAACAAAAAGUAAAGAAAAAAUAAAAUUGGGUUGCCUCCCAACAAGCGCUAUCGUUUAACGCCCCUAGCUAGGCAUUGACAAUUUCGAUGAUGCUCACAUGAAAGACAAGAAUUGAAGCACAAAGAGAGCAUCAUAUAGAAUGUGAAAAAUACAUAUAAGUCUAACAUACUUCCUAUGCAUAGACAUAUUAUAGGCAAACAAAUUAUCAUAGCAAACAAAAACUAGCAUAUGCAAGGAAGAGGAAAGAGACAAUAGCAAUCUCAACAUAACGAGAGGUAAUUUAGUGACAUGAAAAUUUCUACAAUCAUAUUUUCCUCUCUCAUAAUAAUUACAUGUAGGAUCAUAAUCAAUUUCAACAAUAUAACUAUCACAUAAAAUUUUCUCUUCAUGAUCCAUAUGCAUGCAAAGUUUACACACUUCUGAAAUAGUGGGAUUAUCAUAAAAUAAAGUCAUGACCUCUCCGAACCCACUUUUAUCAAAAACUUCAUAAGAUUGAACAUUAUCCAAAUAUGUGGGAUCUAAAGUUGACACUCUUCCAAACCCACUCUCAAUAUUAUUGCAAACAUUGUUAUCAAUCUCAUAUUCAUCAUGGGGCUUAAACAAAAUUUCAAGAUCGUAAGAAAAAUCACCCCAAUCAUGAUCAUUGCAACAAGUAGUAGACAUAGAAAAAUUAGCAUCCCCAAGCUUAGGGUUUUGCAUAUCAUUAACACAAUUGACAUUAAUAGAAUUUAUAAUAACAUCAUUGCAAUCAUGCUUUUCAUUCAAGGAGCUACCGUGAAUCACUUUAUAAUUUUCUUCUUUCAACACUUCAUCACAAUUUUCAGAUUCACGAAUUUCAAGCAAAACCUCAUAAAGAUAAUCUAGUGCACUCAACUCACUAGAAAUCGGUUCAUCAUAAUUGGGUCUUUUAAAAAGAUUAGCAAGAGGAUGAUGAUCCAUAACAAUAGAUAUUUAGCAAGCAAAGAUGCAAGCUAAUAGAAAGCACAUGGUAACACGAGCGAACAGAAGGACGAACGGAAGAAGGGUGAAUAAAACGGCAAAGGUGAAGUGGGGGAGAGGAAAACGAGAGGCGAAUGGCAAAUAAUGUAAUGCGAGGGAGUAGAGUUUGUGAUGGGUACUUGGUAUGUAUUGACUUGAGCGUAGAUCUCCCCGGCAACGGCGCCAGAAUUCCUUCUUGCUAUCUCUUGAGCAUGUGUUGGUUUUCCCUUGAAUAGGAAAGCAUGAUGCAGCAAAGUAGCGUAAGUAUUUCCCUCAGUUUUUGAGAACCAAGGUAUAAAUACAGUAGGAGAUAACACGCAAGUCACCUAGUAUGUGCACAAACAAUCAAGAACCUCGCAACCAAUGCGACAAACGGGUUGUCAAUCCCUUCACGGUCACUUGCGAAAGUGAGAUCUGAUAAAGAUAGUAAGAUAAAUAUUUUAGGUAUUUUUGUUGUAUAGAUUGGAAAGUAACAUUGCGAAAUAGUAAAGGAGAUGCGACAAUAAAAGAGAUGCAAUAUAAUAAGGAAGAGACCCGGGGCCAUAUGUUUCACUAGUGGCUUCUCUCAUCAUAGCAAGUAUUACGGUGGGUGAACAAAUUACUUCCAAGCAAUUGAUAGAAGAGCGCAUAGUUAUGAGAAUAUCUAGGCAAUGAUUAUGAAAUAUAGGCAUCAUUUGCAUGUUAAGUAGACCAAAACGAUUAUGCAUCUACUACUAUUACUCCACACAUCGACCGCUAUCCAACAUGCAUCUAGAGUAUUAAGUUCAUAAGAACAGAGUAAUGCUUUAGGCAAGAUGACAUGAUGUAGAGGGAUAAACUCAAGCAAUAUGAUAUAAACCCCAUCUUUUUAUCCUCGAUGGCAAUGAUACAAUACGUGCCUUGCUGCCACUACUGUCACUGGGAAAGGACACCGCAAGAUUGAACCCAAAGCUAAGCACUUCUCCCAUUGCAAGAAAGAUCAAUCUAGUAGGCCAAACUAAACCGAUAAUUCGAAGAGACUUGCAAAGAUAUCAAAUCAUGCAUAUAAGAAUUCAGAGAAGAACCAAAUAUUGUUCAUAGAUAAACUUGAUCAUAAAUCCACAAUUCAUCGGAUCUCGGCAAACACACCGCAAAAAGUAUUACAUCGAAUAGAUCUCCAAGAACAUCGAGGAGAACUUUGUAUUGAGAACCAAAGAGAUAGAAGAAGCCAUCUAGCUAAUAAGUAUGGACCCGAAGGUCUGUGGUAAAGUACUCACACAUCAUGGGAGAGGCUAUGGUGUUGAUGUAGAAGCCCUCGAUGAUCAAAUCCCCCUCCGGCAGAUUGCCGGAAAAGGCCCCAGAUGGGAUCUCACGGGUACAGAAAGUUGCGGCGGUGGAAAAGUGGUUUCGUGGCUCCCCUAAUGUUUUUAGGGAAAUAUGCCCUAGAGGCAAUAAUAAAGUUUUUAUUUAUAUUUACUUAUAUCAUGAUAAAUGUUUAUUAUUCAUGCUAGAUCUCUAUUAAACCAGAAACUUAGUACAUGUGUGAAUACAUAGACAAACAGAGAGUCCCUAGUAUGCCUCUACUUGACUAGCUCGUUAAUCAAAGAUGGUUAAGUUUCCUGACCAUAGACAUGUGUUGUCAUUUGAUGAACGGGAUCACAUCAUUAGAGAAUGAUACGAUGGAUAAGACCCAUUCGUUAGCUUAGCAUAAUGAUCAUUUAGUUGUAUUACUAUUGCUUUCUUCAUGACUUCUACAUGUUCCUCUGACUAUGAGAUUAUGCAACUCCCGAUCCCAGAGGAACACCUUGUGUGCUAUCAAACAUCACAACGUAACUGGGUGAUUAUAAGGAUGCUCUACAGGUGUCUCUUAAGGUGUUUGUUGAGUUGGCAUAGAUUGAGAUUAGGAUUUGUCACUCCAUGUAUUGGAGAGGUAUCUCCGGGCCCUCUCGGUAAUGCACAUCACUAUAAGCCAUGCAAGCAUUGUAACUAAUGAGUUAGUUGUGGGAUGAUGCAUUACGGAAUGAGUAAAGAGACUUGCCAGUAACGAGAUUGAACUAGGUAUGAUAAUACCGACGAUUGAAUCUCGGGCAAGUAACAUACCGAUGACAAAGGGAACAAUGUAUGUUGUUAUGCGGUUUGACCGAUAAAGAUCUUCGUGGAAUAUGUAGGAGCCAAUAUGAGCAUCCAGGAUCUGCUAUUGGUUAUUGAUCGGAGAUGUGUCUCGGUCAUGUCUACAUAGUUCUCAAACCCGUAGGGUCCGCACGCUUAACGUUCGAUGACGAUUUGUAUUAUGAGUAGUGCGAUUUGAUGACCGAAGUUUGUUCGGAGUCCCGGAUGAGAUCACGGACAAGACGAGGAGUCUUGAAAUGGCCGAGUGGUAAAGAUUCAUAUAUUGGAAGGCUAUAUUCGGACAUCGGAAAUGUUCCAAGUGAUUCUGGUGUUUUUCGGAGUACCGGGGAGUUACGAGAAUUCACCGGGAGAAGUAAUGGGCCUUAUUGGGCCAUAUAGGAAAAGAAGGAGGCAGGCCAAGGGGAGGUGGCGCACCCCCAUUGGUCCGAAUUGGACUAGGGGAAGGGGCGGCUUCUCCCAGGCCUUUUCCUACUCCCUCUCUAUUUCCCUCUUUCCUUCUCUCCUACUCCGAAAAGGAUAGGGAUUCCUACUAGGACUUGGAAGUCCUAGUAGGACUCCAUACUUUUGUCACGCCCCUAGAGGGCCGGCCUCUCUCCCUCCCUCCUUUAUAUACGUGGGUAGGGGGCACCCCAAAGGCACAUCAAGCCUUCUCUUAGCCGUGUGCGGUGCCCCCUCCACACUUACACACCUCUGUCAUAUCAUCGUAGUGCUCAGGCGAAGCCCUGCGCCGGUAACUUCAUCAUCACCAUCGCCAUGCCGUCAUGCUGACGGAACUCUCCCUCGUCCUCAACUGGAUCAAGAGAUCGAGGGAUGGCAUCAAGCUGAACGUGUGCUGAAGGCGGAGGUGACGUACGUUCGGUGCUUGGAUCGGUUGGAUCACGAAGACGUUCGACUACAUGAACCGCGUUACUAAACGCUUCCGCUUUCGGUCUACGAGGGUACAUGGACACACUCUCCCCGCUCGUUGCUACACAUAUCCUAGAUAGAUCUUCCGUGAUCAUAGGUAAAAAAAUUUAAAUACUGCGUUCCCCAACAGCUCCCUGACCAAUGUCCGCCAGCUAACAGGGUCAAGACACACAUCGUGCACAUGAUUACGCACCGAGAGGCACAGAGUGGCACGGCGAGGAGACCAGCCGACCACCACCACCUCCACCCGUGCCUCCUUCGAGGUGGUGGUCGUGGUUGGCGGGGCACCAGGUCGAGGCGAGUGGCGGAAGGCACUGGCCUACCAAAACAUUGCCAAAUUCCUCCCUAUGCGAAAAUAAUCAGAACCCGACGGAAACCACGUCUGAAGCUUUCUUUCUCCCAUGAGAUGUGGAUGUUCAUGGCAUUUUCUUUAUCCCUUCCAUCUUUUCCCAGUGGAGCAAUAAUGUUUUGAGGUGGUUGCCCAGAAAAAUCCUUACGCCGCUGCCGCCUGCUCCUCUGCUUGUCCCUAACACAGCCCCGCACAGGGGUCAACCCAGCGAGUUGGCCACCCUGCCAGGCUGUGACUGCUCUGAUUUUGAUCCCCAGCCGAGUCGUCGUUGGCCAGACGGAGCCACCGCCGGACUGCACAGAUUAGUAGAUUGAAGAAUUUGCAGCAAUAGAAGCAUUUGAACUUUCAGGUGAAGAAUUAGCAGAUUCACGUUCAAUGCAUUUCAAACAUGGUGGAAUGAAUUCAGCCUAAGCGGCACUGAUCUAUUGAGCAAGCGAUGAAUCACGUUCCUUCUAAAGAUCUUCAUAACUCACCCUUAGCUUCUCAAGAUCUUGCUUUCUUUGAAGAAAUUCAUAAGAAAGCUUCUCAUGAUCUGAGUGUUAUGAUGACUUUGAAGGUUGUCAAACUUAGACUGAAGUAUGUGAAGAUUAUCAGUCAGAAUUUGAUUUUGAUACAUUUCUUCACCCAACAAGUUAUCUCUUUUGUCUAGCAUAUUUUGAACCUUUUAAAAAGCAUUUUGUUGCUUUACAACAAUCUUAGCAAGUUUAGAAUAGUUGGGCUUGAGGUUUUCAUCAGAUUCAUCCUCACUUGAUUCAGAGGAGAGAUAUUUGAGUACCUUGGCACCUUUUGCCAUGAAGCAAUAGGUGGGAGCAUAGUCAUCAUCGCCAUCGUCAGCAAUGUUGGGAUAGUCAUUUUCCUCAGAGUUGAAGAUAGACUUGCUGACGAAAGAAGUAAUGAGGGCUAGGCUCGCCACACUAGAUUCCAACUCCUCAGAUGCCUCUUCUUCCUCAUUUUCCUUAGAUUCAGCUUCAGAGUCCAUUUCCUUGCCAAUGAAUGCCCGAGCCUUUUUGGAGCUUCUCUUCUUGUGAGAUGAGGACUUCGAAGAUUUUGACGAUGAGGAAUUUGAAGAUUUCUUUUUCUUCUUUGCGUCAUCAGAACUAUAAUCCUUGUAUUUCUUCUUCUUUGAUUCCUUCUCCUACUGAGGACAAUCAGUAAUGUAGUGACCAGGUUUCUUGCAUUUGUGGCAGGUUCUCUUCGUGUAGUCACGGGAUGAGGAAUCUGAUUUCAAGUCAUCACCUCUUAACGAUUUACCAAAGCGACCACGCCUUGAGAACUUCUGGAAUUUCCUCUCGAGCAUUGCUAGCUCUUGACUCAAUUCUUCAGGAUCACCAAGGCUGCUACCAGAAUCUUCUCCUUCAGAUUCAGAGACUGCCUUGGUCUUCAGUGCGCGUGAUCUGCCAUAGCUCGAUCCGUAGAGAUCUCUCUUCUCAGCAAGCUGGAACUCAUGAGUAUUUAGCCUCUCGAGGAUAUCAGCAGGAUCAAGUGACUUGUAGUCUCCAUGUUCUUGGAUCAUCAGUGCAAGAGUGUCAAAUGAGGAAUCCAAUGAUCUCAGCAAUUUCUUCACCAACUCAUGGUCGAUGAUGUCACUAGCACCAAGUGCUUGAAGCUCAUUUGAGAUCUCAGUGAGGCGAUCGAAGGUUUGCCGAACAUUUUCAUUGUCAAGUCUUUUGAAGCGGUUGAAGAGAUUGCGAAGAAUGUCAACUCGAGAGUCGCGUUGAGUUGAGACUCCUUCAUUGCCCUUUACAGCUUAUCCUAGAUAAGCUUAGCUAUCUCCAAAGCACUCAUUCUGCCAUACUACCCUUUGCUCAGAUGGCCACAUAUGAUGUUCUUAGCUUGAGGGUCGAGUUUCUUGAAUCUCUUCACAUCAGCAGCAUUGAUUGUAGGAGUGACGGAGGGAAUGCCAUUUUCCACAACGUACCAGAGAUCGUUGUCAAUUGCCUCAAGAUGAAUUCGCGUCUUAUUCCUCCAAUAGGGCUAGUCCGUCCCAAAGAAGGUAGGACACCCAGCCGAGACCUUAAUCAUGCCUGCAGUCGACAUAACUAAAACUCUAGGUGGUUAUACCAUAAUCACACAGAACAAGGGAGUACCUUGCUCUGAUACAAAUUCAAAGUGCGUUAUAUCGACUAGAGGGGGUGAAUAGGCAAUUUUUACAAAUUCUUCAUAGAGGAAUUUCAAGGUGAGUAAAUUCCUAAGCAACGAACUACUUGGCAGCAGAAUAGGUACUCAGGUGCAAGCAUAACAGAGCAGUAGCAUAGUCAUCAUGAUGAAAUGAAAACAAGCACAGAGUAGAAGUAGCGUGAGGAUAGGAUAAGCAGGCCGAAGACAAAUUGACUGAAGAAAUAGGAUUGAGGAAAUUGAGAAAGUCUUCAGUCAAAGUCUUCAAAGAGUAACGAUCAAGUAAUUCAACACAAGAAUGAGGAAAUGAAAGGGUUGAGCAAAUAGAACCAGUAGCUUGGUGAAGACAAUGAUUUGGUACACCAGUUCCAAUUGAUGUAACAAUCGUACGUCUGGUUGGAGCAGCUAGGUAUUUAAACCUGAGGACACAUAGUCUCGGACACACAGUCCUCACUGUAUUCUCCUUGAGCUAAGAUCACACAGACAUCGCCCAAUCACUCGUGGCAAGUCUUCAGGUGACUUCCAAACCUUCAUAGACUUGGUCACUCGGCGAUCCACAAUUUCCUCUUUGAUGCUCUAGACCAUGACACCUAACUGUCUGCAGGAUACACAGCCCUCAAAGGUAACAAGCAUCGGUUCCACACAGGAACAAUCUCUUCAGUGAUGCUCAAUCACUUUGGGUUUGUAGGUUUUUGGGUUUGGGUUUUCCUUAGUUGAUGAUUUUUGCUCAAAGUCCUCGGAGGAUGGGAUGCUCUCAAUGACAAGUGACAAUUUCUCUCAGAGAAGCAAACCAACUAGUGGUUGUAGGGGGCGGCUAUUUAUAGCCUAGGGAGCAGCCCAACAUGAUAAUACAUAAAUGCCCUUCAAUGAUAUGACCUUUAGGUGGGAAGAUAUUUUGGGAUAGCUGGCGCGUAGCACAGCAACAGUUGGAUAUUUGAGUAUCAAAUUCCCCAGGGCUAUCAUGUUCCUGACUUGUAGGCAAUCCGCACUGGCGAAUUCUUAACUCCUCAGUCAGGACAAAUUCCUCAGAGAACAGAAGAACUUUGUCUCUAUCACUGAAGAUAUUGACUAAACUGUAUGAGAUUUCCAAUGGCUUCACUCAAAAGGAUUGGGUAGGUGUAGGAUUUUGAGAUGAGCAUCACUUGGAAAGUUUUCCUUAGUUUUACCUCGACCCCCUUUAACAGUACGGUGUUUCCUAUGACUCAAGAAAGAGAAAAAUGAAACUACGAAAACGAAAAUCUUCACACUUCAUAUUCCUCAGAUGAAGACCAAGUCUUCACGGUCACACCAAUUUCUUCACUUUCAAAGUCUUGAAGAAAACCAAAGUCUUCAGCUGAAGACAUUCAUUUUUAGGGGUCGACUUUCAUCGUAAAUAUCAAACUCCUCAUAGACUUAUAGACCUGUGUACACUCACAAACACAUUAGUCCCUUUACCUAUAAGUCUUUAAUACACCAAAAUCACUAAGGGGUACUAGAUGCAAUUAUAAUCUUCCCCUUUUUGGUGAUUGAUAACAAUAUAGGUUAAGUUUUCAACGGGGAUAAACAUAUGAAGUGUAAAUACUGAUAUUGAGGAAUUUGAUUGCAAGAUAUAUAUAGAAGAACUCCCUUUGAAAUUGUGCAUAUUGUAGGAAUUUGCUUUGAAAUAGAAAAUGCACAACUUAGAGUAGAAUCAUGGAGAUCUCCCCCUAUAUCUUGUAAUUCAUACACGCAUUUAACAUAUGAUAUGUAGAAUUUGAAAUGCAUGAUGAAAUAUGGUGACCGAUAUAAUUCAGCAUGUGUGCAUUAACAUACUUGAGGAAAUAGAAUGCAGAAAACAGAGCAAAAGUAUUAGACCACCAUGGGGCUUAAGUUUACAACUCGAUCCAACAAACACUUCAGAAGAGCGAGAGUUGUAACUUAACAAAAAAUGCCCAUAUAAGAGACCCGCUUUAAUACUAACUCAAAUUUCUCCCCCUUUGUCAUCAAAUGACCAAAAGGGACGAAAAAUGAGGACUAACGCCCUUGAAGAAUAUCAUCACGAUGUCGAUGGAGGAGCGCCAGCGUUGUUGGGGUCGUUCAUUGACGUAGGGCCUGUUGUGGUGUCGUUCAUUGGGUUUUGAAAGUCAGCCUUGUAAUGAAUUGAAGACCUUGAUCUGAUGAAUCUCCUGAUAUAGGGAGCGUAAGGCUUCAACUCAAACGGUGACAAAGCAGCAUUGGUCAAAGUCCUCAUGAAGAAAUCAUGAUAGUUGAUAGGAAUACCAUGAAUGAUAUUGAACAGAAGAUUCUUCAUAAUGCCAACAACAUUUUCUUCAUCAGAGUUGUGGCCCUUGAUUGGACUGAGGGUUUUGGUCAAUAUUUUGUAGAUCGUCCUUUGCACAUAGAGCAAUUCCUUCACUAUGAAUCUGGUCCUUGGAGCUUGGCCAGGCCCAAGGCUUCAUCAGUACUUACAUCAGAUGGUUGGUGAGUUCAGGUUCAGCAUAGAUGAGCCUUGCACCUCCACUGGGUGGAUUGACUGGGAUGGCGUGAAGCAAUUCAGAGGCCGGAGCUUUGUAGUGAGUGUUUUCAGUCAUCCAGUCUAGCACCCAUGAAUUGACAUAUUCAACAUUUCUAGUGAUGUGUAGCAUGGCGAAGAAUUGAAGAAUGAGUUCUUCAUUCCAAUCGCAAACAGUGCAGAAAUUGAGUGGUCUAGCGUCAUGAAGAAAACUGAGGACUGGGGUGAUGCACGGUAGAGACUCCAUGUCCACAUGAGGAAGUUGCUCAUGGUCAAAAACUUUGUGCUUAUCAAACAACAAUGAGGAAUAGAAAUUCAUCUGGCUGGCAGUCCAAAAACGCUUGCGACAAAGUCAUGCCGAGUCAUAUGGAUUGUCGUCAGAGAAGAAAUGAUGCUCAGCAAAGAAGUCAUCAGCCUUGAACUUCUGCUUCUUGGUGUGAGGAUUCUGUGACUUGGGCUGAAGAUUAGCAGUUGAAGUCUUCACAACAUCUUGAAUCACAGUCUCUGGAGCCACAGGCUGAGGAAUUUUAGGAGCAGUGUCAUCAAUAGCAGCCUAGGCCACCAUUUCUUAAGCACUAGUUGUUGGGGAACGUAGUAAUUUCAAAAAAAUUCCUAUGCACACGCAAGAUCAUGGUGAUGCAUAGCAACGAGAGGGGAGAGUGUGAUCUACAUACCCUUGUAGAUCGACAGCGGAAGCGUUAUGACAACGCGGUUGAUGUAGUUGUACGUCUUCAUGGCCCUACCGAUCAAGCACCGAAACUACGACACCUCCGAGUUUUAGCACACAUUCAGCUCGAUGACGAUCCCCGUACUCCGAUCCAGCAAAGUGUCGGGGAAGAGUUCCGUCAGCACGAAGGCAUGGUGACGAUCUUGAUGUACUACUGUCGCAGGGCUUCGCCAAAGCACUACAACAAUAUUAUCGAGGACUAUGGUGGCAGGGGGCACCGCACACGGCUAAGAAUAUGAUCACGUGGAUCAACUUGUGUGUUUCUGGGGUGCCCCUUCCUCCGUAUAUAAAGGUUCAAGAGAGGAAGCCGGCCGGCCCCUAUGGUGCGCUAAGGAGGAGUCCUCCUGCUAGUAGUAGGACUCCUACUAGGAGGGGGAAAGAAGUGGGGAGGGAGAAGGAAAGGGGGGCGCCGCCCCCCCUCUCCUAGUCCCAUUCGGACCAGGGGGGAGGAGGCGCGCGGCCCACCUUUGGCUGCCCCUCUCUCUCUCCACUAAGGCCCAUAUGGCCCAUUACUUCUCCCGGGGGGUUCCGGUAACCCUCCUGCUUUCCGGUUUUCUCCGAAAUCACCCGGAACACUUCAGGUGUCCGAAUAUAGCAGUCCAAUAUAUCAAUCUUUAUGUCUCGACCAUUUCGAGACUCCUCGUCAUGUUCGUGAUCACAUCUGGGACUCCGAAAAACCUUCGGUACAUCAAAAACGUAUAAACUCAUAAUAUAACUGUCAUCGAAACCUUAAGCGUGCGGACCCUACGGGUUCGAGAACAAUGUAGACAUGACCGAGACAUGUCUCCGGUCAAUAACCAAUAGCGGAACCUGGAUGCCCAUAUUGGCUCCUACAUAUUCUACGAAGAUCUUUAACCGUCAGACCGCAUAACAACAUAUGUUGUUCCCUUUGUCAUCGGUAUGUUACUUGCCCGAGAUUCGAUCAUCGGUAUCCAAUACCUAGUUCAAUCUCAUUACCGGCAAGUCUCUUUACUCAUUCUGUAAUACAUCAUCUCGCAACUAACUCAUUAGUUGUAUUGCUUGCAAGGCUUAAGUGAUGUGCAUUACCGAGAGGGCCCAGAGAUACCUCUCCGACGAUCGGAGUGACAAAUCCUAAUCUCGAAAUACGUCAACCCAACAUGUACCUUUGGAGACACCUGUAGAGUACCUUUAUGAUCACCCAGUUACGUUGUGACGUUUGGUAGCACACAAAGUGUUCCUCCGGCACACGGGAGUUACAUAAUCUCAUAGUCAUAGGAACAUGUAUAAGUCAUGAAGAAAGCAAUAGCAACAUACUAAACGAUCGGAUGCUAAGCUAAUGGAAUGGGUCAUGUCAAUCAGAUCAUUCAACUAAUGAUGUGAUCCCGUUAAUCAAAUGACAACUCUUUGUCAAUGGUUAGGAAACAUAACCAUCUUUGAUUAACGAGCUAGUCUAGUAGAGGCAUACUAGUGACACUUUGUUUGUCUAUGUAUUCACACACAUGUAUUAUGUUUCCGGUUAAUACAAUUCUAGCAUGAAUAAUAAACUUUUAUCAUGAUAUAAGGAAAUAAAUAAUAACUUUAUUAUUGCCUCUAGGGCAUAUUUCCUUCAGUCUCCCACUUGCACUAGAGUCAAUAAUCUAGAUUACAGAGUAAUGAUUCUAACACCCAUGGAGCUUUGGUGUUGAUCAUGUUUUGCUCGUGGAAGAGGCUUAGUCAAUGGGUCUGCUACAUUCAGCUCCGUAUGUAUCUUGCAAAUCUCUAUGUCUCCCACCUGGACUAGAUCCCUGAUGGAAUUGAAGCGCCUCUUGAUGUGCUUGGUUCUCUUGUGAAAUCUGGAUUCCUUUGCCAAGGCAAUUGCACCAGUAUUGUCACAAAAGAUUUUCAUUGGACCCGAUGCACUAGGUAUGACACCUAGAUCGGAUAUGAACUCGUUCAUCCAGACUCCUUCAUUUGCUGCUUCCGAAGCAGCUAUGUACUCUGCUUCACAUGUAGAUCCCGCCAUGAUGCAUUGUUUUGAACUGCACCAACUGACAGCUCCACCAUUUAAUGUAAACACGUAUCCGGUUUGCGAUUUAGAAUCGUCCGGAUCAGUGUCAAAGCUUGCAUCAACGUAACCGUUUACAAUGAGCUCUUUGUCACCUCCAUAUACGAGAAACAUAUCCUUAGUCCUUUUCAGGUAUUUCAGGAUGUUCUUGACCGCUGUCCAGUGAUCCACUCCUGGAUUACUUUGGUACCUCCCUGCUAAACUUAUAGCAAGGCACACAUCAGGUCUGGUACACAGCAUUGCAUACAUGAUAGAGCCUAUGGCUGAAGCAUAGGGAACAUCUUUCAUUUUCUCUCUAUCUUCUGCAGUGGUCGGGCAUUGAGUCUGACUCAACUUCACACCUUGUAACACAGGCAAGAACCCUUUCUUUGCUUGAUCCAUUUUGAACUUCUUCAAAAUCUUGUCAAGGUAUGUGCUUUGUGAAAGUCCAAUUAAGUGUCUUGAUCUAUCUCUAUAGAUCUAUAUGCCUAAUACGUAAGCAGCUUCACCGAGGUCUUUCAUUGAAAAACUCUUAUUCAAGUAUCCCUUUAUGCUAUCCAGAAAUUCUAUAUCAUUUCCAAUCCGUAAUAUGUCAUCUACAUAUAAUAUCAGAAAUGCUACAGAGCUCCCACUCACUUUCUUGUAAAUACAGGCUUCUCCGAAAGUCUGUAUAAAACCAAAUGCUUUGAUCACACUAUCAAAGCAUUUAUUCCAACUCCGAGAGGCUUGCACCAGUCCAUAAAUGGAUCGCUGGAGCUUGCACACUUUGUUAGCUCCCUUUGGAUCGACAUAACCUUCCGGUUGCAUCAUAUACAACUCUUCUUCCAGAAAUCCAUUCAGGAAUGCAGUUUUGACAUCCAUCUGCCAAAUUUCAUAAUCAUAAAAUGCGGCAAUUGCUAACAUGAUUCGGACAAACUUAAGCAUCGCUACGGUGAGAAGAUCUCAUCGUAGUCAACCCCUUGAACUUGUCGAAAACCUUUUGCGACAAGUCGAGCUUUGUAGAUAGUAAUAUUACCGUCAGCGUCAGUCGUCUUCUUGAAAAUCCAUUUAUUCUCAAUUGCUUGCCGAUCAUCCGGCAAGUCAACCAAAGUCCAUACUUUGUUCUCAUACAUGGAUCCCAUCUCAGAUUUCAUGGCUUCAAGCCAUUUUGCGGAAUCUGGGCUCACCAUCGCUUCUUCAUAGUUCAUAGGUUCAUCAUGAUCUAGCAGCAUAAUUUCCAGAACAAGAUUACCGUACCACUCUGGCGCGGAUCUCACUCUGGUUGAUCUACGUGGUUCAGUAGUAUCUUGUCCUGAAGUUUCAUGAUCAUUAUCAUUAGCUUCCUCACUAAUUGGUGUAGGUGUCACAGAAACAGUUUUUUGUGAUGUACUACUUUCCAAUAAGGGAGCAGGUACAGUUACCUCAUCAAGUUCUACUUUCUUCCCACUCACAUCUUUCGAGUGAAACUCCUUCUCCAGAAAUUUUCCGAAUUUAGCAACAAAAGUCUUGCCUUUGGAUCUAUGAUAGAAGGUGUAUCCAAUGGUUUCCUUUGGAUAUCCUAUGAAGACACAUUUCUCCGAUUUGGGUUCGAGCUUAUCAGGUUGAAGCUUUUUCACAUAAGCAUCGCAGCCCCAAACUUUCAAAAACGACAACUUUGGUUUCUUGCCAAACCAUAGUUCAUAAGGUGUCGUCUCAACAGAUUUCGAUGGUGCCCUAUUUAACGUGAAUGCGGCCGUCUCUAAAGCAUAACCCCAAAACGAUAGCGGUAAAUCAGUAAGAGACAUCAUAGAUCGCACCAUAUCUAGUAAAGUACGAUUACGACGUUCGGACACACCAUUAUGCUGUGGUGUUCCGGGUGGCGUGAGUUGCGAAACUAUUCCGCAUUGCUUCAAAUGUACACCAAACUCGUAACUCAAAUAUUCUCCUCCAUGAUCAGAUCAUAGAAACUUUAUUUUCUUAUUACGAUGAUUUUCAACUUCACUCUGAAAUUCUUUGAACUUUUCAAAUGUUUCAGACUUAUGUUUCAUUAAGUAGAUAUACCCAUAUCUGCUUAAGUCAUCUGUGAAGGUGAGAAAAUAACGAUAUCCGCCACGAACCUCAAUAUUCAUUGGACCACAUACAUCUGUAUGUAUGAUUUCCAACAAAUCUGUUGCUCUCUCCAUUGUACCGGAGAACAGUGUUUUAGUCAUCUUGCCCAUGAGGCACGGUUCGCAAGUACCAAGUGAUUCAGAAUCAAGUGGCUCCAAAAGUCCAUCAGUAUGGAGUUUCUUCAUGCGCUUUACACCGAUAUGACCUAAACGGCAGUGCCACAAAUAAGUUGCACCAUCAUUAUCAACUCUGCAUCUUUUGGCUUCAACAUUAUGAAUAUGUGUAUCACUACUAUCGAGAUUCAAUAAGAAUAGACCACUUUUCAAGGGUUCAUGACCAUAAAAGAUAUUACUCAUAUAAAUAGAACAACCAUUAUUCUCUAAUUUAAAUGAAUAACCGUCUCGCAUUAAACAAGAUCCAGAUAUAAUGUUCAUGCUCAACGCUGGCACCAAAUAGCAAUUAUUUAGGUCUAAUACUAAUCCCGAAGGUAGAUGUAGAGGUAGCGUGCCGACCGUGAUCACAUUGACUUUGGAACCGUUUCCCACGCGCAUCGUCACCUCGUCCUUAGCCAAUCUUUGCUUAAUCCGUAGUCCCUGUUUCGAGUUGCAAAUAUUAGCAACAGAACCAGUAUCAAAUACCCAGGUGCUACUGCGAGCAUUAGUAAGGUACACAUCAAUAACAUGUAUAUCACAUAUACCUUUGUUCACCUUGCCAUCCUUCUUAUCCGCCAAAUACUUGGGGCAGUUGUGCUUCUAGUGACCAGUCUGCUUGCAGUAGAAGCACUCAGUUUCAGGCUUAGGUCCAGACUUGGGUUUCUUCUCUUGAGCAGCAACUUGCUUGCCGUUUUUCUUGAAGUUCCCCUUCUUCUUCCCUUUGCCCUUUUUCUUGAAACUAGUGGUCUUGUUGACCAUCAACACUUGAUGCUCCUUUUUGAUUUCUACCUCCGCAGCUUUCAGCAUUGCGAAGAGCUCGGGAAUAGUCUUGUUCAUCCCUUGCAUAUUAUAGUUCAUCACGAAGCUCUUGUAGCUUGGUGGCAGUGAUUGGAGAAUUCUGUCAAUGACGCAAUCAUCUGGAAGAUUAACUCCCAUCUGAAUCAAGUGAUUAGUAUACCCAGGCAUUUUGAGUAUAUGCUCACUGACAGAACUGUUCUCCUCCAUCUUGCAGCUAUAGAACUUAUUGGAGACUUCAUAUCUCUCAAUUCGGGCAUUUGCUUGAAAUAUUAACUUCAACUCCUGGAACAUCUCAUAUGCUCCAUGACGUUCAAAACGUCGUUGAAGUCCCGAUUCUAAGCUGUAAAGGAUGGCACACUGAACUAUCGAGUAGUCAUCAGCUUUGCUCUGCCAGACGUUCAUAACAUCUGGUGUUGCUCCAGCAGCAGGCCUGGCACCUAGCGGUGCUUCCAGGACGUAAUUCUUCUGUGCAGCAAUGAGGAUAAUCCUCAAGUUAUGGACCCAGUCCGUGUAAUUGCUACCAUCAUCUUUCAACUUUGCUUUCCCAAGGAACGCAUUAAAAUUCAACGGAACAACAGCACGGGCCAUCGAUCUACAAUCAAACAUACAUAAGCAAGAUACUAUCAGGUACUAAGUUCAUGAUAAAUUUAAGUUCAAUUGAUCAAAUUACUUAAGAACUCCCACUUAGACAGACAUCCCUCUAAUCCUCUAAGUGACCACGUGAUCCAAAUCAACUAAACCAUGUCCGAUCAUCACGUGAGAUGGAGUAGUUUCAUUGGUGAACAUCACUUGUUGAUCAUAUCUACUAUAUGAUUCACGCUCGACCUUUCGGUCUCCGUGUUCCGAGGCCAUAUCUGUAUAUGCUUGGCUCGUCAAGUAUAACCUGAGUAUUCCAUGUGUGCAACUGUUUUGCACCUGUUGUAUUUGAACGUAGAGCCUAUCACACCCGAUCAUCACGUGGUGUCUCAGCACGAAGAACUUUCGCAACGGUGCAUACUCAGGGAGAACACUACUUGAUAAUUUUAGUGAGAGAUCAUCUUAUAAUGCUACCGUCAAUCAAAGCAAGAUAAGAUGCAUAAAAGAUAAACAUCACAUGCAAUCAAUAUAAGUGAUAUGAUAUGGCCAUCAUCAUCUUGUGCCUGUGAUCUCCAUCUCCGAAGCACCGUCAUGAUCACCAUCGUCACCGGCGCGACACCUUGAUCUCCAUCGUAGCAUCGUUGUCGUCUCGCCAAUCUUAUGCUUCCACGACUAUCGCUACCGUUUAGUGAUAAAGUAAAGCAUUACUGCGUGAUUGCAUUGCAUACAAUAAAGCGACAACCAUAUGGCUCCUGCCAGUUGCCGAUAACUCGAUUACAAAACAUGAUCAUCUCAUACAAUAAAAUCAGCAUCAUGUCUUGACCAUAUCACAUCACAACAUGCCCUGCAAAAACAAGUUAGACGUCCUCUACUUUGUUGUUGCAAGUUUUACGUGGCUGCUACGGGCUUAAGCAAGAACAAAUCUUACCUACGCAUCAAAACCACAACGAUAGUUUGUCAAGUUGGUGAUGUUUUAACCUUCGCAAGGACCGGGCGUAGCCACAUUCGGUUCAGCUAAAGUUGGAGAAACUGUCACCCGCAAGCCACCUAUGUGCAAAGCACGUCGGGAGAACCGGUCUCGCGUAAGCGUACGCGUAAUGUCGGUCCGGGCCGCUUCGUCCAACAAUACCGCCGAACCAAAGUAUGACAUGCUGGUAAGCAGUAUGACUUAUAUCGCCCACAACUCACUUGUGUUCUACUCGUGCAUAUAACAUCAACACAUAAAACCUGGCUCGGAUACCACUGUUGGGGAACGCAGUAAUUUCAAAAAAAUUCCUACGCACACGCAAGAUCAUGGUGAUGCAUAGCAACGAGAGGGGAGAGUGUGAUCUACAUACCCUUGUAGAUCGACAGUGGAAGCAUUAUGACAACACGGUUGAUGUAGUCGUACGUCUUCACGGCCCGACCGAUCAAGCACCGAAACUACGGCACCUCCGAGUUUUAGCACACGUUCAGCUCGAUGACGAUCUCCGGACUCCGAUCCAGCAAAGUGUCGGGGAAGAGUUCUGUCAGCACGACGGCGUGGUGACGAUCUUGAUGUACUACUGUCACAGGGCUUCGGCUAAGAACCGCUACAAUAUUAUCGAGGACUAUGGUGGCAGGGGGCGCCGCACACGGCUAAGAAUAUGAUCACGUGGAUCAACUUGUGUGUUUCUGGGGUGCCCCUGCCUCCGUAUAUAAAGGUUAAAGGGAGGAAGAGGCCGGCCGGCCCCUAUGGCGCGCCAAGGAGGAGUCCUCCUCCUAGUAGGAGUAGGACUCCUACUAGGAGGGGGAAAGAAGUGGGGAGGGAGACGGAAAGGGGGGCGCCGCCACCCCCUCUCCUAGUCCAAUUCGGACCAGGGGGGAGGAGGCGCGUGGCCCACCUUUGGCUGCCCCUAUCUCUCUCCACUAAGGCCCAUAUGGCCCAUUACUUCUCCCGGGGGUUCCGGUAACCCUCCGGCUUUCCGGUUUUCUCCGAAAUCACCCUGAACACUUCCGGUUUCCGAAUAUAGACGUCCAAUAUAUCAAUCUUUAUGUCUCGACCAUUUCGAGACUCCUCGUCAUGUCCGUGAUCACAUAUGGGACUCCGAACAACCUUCGGUACAUCAAAAACAUAUAAACUCAUAAUAUAACUGUCAUCGAAACCUUAAGCAUGCGGACCCUACGGGUUCGAGAACAAUGUAGACAUGACCGAGACAUGUCUCCGGUCAAUAACCAAUAGCGGUACCUAGAUGCCCAUAUUGGCUCCUACAUAUUCUACGAAGAUCUUUAUCGAUCAGACCGCAUAACAACAUACGUUGUUCCUUUUGUCAUCGGUAUGUUACUUGCCCGAGAUUCGAUCGUCGGUAUCCAAUACCAAGUUCAAUCUCGUUACCGGCAAGUCUCUUUACUCGUUCUGUAAUACAUCAUCUCCCAACUAACUCAUUAGUUGUAUUGCUUGCAAGGCUUAAGUGAUGUGCAUUACCGAGAGGGCCCAGAGAUACCUCUUCGACGAUCGGAGUUACAAAUCCUAAUCUAGAAAUACGUCAACCCAACAUGUACCUUUGGAGACACCUGUAUAGUACCUUUAUGAUCACCCAGUUACGUUGUGACGUUUGGUAGCACACAAAGUGUUCCUCCGGCACAUGGGAGUUACAUAAUCUCAUAGUCAUAGGAACAUGUAUAAGUCAUGAAGAAAGCAAUAGCAACAUACUAAAUGAUCGGAUGCUAAGCUAAUGGAAUGGGUCAUGUCAAUCAGAUCAUUCAACUAAUGAUGUGAUCCCGUUAAUCAAAUGACAACUCUUUGUCAGUGGUUAGGAAACAUAACCAUAUUUGAUUAACGAGCUAGUCUAGUAGAGGCAUACUAGUGACACUUUGUUUGUCUAUGUAUUCACACACAUGUAUUAUGUUUCCGGUUAAUACAAUUCUAGCAUGAAUAAUAAGUUUUAUCAUGAUAUAAGGAAAUAAAUAAUAACUUUAUUAUUGCCUCUAGGGCAUAUUUCUUUCACUAGUGGACGGAACUUCUUCUGGAAUUGAGAGAAGAGAAACUUGACGUUCUUCAGAGCCCGUAUGAAUUUCUUUGGUUUGGACCGGGGACAGAGGAAGUUGAUGCAGAGGUGUUGUCAGUGGAGAAUUGGGGCGAUGGCUUUCCCAAUAGUCAUCAUUCUGAAUUGGAGUUGUUGACCCAAUGUCCACAUCCUCGUCUUCUUCAUCAAUUUCUUCAACGCCCGCCUGUUCAGCUGUGAACUGGGGCAUGGGCGAUGAUACCAGUGGAGUUGAAGGGAUAUCAUGCACUUCAAUUUUUAAUCCAACUGCUCUGACGUGACAGCAGAAGGAAUGUCUUCAUCCGAUUCACUAGGAAUCACAUAUUCCUCACCAAAGGUAACAAUCUCCUUUGAUGGAAUGCUUGAUAUUGGAACAACAUCUAUUGGGUUUGCAAAAGAGCUCAUCAAAGUCUUCACUUUCUUCGGUUCUGAAGACUCUAUGGAUGUAGAUGUUUUCCUUUUCUUCAUAGCUGCCUGCUCUGCAGCUUUGGUCUUCUUCGCUUUUGAUGCAGAAGGAAGGUUGAUGCUUAUCAUCUAUGCAGGAGGAGCAGAGGAAAUUGGUUCAGUUUCUUCAGGCACAACUGAUGCAGUUGCCCUGUCAUGUUCAGUUUCCUCAGGCACAGUAGCAGAUGCUUCAACUGGCCUACGUUGUUCAUCAGGCGUAACAGUGGAGGUUGCCCUGGCAAUUUCUUCAGUAGCUGGAAUUUCUUCAUCAGCCCUGGUGCUUUCAUUUUCUUCAACAGCCUGAUUUUCAUUAGCUGUGCUUGCAUGUUCUUCAGUAGUCUAAGCAGAUGUCUUGACCUAAGGAAAUUCUUGUUGCGAUGAAGCUGCAACAUUUGAUGUGAAUUUCUUCAUCAUGUUGAUGAAUCUUACUUUGGCUCCCAGCCAAUCAGCAUGAUAUGCAUCAAAUUUACAUAGUCACAAGUUCAUCGGGAGUCAUUGUCACAACAUUUUUCUUUAGUAAACGCUUAUUCUUGUACUGAGCUUUCUUCACUUGUCUGGCCUUUUCAAAUUUCCAUUUUUCUUCGCCAAUGAAGGCAUUGAGCAUUUGACUUUGGCAGGUGUGAGAUUCAGAUCAGGCAGAGGAGUGUUGGGGUCCUUAUGCCACAGAUCGAUGAAAUCGAGGAUCAACUUGGGAUCCAGCAGAAGUGGCACUUCACUGCCUUUGGCUCUAGCGGCCCAUGCUUGUCGAUCUCUGAUGAUUUCAGCCAAUUCUUCAUCAUCAGCUUCGUCUUCACUAGACGUUUCUGGAAAGGCGAUCUGCUUCUUGUGAGGACUUGGCCUCGUGCCUCGUCCAGCAAUGGCUUUUGUCUUCAGCAAGGUUGGAGAUGUUGAAGACUAGGGAGGAGCUGAAGAACUUGCAGAAACUCUUGAAGCAAUUGACAUUCCAAUGGUCCUUUGACAAGAGGCGAGAUGCACAGGUGUCGUGGACUUUGCAGCAGCAGCUGUGGAUUUUGCAGUGGGGACUAUAGCUGCUUUGGAGGAAGUAGCAUCAGGCACGAGCCGUGAGGGCUUUGAGGAGCUUGGCCAUGAGGGCAUUGAAGCUGAGGAACUGGGCUUAUGAGCAGGCUUCUUGGGCAUAGCCUUCUUGGGCUUGCUAGCAGAGGCCUCAGCAGCGGCAGUAGCAGAAUCUUCAUUGAAUUUCUUCACUGCUUCUUUGGCCAUUUUGGCCAACUUAGCUUGCCGCUUUGCCCACUCCUUAGGAAAUUCCUCACCUCUUUUGAUGCUAGAGGGAUCAGCAACUUGGCCUGGUGCCAAUGGAGGUCUUGGGCAUGGAGGGUGUACUGUGAAUUUCUUCAUGUACUUGGGAGUCACAUAUCUGUACUCCCUCCAUUCUCGUGCCCAUCUCCUCUCUAUCCUCUGAAUGCGCACUUUGCGCUCAUUCUUUGUCUCCUUGCCAUGAAUUGCUUCAUCAGUAGUGCAAUAUCCUGCAUAGAUGUCAUCAGGAAUCUCGAAAGCAGUAUUCACUUCCGGUCUCUUGCCUCCCUUCUGAGUUCUUUUGCCAUCAGCCAUUUUCUUCAGCUAAGGAUUUUGAACAAUUGAAUUCUCUGAUGAGGUAUGCAAUUUGUCUUCGAGGAAUGCUGCAAAUGAGUUAAGUUGAUGAGAACCUAGAGAUUCAGCAGCAGACAUGUGUACCUGUGAAUAGAGUAUAGUUGCAAAGAAUUUGGAGAGGUCAUGUGCGUUCUCAGAAGUUUUUCAAAACAAUCAAGUGAUACGUCUCCAACGUAUCUAUAAUUUUUGAUUGCUCCAUGCUAUAUUAUCUACUGUUUUGGACUAUAUUGGGCUUUAUUUUCCACUUUUAUAUUAUUUUUGGGACUAACCUAUUAACCGGAGGCCUAGCCCAGAAUUGCUGUUUUUUUCUAUUUCAGUGUUUCAAAGAAAUGGAAUAUCAAACGGAGUCCAAACGGAAUAAAACCUUCGGGAACGUGAUUUUCUCACCGAACGUGAUCUAGGAGACAAGGACCCUGCUCCAAGGAACAAAAGAGGCGGUCACGAGGGUGGGGGGCGCCCCCCCUAGGGCGUGCCCCCUGCCUCGUGGGCCCCUCGGUGCUCCUCCGGCGUACUUCUUCCUCCUAUAUAUACACACGUACCCCCAAACGAUCAGAACAGGAGCCAAAAACCUAAUUCCACCGCCGCAAAUUUCUGUAUCCAUGAGAUCCCAUCUUGGGGCCUAUUUCGGAGCACCGCUGGAAGAGGGCCAUCAUCACGGAUGGCUUCUACAUCAUCCUAGCCUCUCCAAUGAAGUGUGAGUAGUUUACCUCAGACCUUCGGGUCCAUAGUUAGUAGCUAGAUGGCUUCUUCUCUCUCUUUGAAUCUCAAUACAAAGUUCUCCCCCCUCUCUUGUGGAGAUCUAUUCGAUGUAAUCUUGUUUUUGCGGUGUGUUUGUUGAGACCGAUGAAUUGUGGGUUUAUGAUCAAGUCUAUCCAUGAAUAAUAUUUGAAUCUUCUCUGAAUUCUUUUAUGUAUGAUUGGUUAUCUUUGCAAGUCUCUUCGAAUUAUCCGUUUGGUUUGGCCAACUAGAUUGGUAGUUCUUGCCAUGGGAGAAGUCCUUAGCUUUGGGUUCGAUCUUGCAGUGUCCUUACCCAGUGACAAAACGGACAGCAAGGAACGUAUUGUAUCGUUGCCAUCGAGGAUAACAAGAUGGGUGUCGGUGUCAAAACCGGCGGAUCUUGGGUAGGGGGUCCCGAACUGUGCGUCUAGGCUGGAUGGUAACAGGAGGCAGGGAACACGAUGUUUUACCCAGGUUUGGGCCCUUUUGAUGGAGGUAAAACCUUACUUCCUGCUUGAUUAAUAUUGAUGAUAUGGGUAGUACAAGAGUAGAUCUACCACGAGAUCAAGGAGGCUAAACCCUAGAAGCUAGCCAAUGGUAUGAUUGUUGUACAUGGAGUUGAUUGCCUACGGACUACAACCCUCCGGUUUAUAUAGACACCGGAUAGGGUUAGAGUUACAUAGAGUCGGUUACAAUGGUAGGAGAUCUUGAAUAUCCGCAUCGCCAAGCUUGCCUUCCACGCCAAGGAAAGUCCCAUCCGGACACGGGACGAAGUCUUCAAUCUUGUAUCUUCACAGUCCAGAUGUCCGGCUGAAGGUAUAGUCCGGCUACCCGAACACCCCCUAAUCCAGGACUCCUUCAGUAGCCCCUGAACCAGGCUUCAAUGACGACGAGUCCGGCGCGCAAAUUGUCUUCGGCAUUGCAAGGCGGGUUCCUCCUCCAAAUUCUUCAUAAAAGAUUGUAAACACCAAGAGUAGUGUCCGGCUCCGCAAAAUAAGCUUCCACAUAUUGCCAUAAAGAGAAUAAUAUUAACACAAGUCAAAUCUGCUGACGUAUUCCGCAGUGCGUCAUCACACUACAGCCAAGUCCUAUACUCGAAUCAAUUUCACCUUUCCACCUCAGCGUGUUUUGCGAGGCAGUUUCCUUGGCACGUCUUGUCAAAGCAGAGAUCGUGUGCCCCCCUUUUACGGGAUUCUCAUCGAUACGGACGUGGGUAACCCAAUCGUGCCCGUUAGCAUGUUUUCUCGAUUAAAGGCGAGUCCCAAACGGUUACGGGGAGGGCUCCUGGUAUUCAACCUCUUAUAAAGAGACCAGGGCCUUACUCCUUUUAUCUCAAGCGAGUUCGCCCGUCGCCUCGAGUUCCAACACCCUAGGCUCCAGAUUCCAGGCGCUUCGGACCUUUGACAAUGUCCGGUUCUGACCUUCAAGGUCGAUGGAUGCCCUCCUCCGUCACGGAGGAGGACGUGCUAAAGUUGAGAGAGGCUAAGUUCUUGACCACCGAAAUUUCGCACAGGUUGCCUGCUCAAAGGCAGGCUAUCCCCAGUCCCCAGCCGGUGAGAGCAUAGUGUUCGUGCCUCACUUCCUUCGGGGGUUAGGCUUCCCGAUGGAUCCCUUUGUGAGGGGACUGCUGUUUUAUUACGGGCUGGAAUUUCACGACUUAGCUUCGGAGUCCAUCCUCCAUAUCUCCUCGUUUAUCGUUGUAUGUGAAGCUUUCCUCCGUGUUACCCCUCACUUCGGGUUAUGGCUCAAGACUUUCAAAGUGGAGCCGAAGAUGAUCAAGGGAUGGCACGCAGAGUGUGGAGGUGCUGUUAUAAGCAAAAGUGCUGAUGCUCCAUGGCCCGAGGGCUCUUUUCAAGAGGAGCUUGGCUUGUGGAAACGAGAGUGGUUUUAUAUCACCACUCCCCGGAGCACCAAGUGGGUGGCGCUUCCUGCCUUUUGCUCCGGUCCCCCACCACGACUAGCGUCAUGGGUUAAUAGAGGGUUAGAUUGGGGUUUGCCCAAAGAUGUGCCCUUGUUACAGGGCCGCAUUAAGGAUCUCUUGGAAGGAGACCUCACCUGGUCAAGGUGACGCAGGUCAUGCUGAUUCACCGAAUAUUGCCCGACAAACAUCGCUCCCUUCGCCUGUGGGAGUUUAAUCCAGAGGGACCACAAGCUCUCCAGAAUUUCAUGGGUGCAACGCCCGCGGAGAUGUAUAAACUGUUCUUCGGAUCACAAGGGAUGUGUCCGGAUUUAACCGAGGACGCAGGCCUAAGCUGCAAUCGCCCAGAUACUCAAGUAAGCAACCUUGUGCCCGGACCUUCUAUCCGUAUAAUUGUCAUAAACUUGCCCCUAAAAGAGCCGUCCUUUUAAACAAGAGUGGAUAGCGAAGGCAAAGCUGAUCAGGUGUCUGGCUCCCCUUCCUGAAACCAGGGCGGAUCCCGUGCUAGUCAGGAUGCUGGAGAUAAUGCCUUUGGAGGGGGAGGACAAGGAAGUUAUGGCCUCCUCGAAGGAGGCUGCUCCGAAGGGAGGAACCAACAAUUCCUCUCCUAAGGGGAAGAAGAGAGCCGCCUCUGACGACCCGGAAACCAUGGCCUCGAAGCGGGGGAGAAAAUCCUCGUCAGAGGGUCCGACGCCGGGGAGUUCCUCGGCCGGACUACGCCCUCAAGGGGAUCAGCCCUCCAGCAAGCCGUAAGUAGAGAAAGAUUUUCCUUUUGAGGGAUGAGGGAAAUCCUUGAUUUAUAUCCGAGAAGAUUAACCAAAUUUUUACCUUGUAGCUCGGACCUCAGCCCUUCUCAGCAGAGCUCGUCUUUGGGGGAUCUCCUUCCGGAGAUGAUGGAGAGCGGGACACCUCCCCCUGCCGUGCCGCCUAGCGAGGCGGGCGACCCUGAGGUGUCGUCACGGAGGGUUUCUCCGAAUCCGGCAGGGGCGGAAGAUAGCUGUCACACCCUAGCUAGUUAUGCAUUAGAGUGUUGCAUCAUGUUUACUCAUUCAUCAGAAACUUGAAAUGGGGAUGACAGAACCCCCAGUCCCCUCUGAAACCAACUAGGGUUUACUAAAAUAAUUUUUCAAUGAACCUGAAAUGCCCUUCUAAAAUGCCCAUCAUUUUUGCCUUGGUUCAGAACCUCUGCCAAAAGUGGUGCACAUUUUCCUAGGCCAUCCUAGGGUUUUGAAUUAAAUCAUAACUAUUUGAAUUUGGGCAUUUAAAAUUAUAUAAAAUAUUUAAAUGCUCAAAUAUCUCCAAACUAAAAUGUUUCAUGUUGGAAAUAAUCCAACUAUGGACCAGGAGUAGUUUGGUGAUUUUUGGAGUUGCCUAGGUAUUUUAUUUAAUUCAACAAAGUCGCAGUUAUAUUAAAUAAAAACAGAAAAUAAAGAAAGGGGAAGACUUACCUGUGCGGCCCAGCCCAGCCGGCCCAGCACUGUGCUGGCCCGUGCCAGCCAGCUGCUUCCCCUCGCCAGAGCAGGCAGGGAGGUGAGCAUGGCGCGCCCGAGCUCGCCACGCACCACCCAGCCUCUCUGCAUCGCCCUGGUCGCCGUUGCGCCGCGUGGAUCGUCUUCUGGUCGUCGCCCCGACCUCGCCGACACCCCAUACACUCUCUCCUUCCUCUCCCUCACUCUCCCUCUCUCACGGCCGAAGCUCACCGUCGCCGCCGUUCGCCUUAGCCACCGUCUCCGACCACCCCUCGCUUCCCCGACCAGCUCAGAAGCUCCGCCUCGACUCCUUCUUCCUCCCCACCGCUCCACGGGUCCCCGGAAGCCCUGCAUCGCCGCCACGUCGCCGUUCCCCUCUUCGGACUCCGACCACCGUCGCCGUCAAAUUCGUCGUCUCCGACGCGUCCCCGAGCCCGCUUCGACGCCCACUGCAACCGCGGUGAGCUACGCCACCGUUUCCCCCUUCUCCCCUGCUCUCUCCCGACCCCUAGGCCCUAGCCCCACCGCGGCCGAAAGCUUCACGCCGCCGGCGAUGUCGCCGUCGUGGCCACGAUCGCCGUAGCGCCCAACCGAGCACGCCAUCGUGCUCCACAUCUCACUAGGAGCACGUAGCACGCUCCAACACCCCCCUAACACCCUGCAACACCGUUCCCGUGCACGACCGAACCCCGGCCGCCGCAGCCGAGCUCGCCGCCGUCGACUCCGGCCACCCCGACCCCAACGGACUCCGCCAAGAGCCGCGGGUCGUCCUCGGCUUCACUCCGGUGGCCUCCGCGGUUCAUUUGGUGGCCGAAACGACCAAAACCACUAUCGCCGCCGCACUGAUGGUCGCCGCCGGCCAGAACUCCGGCGAGCUGACAUGGCCUAGUUAAUUAGCCACUAAACCACCACCUACUGACGCUGACAAGUGGGCCCCAGGGCUUAGUCAAAGCUAACCAGCCUGGGUCAACACGGGAUUAGCCCCUGUGUCACUGACGUGUGGACCCCACACGUCAGGUUUGACCCGAGCCAGCCCUGUUGACCUGCUGAUGUCACUGUGACGUCAGGCUGACGCAGUAAAUGAUAUUUCUGGAUUUAAAUUAAAUCAGGAAAUUCCAGAAUAUUAAUUAAACUUCAAAAAUUCAUAACUUUUAUUCUGUAACUCCAAAUUGGACAAAUUAUAUAUGAAAAAUGAUCAGAAAAAUCCAAUCUAUCCAUCUGUACUAUUUUCAUGCAUGAUCCAACAAGUUAAAUGGAUGUUUUAAUCAGAACAAGGAAAAGCACUUUAAAAGGCCAUAUUUGAAAUUGAAAUUUGAAUCUUUGAUUCAAAUUUGUUCAAACCCUUCUGGCUUUAGUUGCAUUAGCCCAACACACUCAUAUUGCCAUGUUUCAUGCAUGCAUCAUAUUGUUGCACAUUGUUUGGUGAUGCCUGUGUAUCGUUAUCCUUUACGACAGGAUCUGUCCCCGAGGAGUACCGUGACUACCCUAACGAAGAACCAUAUCCGUGCAUCGAACCAUCAGGCAAGCAACCAAUCAUUUGAUCAUAUCGAUACAAUCCCAUGUUCUCGCUCCUGCUCUCCUUUACUGCAUUAAGACAACGCGAUUUAAACUGCUGUGUGCUACGGUAGUUGAACCCAUUUCCUCUGCAUGACCUGUCAUUGCCACAGUAACUAGAUGAAACCCACUAGCAUGUGUAGGAGUUGAUUGAGCCAUAUGUAUGUGUUGUUCCUACCUUGCUAUGCCUGCUAUGCUUAGAGUCGUGUCAGGUCUGGUUCAUCUGGGUGAUGGGCUAGAGUGAAAUGAUUAUGUCGGUAAUGAGAGUGGUGUGGUGAACACGAUUUGGUAAAGGUAUCGAUGAGAGGCCAUGUAGGAGUACAUGGUGGGUUGUUUCAUUGAAGCCGACCUUAAGCACUGAGAUCUGUAUGUGUGAUUUAAGAAUCAGCUACUACCAUGCAUUGGGCCCGAAACCAAUGGACCCUCUCGACUUCUUAUUCACCCUAGUUCUCCGUCCAGGAGUUGCAAGUAGUUUCUGGUGUUUGUAGCCUACUGGAGGCCGUGGACAGCGCUGACCGUAGGGGUGGGCUGUGAUGCGGUAGGUACGUGGCCGGGUGUACCGAAUACCCGUUAGGUAUCUCGGGAACCCUGUUCACAUCGUUCGGGCCGUAUGGGAAACCUCGGCCGGACUCCCUGCGGAUGGAACCUGAAUAGGCGAUAAACCUGGACUGGAGGCUUAGGUGAUUAGGUAGGUCGUGGCCGACACCCACGUUGGGCUUCCGCUUGAAGGUUGCCGAGUACAUGUCGUGUAAACGACGGUAAGUGGUGAGAGCGUGUAUGAAGAAGUACCCCCUGCAGGGUUAACAUGAUCUAUUCGAAUAGCCGCGUCCGCGGUAAAGGACUACUUGGUUGCCUAUACAGUUCAUAGACAAGUAAAUGGAAACUACUAAAAGCCUCAAGAUAAGUGUGAGUGCCGAGGAUGGCUCCUCCGUAGGAGGACGGAGGUGGAUCCUCGGUAGUGUAUUGAAGUGGUGAAUAGUGGACUCGUGUGCGCAAAACUAUUUCAAGUUGAAGUAUCGUAGGAUAGCCUAGCCAAGAGUCAAAGCUGGCUUGCUGCAAUAACUCCACCAACCCUUCUUGAUACUAUGCAUGUAUGUAGGAUCUGAUGUAAGUCUUGCUGAGUACCUUUGUACUCAUGUUGCUAUAAUCUACAUUUUUACAAAAGACGCUGCAACCCCUUCUGAUGGGUUCUAUGUAGACGUUGACAUCAACGAGUAGGCUAAAGACCCAGGUGGUGACCCUGAGCUUGUGAAGGACCACAUAGUAUAGUCAGAGGCUUUCCAAGCCUCUUUUAUUUUACUAGUUGUCUGUACUCAGACAAGUUACUUCCGCUGCUGGCUUGUAUGAUUGUAUGACUUGUAUGUUGGGUCGUGAGACCCGUACCUUUGUGUGUAUGUUAUGUAUGGCUCACUGAGCCUUAAAUAAAGUACUUGUGUCAUAGAGUCAUGUUGUGAUGCUUCGUUGUAUUUGCACAUAUCGAGCAUAUUGUGUGUACGAUUGAAAUGCUUGGUAUGUGUGGGAUCUGACUAUCUAGUUGUUUAUCUUUAGUAGCCUCUCUUACCGGGAAAUGUCUCCUAGUGUUACCGCUGAGCCAUGGUAGCUUGCUACUGCUCUGGAACACUUAGGCUGGCCGGCAUGUGUCCUUCUUCGUUCCUGUGUCUGUCCCUUCGGGGAAAUGUCACGCUUUGAGUACCGGAGUCCUGUUAGCCCGCUACAGCCCGGUUUACCGGAGUCCUGCUAGCCCAGUGCUACAGCCCGGACCCACCUGCUGAUGACCGACACGUUCGAAGCUGGGUCAUGGAUGCCUGUCCCUGUAAGUCUGUGCCACUUUGGGUUUACGACUAGUCAUGUCAGCCCGGGCUCUUUAUCAUAUGGAUGCUAGCGACACUUUCAUAUACGCGAGCCAAAAGGCGCAAACGGUCCCGGGAAAAGGUAAGACGACACCCGUGGGGAUACCGUGCGUGAGGCUGCAAAGUGAUAUGAGGUGUUACCAGCUAGAUCGAUGUGACAUCGAGUCGGGGUCCUGACAAUAGCUAUGUGGCCCCCCGAGGUUCUCCGCGUCCGGCCUUCGAAAGAGGUCGUGGGACAAGUCCGGCAACGUCUGGUGCUCGGCCGGAGGAGCUAAAGAUUCUUCUGGGGCGAGCUUCUAUCUCGGAGGAGCACCAUGCAUUGAUGGGCACGGUGAUUUAAAGGAUCUCAUCCGCAGAGAGCGGAUUGCAUGAGGCCGUCAAAAGUUUACUGAUGGGUUUUGAGGUACAUUAGAUAAUGCACACUUUAGUCAGUUGCGCAUGAAUAAGAUGCGCCCUGUGUAGAUAGUAGCCCCUGAGACUCUGCGCGUCGUCAAGAAAUGACGGCACGCGAAGGAUCAUAAUCCCAGGUCUAAGAUGUCGCCUUUGAAUGUAGGCGGCAGGGUGUCCACAAUCGAGCUGAACUGAUGAUUUUGCCGAACUAAAGCGGCAACUGGACGUGGCAGAUGCAGACAUCGCGCUUGUUAGCAACCGGCUUGAUGAGGCUCAAGGUAUGUGAUUCCUCGGGCGGCAUCAGGUAAGAAGAGUUUUAUGCCAGUGUCUUACAAUGUGUGUGCUUGACGCAGAUGGUGCGACCGACGUGGAGAGUCUUAGGGCAGAACUUGCUUGAGCUAAAGAACAAGCCAGAGAAAGUGAUGCGGCUGCCAAGAAAGCCCUUGAAGAGCUGAGAGCCGAACAGGCUGCUCAUUGCCGAAGCAAGGAAGAGAUGGUCGAGAUGGCCGAAAAGUUAAAGAGUGCUGCAGACCGUUGCUGACUUCUUGAGAAAGAAGACCAGGCGAAACAGACGGACUUAGAGAAGGCCGUUGCCAAUGCCAAGGACGCGCACUCUGCGAUGAGAGCUGCGAAGGAGGAGCUGCGUCAGGCCGAACAGAUUGUGGCUGGAAAGUCCUUUAUGCUGCGAAGGAAAUUUUGUGAUCCGAAGUUUGCUCCGUUGGACCGGAUGUGGAGUGUGGAGGAUACCUAUCUGGAUUUGGCAGCGAGUGCUGCUGAUGAGACCAAACACUUUCGAGAUCAGAAAGAUUGCGAAGUGGAAAAGCUUUUCUGGUCGCAGUUUCACAAUCCAGAGCGUCCACUGGCAGUGGACGAUCGUUUGGCUCAAUGGGCCGAACUGAAUAGGUUGUCCGGACUCGCCAUGAAGUACGUCAUGGGUCAUCUGUGGCCGGGGAGAUCAGAGCCGAAGAGUUAUUUCAGCUUGGUGCAGCAAUUCCUUGACGCGGUGCCGCGUAUUAAUGCAAUGAAGAGGUCAGCAUGCAUAGAGGGCGCAAGGAUGGCUCUUGCCCGUGUCAAGACAUACUGGGCAGAGAUGGAGACCACCGUUGUUGCGUCCCGAGCUUCGAACAAAAGCCGAGUACCCUCCGAGCACUAUUUUCAGGAAGUCCUUGAAGGCGCUCGUGUAAUAGAGACGCAGUGCUCGAAAGAUGCUAUGUUAUGAUAGCAUAUGUAAUUAUAAAGUAAUAUUUUGAUAAACUGUAGUGGCCUUUUUAUACUUGUGCCUUCAAGUAUUGGGGACACCUCCUGUGCGGCCGUUUUAAGAUAUAUAUAUAUACAAAAUCUGAAAGAUGGCAGUCGUUGGCUUCAGCCCCCAUGCACAUAGUGUGGGGGUGCUCACAGAAGACGCAUUUUCACACUUAACCCAACGUCUUGGUCCUACAAAGGAGGUGAUAGCGCAGCGGGCCAAGCAACCGGACUAUAAUGCUUUCACACUUUCACUUAGCCAUAGGAGCUUGAUAGUGAGACUAUUUAGGUAGCCUCUUGGUGGCGACUGCGCUCGCCCGAGUUUGGGGCGCAUAUGUGCCUGACCAGGAAGCGACCCUUCGUUAAAGCAGAGGAAUCCGAUAGAUUCCGAUAGGUCAUCGAGUGGCUGACCAGUCUCACGCUACAUCAUGAUAGUCAGUUUUCGGCUUUCUCUACUGAGGUGCUCGCCCGGCUGAACCAGGGCACAAUCACAAUAGUUCUCCUGGUGCUACCUUAGCCGAUAGAGCGGAACGUAAGGUAGCUGAACUCAGGAGCCAGGCAACCCAACAUUUGACCAAAGACAUGAUUCGGAGCUGAUGCAUAUAAUGCCAAAACUCGCGACGCUGAACACUCCCUAAGGUGUUCGGUCUUUAUGAGUGCGGGCAAAACAACACUCUUUUUUAAAAAAGCCCCUAGUGUCCAGGUACGUGCAAAAAUUCUGACGUGGCCACAUGCCAAGACGCCAGCCUCCUCCUUUGGUUAUAUCAGAAAAACCAGGGGAUGUGUAUCAACAAGAGACACUAAAAAAGGUUUACGCAGGGUCUUAAUCAAAAAAGAAUCCUUUAGGACGGGUCCCUACUGCACGUCUGCGCCUGUGUCUCCGUUGUGCCGUAUCCUGGACGGGCGCCGCUCGACAUUCAUUUGUAAAAGAGAGGAACUGAGUUGAAAACGGGUCGUGUCGAACAAAAGUUUAAAACAAACAAAGUAUAGAGUAAAAUAUAUAAAAUUGAGCUUUAUUGUCUCUUAUUGUAUAUGCAUGGAGCCCCUAGUGGGGGUAUAUGGCCACUAAGCCUGCAUCAAUGAUGAUUUUGUCCCGAACUCGUCUAUCCGCGUUCGUGGUCUUUAAUGUCCUAUUUCGAAGUUUUUUGGCCGGUGAGGCCAUUUUACUGUGGGGCUGUCAAAGCGGCCGCACAGUCCUCCGCUUGGGGAGGUGCACUUUAUUGCUUCCCAUUCAAAGAGAUGAUGCCUUGUGGACCGGGCAUCUUAAGAGUGAGAGAUGCAUAAUGUGGUAUUGCGUUAAAGCGGGUGAAAGCUUCGCGUCCUAGUAGUGCUUGAUAGCGACUUCAGAACAGGACAAUAUGGAAGGUCAGCUUUUCGCGGCGGAAGUUAACGGCAGAGCCGAAUAUAACUUCGAGCCGGAGAAAACCCAUACAAUGGGUGUCCGGACCAGGUGUUACCCCUUGAAAGGAGGUUUUGCUGCGGCGGAUUCUUGCUGGGUCUAUCCCCAUGUGAUGGAUUGUAUCCUGAUAUAUCAGGUUUAGUCCACUGCCGCCGUCCAUAAGGACAUUUGAAAACCGGAGUCCGCCAAUUAUUGGAUCGAGUAUCAAGGCAGUCCAGCCAGCAUUCUUGAUAUUUCUAGAAUAAUCUAGCUGAUCGAAGAUGAUUGGUUUUGACAAGUAGUGGCGGGACCCCUUUGGGGAUAGGCCGUGUGGUGCGUACCUUUAUGGGCGCCGCACGUUUUGUUAUGUGAAGUAAGUUCACUGUUUUUACUUCUUGUGGGAAGUUCUUUUGUUUCCUGGUGCUCUGCUUUUGGGGUUCGUCCUUGUCUUCACUUGGUGUGUCGAGCCCCUUGUGUUCGGCAUUGAGUCUGCCGGAUUGUUUGAAAACCCAACAAUCUUUGUGGGUAUGGUUAGCAGGCUUCCCAGGAGUAGUGUGUAUCUGACAUAUCCUGUCCAGGAUUUUAUUUAAGUUGGAUGGAUCGUCCCUGUUAUCCUGGAGGGGUGGUUUUGUCUGAUUUUGUCGUGAACCUUUGAAUCCGGCAUUGACUGCCGUGCUCUUCGGACUUUUUUCCUUAGUCCGGCGACGGUCCUUGUUGCGUCGCGGUUUUCCGUUUCCAUCCCUAGUUUCGGAUGUACUUUUGGGUCGCUGGGGCUGCACCUUGCCAACUAGCUGUCCUCUCCUGCAAAAAAGCGGGUCAUGAGGCUUGUUAGUGCGGCCAUUGUUCUUGGCUUUUCUUGGCCGAGGUGUCUGGCAAGCCAUUCGUCUCGGACGUUAUGCCUGAAAGUUGCUAAGGCUUUGGCGUCCGGACAGUCGACUAUCUGAUUCUUUUUAGUGAGGAAUCUAUUACAGAACUGCCGAGCUGAUUCUCCGGGCUGUUGAGUUAUGUGACUAAGAUCGUCUGCAUCCGGAGGGCGGACAUAGGUCCCUUGAAAAUUUGCUCGGAAAGCAUCCUCGAGCUCUUCCCAACUUCCAAUUGUGUUUUCAGGAAGGCUUUUAAGCCAAUGUCGGGCUGUCCCUUUAAGCUUAAGGGGUAAAUAUUUUAUGGCGUGGAGAUCAUCUCCUCUAGCCAUGUGUAUGUGGAGGAUAUAAUCCUCAAUCCAGACUCCAGGGUCUGUUGUUCCAUCAUAUGCCUCUAUGUUUAUGGGUUUGAAUCCCUCUGGAAAUUCAUAGUCCAGGACCUCAUCGGUGAAACAUAGGGGGUGUGCGGUGCCCCUGUAUUUGGGUGUGCCGGAUUUUGAUUAUGGCUUCAUAGCACUGCUUAUGAGAGCUUGCUUUCUUGGCCCAUAAAUGGACCUGACUGGGCCAUGAUGCGAAUCCUUAAGUGGGUUGCAUGCAGAUUUAGGUGCGGCGCCGCUUGCCGCUUUAUGGGAUCGUCUAUCUGACCGUGUGGCUUUCUCAUUUUUUGAAUGUGAGGGCUCUAGGGCCUCUUCGUCGAAUUCAGGCAGUAGCUUUCUUUUCGGAUAGCUUUUAGUGCGGCGACUGUCGCCGUAUUUAUCUGCGGUAUUGAUUACUUUGCUCCAUCUAAUCCUAGAGUGCAUCUUCCGCUGUUUUUAACUUCCGCUUCUGCUUUUUUAGGUUGUGUGUAGUUGCAACGAGCCUCUCCUGGAGAUUCUUCUGCUCCAUGGGUUUAUCUGGCGUGAGGUCGUCCGGAAUGCCGUUUUCGCUGGAGGAGGGAUGUUCGGUUUCUCUAUCCGUGUUGCCCUGUUCGGACGGUUGCUCUAAGGCCUGCUCGUCGUCUACCGGCUCGUCCUGCUUUAUGGCUGGGUUUUUAUCGAGGCGGGGCUUGGGUCGGCGUUUACGCUGACGCUUUGAUUGCUUUUCGGGGGGUCGAUCUCCCGUUCCAUCCCCUUUUUCCUUGUUGUCGCUUCCUUUAGGGGUAUCCACCAUGUACACAUCGUGAGAUGAGGUGCUGUCCAAUGCCCUAUGGGCGUUGGUUCAUCGGUAUCUCCUGCAUCGUCAUCCAUGCUGUCGAUGUCUCCGGAGUCUAAGUUGAGCACGUCGUUUAAAUUGUCGACCGUGGCUACCAAGUGGGUGGUGGGUGGGCUUUGAAUUUCUUCAUCGUCCCUAUCCCAUCCUCGCUGACCGCAGUUCGUCCAGGGCUCUCCUGAUAAAGAGAGAGACUUGAGAGAAUUCAGGAUAUCGCCAAAAGGCGAGUGCUGAAAGAUGCAUGUGGCGGUGAAAUCCAUUAUCGGCGCCCUAUCGGGUUCGAUUGGCAGGGGCGCGGGGGGUUCGGAGUCCGGGGAGGAGUCCGGGUCCUCGGAGUCACGGGUCGUACAGAGUGCGGGGCUAGCGUUCGGCUCGAUCGCUUUUGGGAUCGCAGCCCCCGAGGUGACGUCCAACCGAUCAUCCUCGAUUGGCGCAAUAGGCUCCGAGUUAGGGGUCGGAACCGAUGCGUGUGCGGCCUCCAGGACACUGUCCGGGGGCAGAGCUAGAUCAUGCCCCUCGAGGUAGUGCGACGCGCUUGGCCGUGGAUCGAACCGUUCGAAGAUCAAGUCUCCGCGGAUGUCAGCCGUGUAGUUUAAGCUUACAAACCUGACUUGAUGGCCAGGCGCGUAGCUUUCGAUCUGCUCCAGGUGGCCGAGAGAAUUGGCCCGCAGAGCGAAGCCGCCGAAGACGAAGAUCUGUCCGGGGAGAAAAGUAUCACCCUGGACCGCAUCGUUGUUGAUGAUCAAAGGAGCCAUCGGGCCUAAUGGCAACGACACAGAGGAACUCUCAAUGAAAGCACCAAUGUCGGUGUCAAAACCGGCGGAUCUCGGGUAGGGGGUCCCGAACUGUGCGUCUAGGCCGGAUGGUAACAUGAGGCAGGGAACACGAUGUUUUACAAAGGUUCGGGCCCUCUUGAUGGAGGUAAAACCCUACGUCCUGCUUGAUUAAUAUUGAUGAUAUGGGUAGUACAAGAGUAGAUCUACCACGAGAUCAAGGAGGCUAAACCCUAGAAGCUAGCCUAUGGUAUGAUUGUUGUAUAUGGAGUUGAUUGCCUACGGACUACAACCCUCCGGUUUAUAUAGACACCGAAUAGGGUUAGGGUUACAUAGAGUCCGUUACAAUGGUAGGAGAUCUUGAAUAUCCGCAUCGCCAAGCUUGCCUUCCACGCCAAGGAAAGUCCCAUCCGGACAUGGGACGAAGUCUUCAAUCUUGUAUCUUCACAGUCCAAGAGUCCGGCUGAAGGUAUAGUCCGGCCACCCGAACACCCCCUAAUCCAGGACUCCCUCAAUGGGGUUUAUUUCAUAUUGCAUGAAUUUAUCUCUCUACAUCAUGUCAUCUUGCUUAAGGCGUUACUCUGUUUUUAACUUAAUACUCUAGAUGCAUGCUGGAUAGCGGUCGAUGAGUGGAGUAAUAGUAGUAGAUGCAGAAUCGUUUCAGUCUAAUUGUCACAGAUGUGAUGCCUAUAUACAUGCUCAUGCCUAGAUAUUCUCAUAACUAUGCUCAAUUCUGUCAAUUGCUCAACAGUAAUUUGUUCACCUACCGUAGAAUACUUAUGCUCUUGAGAGAAGCCACUAGUGAAACCUAUGGCCCCCGGGUCUAUUCUCAUCAUAUCAAUCUCCAUCACUUUAAUCUUGCUUUGCUUUCUACUUUGCUUUUAAUUUUUACUUUGCAUCUUUAUACCAAAAAUACCAAAAAUAUUAUAUCUAUCAGAUCUCACUCUCGUAAGUGACCAUGAAGGGAUUGACAACCCCUAAUCGCGUUGGUUGCGAGUAGCUAUCAUUUUGUGCAGGUACGAGGGACUUGAGCGUGGCCUCCUACUGGAUUGAUACCUUGGUUCUUAAAAACUGAGGGAAAUACUUACGCUACUCUGCGGCAUCAUCCCUUCCUCUUCGGGGGAAACAAACGCAAGCUCAAGACGUAGCAAGAAGGAUUUCUGGCGCCGUUGCCGGGGAGUCUACGCACAAAGUCAACAUACCAAGUACCUAUCACAAUCUCUAUCUCUCGCUCUACAUUAUUUGCAAUUUGCCUCUCGUUUUCCUCUCCCCCCAAUUCACCCUUGCCGUUUUAUUUGCCCUCUCUCUCUCUCUCUAUCCUCCCUCUCUAUUUACCUCUUUUGCCCCUUUGCUCUUGUUUGCUCGUGUGCUAGUUUGCUUGUUUGUCGCGAUGGCUCAAGAUACUACUAAAUUGUGUGACUUCACCAAUACCAAUAAUAAUGAUUUCCUUAGCACUCCGAUUGCUCCUCUUAAUGAUGCUGAAUCUUGUGAAAUUAAUACUGCUUUGUUGAAUCUUGUUAUGAAAGAUCAAUUCACUGGCCUUCCUAGUGAAGAUGCCGCUACUCAUCUGAAUAGCUUCAUUGAUUUAUGUGAUAUGCAAAAGAAAAAAGAUGUCAAUAAUGAUGUCGUUAGAUUGAAGCUAUUUCUUUUUCGCUUAGAGAUCGUGCUAAAGCUUGGUUUUCGUCUUUGCCUAAGAAUAGUAUUGAUUCAUGGAACAAGUGCAAAGAUGCUUUUAUCUCAAAGUAUUUUCCUCCCGCUAAGAUCAUCUCUCUUAGAAACGAUAUUAUGAACUUUAAACAACUUGAUCAUGAACAUGUUGCACAAGCUUGGGAGAGAAUGAAAUUAAUGAUACCUAAUUGCCCUACUCAUGGUUUGAAUUUUUGGAUGAUCAUACAAAAUUUUUAUGCCGGAUUGAAUUUUGCUUCUAGAAAUCUUUUAGAUUCGGCCGCGGGAGGCACUUUUAUGGAAAUCACUUCUAGAAAUCUUUUAGGAGAUGCUACUAAACUCCUAGAUAAUAUUAUGGUUAAUUAUUCUCAAUGGCAUACUGAAAGAUCUUCUAAUAAAAAAGUGCAUGCGAUAGAAGAAAUCAAUGUGUUGAGUGGAAAGAUGGAAGAACUUAUGAAAUUAUUUGCUACUAAGAGUGUCUCUUCUGAUCCUAAUGAUAUGCCUUUGUCCACUUUGAUUGAGAAUAACAAUGAAUAUAUGGAUGUGAAUUUUGUUGGUAGGAAUAAUUUUGGUAACAAUGCUUAUAGAGGGAAUUUUAAUCCUAGGCCAUAUCCUAGUAAUCCUUCUAAUAAUUAUGGGAAUUCCUACAACAACUCAUAUGGAAAUUAUAAUAAGAUGCCCUCUGAAUUUGAGAAUAGUGUUAAAGAGUUUAUGAAUUCACAAAAGAAUAUUAAUGCUUUGCUUGAAGAGAAAUUGCUUAAAGUUGAUGAUUUGGCUAGAAACGUUGAUAGAAUUUCUCUUGAGGUUGAUUCUUUAAAGCUUAGAUCUAUUCCUCCUAAGCAUGAUAUCAAUGAGUCUCUCAAAGCCAUGAGAAUUUCCAUUGAUGAGUGCAAGGAAAGAACCGCUAGGAUACGUGCUUCCAAAGAUGCCUUUAUUAAAGCAUGUUCCUCCAAUUCCUAUGAAAAUCAAGAUGAAGAUCUAAAAGUUAUUGAUGUGUCCCCUAUUAAAUCUUUGUUUUGCAAUAUUAAUCUUGAUGAAAAUGAAUAUGAUCUUCCUUUACCUAGAAGGCGUUCUAAAAAUUCGGAGUAUUUAGAUAUUAAUGAUGAAAUUGAUGAAACUGGGAUUGAAAGAAAUAAAAAUCUAGAUGUUACUAAACCCACUAUAUUGGAUUUCAAGGAAUUUAAUUAUGAAAGUUGUUCUUUAAUUGAUUUUAUUUCCUUGUUGCAAUCCGUUCUAAAUUCUCCACAUGCUUAUAGUCAAAAUAAAGCCUUCACCGAACAUAUUGUUGAUGCCUUGAUGCAAUCUUAGGAAGAAAAACUUGAGUUGAAAGUUUAUAUCCCUAUAAAACUCUAUGAUGAGUGGGAACCAACUAUUAAAAUUAAAAUUAACGAUCAUGAGUGCUAGUGACUCUACUAUUCCCAAGACUUUGUGUGAUUUGCUAGAUUUCCGUAAUUUUGAUGAUUGCUCUCUAAACUUGCAUCUUGCGGAUUCCACUAUUAAGAAACAUAUGGAAAGGAUUAAUGAUGUUCUUAUUGUUGCAAAUAGGAAUUAUGUGCCCGUAGAUUUCAUUGUUCUUGAUAUAGAUUGCAAUCCUUCUUGCCCUAUUAUUUUUGGUAGACCUUUCCUUAGAACGGUUGGUGCGAUUAUUGAUAUGAAGGAAGGAAAUAUUAGAUUUCAAUUUCCAUUAAAAAGGGCAUGGAACACUUUCCUAGAAAGAAAAUAAAAUUGCCAUAUGAAACUAUCAUGAGAGCCACUUAUGGAUUGCCUACCAAAGAUGACAAUACCUAGAUCUAUCCUCGCUUUCAUGCCUAGCCAGGGGCGUUAAACGAUAGCGCUUGUUGGGAGGAAACCCAAUUUUAUUUUUAUUCCUUGCUUUUUUCUCCUGUUUAGUAAUAAAUAAAUUAUUUAGCCUCUGUUUUGGUUGUGUUUUUUGUGUUUAAUUAGUGUUUGUGCCAAGUAGAACCGUUGGGAAGACUUGGGGAAAGUCUUGUUGAACUUGCUGUAAAAAACAGAAACUUUAGCGCUCAUGAGAACUGCUUUCAUUUUUAUUUGAAGAGUGCUAUUUAGUUAAUUCUUUUUUGAAGAUGAUUAAUAGAUAAAUUCCUCACGUCCAGAAAUUUAUUUUACAAUUGUUGGAGUUCCAUAUCCUGAGGUAGCUACAGAUUACUAGAGACUGUUCUGUUUUUGACAGAUUCUGUUUUUUCGUGUGUUGUUUGCUUAUUUUGAUGAAUCUAUGGCUAGUAAAAUAGUUUAUAAUCUAUAAAGAAGUUGGAAUACAUUAGGUUUAACACCAAUAUAAAUAAAGAAUGAGUUCAUUACAGUACCUUGAAGUGGUCUUUUGUUUUCUUUCGCUAACGGAGCUCACGAGUUUUCUAUUUUGAGUUUUGUGUUGUGAAGUUUUCAUGUUUUGGGUGAAUUCUUUUGAUGGAUCAUGGAACAAGGAGUGGCAAGAGCCUAAGCUUGGGGAUUCCCAUGGCACCCCCAAGAUAAUCCAAGGACACCAAAAAGUCAAAGCUGGGGGAUGCCCCGGAAGGUAUCCCCUCUUUCGUCCACUUCCAUCGGUAAUUUACUUGGAGCUAUAUUUUUAUGCACCAACAUGAUAUGUGUUUUGCUUGGAGCGUCCUGUAUUAUUUGUGUUUUUGUGUCUUAGUAUGCCACAAUCAUCCUUGCUGUACACACCUUUUGAGAGAUCCAUACAUGAAUUAAAAUUUGAUAGAGUACUCUACGUGCUUCACUUAUAUCUUUUGAGCUAAGUAGUUUUGCUCUAUGUGCUUCACUUAUAUCUUUUGAGCUAAGUAGUUUUGCUCUAUGUGCUUCACUUAUAUCUUUUGAGCAUUAUAAUUUUGCUCUAUGUACUUCACUUAUAUCUUUUAGAGUACGGUGGUGGAUUUGUUUUAAAGAAACUAUUGAUCUCUCAUGCUUCACUUAAAUUAUUUUGAGAGUCUCUUAAUAGCAUGGUAAUUUGCUUAAUAAUAAUAUGCUUGGUAUUCAAGAUUUGUGAAACUUUCUUUUGAGUGUGUUGAAUACUAAGAAAAGAUUGAAGCAUGAUAAUUGUUUUGAGAUAUGGAGGUGAUUAUAUUAAAGUCAUGCUAGUUGAGUAGUUGUGAAUUUAAAGAAUACUUGUGUUAAAGUUUGUGAUUCUUGUAGCAUGCACGUAUGGUGAACCGUUAUGUGAUGAAGUCGGAGUAUGAUUUAUUUAUUGAUUGUCUUCCUUAUGAGUGGCGGUCGGGGACGAGCGAUGGUCUUUUCCUACCAAUCUAUCCCCCUAGGAGCAUGCGCAUAAUACUUUGCUUUGAUAACUUCUAGAUUUUUGCAAUAAGUAUAUGAGUUCCUUAUGACUAAUGUUGAGUCCAUGGAUUAUACGCACUCUCACCCUUCCACCUUUGCUAGCCUCUCUAAUACUGCACACUUUUCGCCGGUAUCAUACACCUACCAUAUACCUUCCUCAAAACAGCCACCAUACCUACCUAUUAUGGCAUUUCCAUAGCCAUUCCGAGAUAUAUUGCCAUGCAACAUUCCACCGUUCCGUUUACCAUGACACACUCCAUCAUUGUCAUAUUGCAUAUCCCGGUACACCGCCGGAGGCAUUAAUAUAGAGUCAUAUUUUGUUCUAAGUAUUGAGUUGUAAGAAAAAUAAAAGUUUGAUGAUCAUAAUUAUUAGAGAAUAUUCCCAGUGAGGAAAGAAAGAUGGAGACUAUGAUUCCCCCAUAAGUCGGGAUGAGACUCCAGACGAAAAAAAGAGGCCAAAGAAGCCCAAAUAAAAAGAGGCCAUAAAAAAGGAGAAAAGACCCAAAUAAAAAAAUUGAUGAGAGAAAAAGAGAGAAGGGACAAUGUUACUAUCCUUUUACCACACUUGUGCUUCAAAGUAGCACCAUGAUCUUCAUAGUAGAGAGUCUCUCAUGUUAUCACUUACAUAUACUAGUGGGAAUUUUUCAUUAUAGAACUUGGCUUGUAUAUUCCGAUGAUGGGCUUCCUCAAAUUGCCCUAGGUCUUCAUGAGCAAGCAAGUUGGAUGCACACCCACUUAGUUUCUUUUUGAGCUUUCAUAUACUUAUAGCUCUAGUGCAUCCGUUGCAUGGCAAUCCCUACUCAAUCACAUUGAUAUCUAUUGAUGGGCAUCUCCAUAGCCCGUUGAUACGCCUAGUUGAUGUGAGACUAUCUUCUCCUUUUUGUCUUCUCCACAACCACCAUUCUAUUCCACCUAUAGUGCUAUGUCCAUGGCUCAUGCUCAUGUAUUGCGUGAAGAUUGAAAAAGUUUUGAAAAAGUUAGACUAUGAAACAAUUGCUUGGCUUGUCAUCGGGGUUGUGCAUGAUUUAAAUAUUUUGUGUGGUGAAUAUAGAGCAUAGCCAGACUAUAUGAUUUUGUAGGGAUAACUUUCUUUGGCCAUGUUAUUUGAGAAGACAUAAUUGCUUUAUUAGUAUGCUUGAAGUAUUAUUAUUUUUUAUGUCAAUAUAAACUUUUUCUUGAAUCUUUCGAAUCUAAAUAUUCAUACCACAAUUAAGGAGACUUGCAUUGAAAUUAUGCCAAGUAGCACUCCGCAUCAAAAAUUCUCUUUUUAUCAUUUGCCUACUCGAGGACGAGCAGGAAUUAAGCUUGGGGAUGCCUGAUACGUCUCCAACGUAUCUAUAAUUAUUGAUUGCUCCAUGCUAUAUUAUCUACUGUUUUGGACUAUAUUGGGCUUUAUUUUCCACUUUUAUAUUAUUUUUGGGACUAACCGAUUAAUCGGAGGCCCAGCCCAGAAUUGUUGUUUUUGCAUAUUUCAGUGUUUCGAAGAAACGGAAUAUCAAACGGAGUCCAAAGGUAAUAAAACCUUCAGGAAAGUGAUUUUCUCACCGAACGUGAUCCAGGAGACUUGGACCCUGCUCCAAGGAACAAAAGAGGCGGUCACGAGGGUGGGGGGCGCGCCCCCUGCCUCAUGGGCCCCUCGGUGCUCCUCCGGCGUACUUCUUCCUUCUAUAUAUACACACGUACCCCCAAACGAUCAGAACAGGAGCCAAAAACCUAAUUCCACCGCCGCAACUUUCUGUAUCCACGAGAUCCCAUCUUGGGUCCUGUUCCGGAGCUCCGCCGGAAGCGGGCCGUCAUCACGCAGGGCUUCUACAUCAUCCUAGCCUCUCCGAUGAAGUGUGAGUAGUUUACCUCAGACCUUCGGGUCCAUAGUUAGUAGCUAGAUGGCUUCUUCUCUCUCUUUGAAUCUCAAUACAAAGUUCUCCCCCUCUCUUGUGGAUAUCUAUUCGAUGUAAUCUUCUUUUUGCGGUGUGUUUGUUGAGACCGAUGAAUUGUGGGUUUAUGAUCAAGUCUAUCUAUGAAUAAUAUUUGAAUCUUCUCUGAAUUCUUUUAUGUAUGAUUGGUUAUCUUUGCAAGUCUCUUCGAAUUAUCCGUUUGGUUUGGCCAACUAGAUUGGUAGUUCUUGCCAUGGGAGAAGUGCUUAGCUUUGGGUUCGAUCUUGCGGUGUCCUUACCCAGUGACAGAAGGGGCAGCAAGGCACGUAUUGUAUCAUUGCCAUCGAGGAUAACAAGAUGGGGUUUAUUUCAUAUUGCAUGAAUUUAUCUCUCUACAUCAUGUCAUCUUUCUUAAGGCGUUACUCUGUUUUCAACUUAAUACUCUAGAUGCAUGCUGGAUAGCGGUCGAUGAGUGGAGUAAUAGUAGUAGAUGCUGAAUCAUUUCGGUCUACUUGUCAGGGACGUGAUGCCUAUAUACAUGAUCAUGCCUAGAUAUUCUCAUAACUAUGCUCAAUUCUGUUAAUUGCUCAAAAGUAAUUUGUUCACCCACCGUAGAAUACUUAUGCUCUUGAGAGAAGCCACUAGUGAAACCUAUGGCCCUCGGGUCUAUUCUCAUCAUAUCAAUCUCCAUCACUUUAAUCUUGCUUUGCUUUUUUACUUUGCUUUUACUUUUUAAUUUGCAUCUUUAUACCAAAAAUACCAAAAAUAUUAUAUCUAUCAGAUCUCACUCUCUUAAGUGACCGUGAAGGGAUUCACAACCCCUAAUCGCGUUGGUUGCGAGUAGCUAUCGUUUUGUGCAGGUAUGAGGGACUUGAGCGUGGCCUCCUACUAGAUUGAUACCUUGGUUCUCAAAAACUGAGGGAAAUACUUACGCUACUCUGCUGCAUCAUCCCUUCCUCUUCGGAGAAAACCAACGCAAGCUCAAGACGUAGCAUCAAGCUUAAGGAAUUUGACCAGGGGUGUCUUGAGGAAUUUCACCAAGCGGUCUUUGACUUAGGUUCCAGAGUUGUAUAUAUUGAAAAUCCACACAAUUGAGAAAUAUUGAGGAAAAAUGUUGCUUAGAGGAACAAAUCAAGAACAUAUGCAAGUGUGGUGUUUAAGAGUGUGGAAGUUGAAGAAUAAACACCUUUGAUGAAGUAAAAAUAAAUUUUAUUUACAAGGGCAGUAAAAAUAAAUUUUAUUUACCCUUGAUGAAGAACACGACGAACUGGGAGUUGAAGUUGUGAAGUUCGUCCAUUCAGAUCUUGCACGCCCUAACUUGGCGGCGGAAGACAGCUACGGCGGCGGUGGAGUGAAGAUUUCCGCAGCCGGCGCGAGUACGAUGGCGACGAGGUCGAGGCAGUGAAGCUCUUCCUCACCGGCGAUGAUGGAUCGUAGCGGCGGCGCUAGGUCAGAGAGCUCAAGCGAGGGGGGUGAGGUCGAGCGGGGUAAAUGAGGUCAAAGGAGGUUGAGGGGUAUUUAUAGCCGAGGUGAAAAACCGUUCGUCUGAGGAAAAUAGACGAACGUGCCCCUGACCCUUCUCAUCCUAGUGACAUGUGUCACCCACGUACUGUGAAGUGGAGAUCGUGUGAGACCGUGGGUGAAUAGAAUAAUCUCAUCGUGGGGUGCGGAACGGUUAGAGCGACAAAAGCCAAAAAUUUAGAUAAGAAUAUUUUGAAGUUUCCUUUGCAAAUUUUUCAGCUGACAUGGACACAAUGAAGAUUUUGAACGGGUUUCAAAUAGAACGCCAUGAAGAAUUUGUGAAUAGACUGGGUUGAGUUUAGCAUAGAGGGGGAUGCGUCCGAUCACAUUCACUUAGCAGAAAAGUCAACUUGAAGAAUUAGCAAUAAGUGAAUGCUGUAGAUGUCACACCCUAGCUAGUUCAAGCAUUAGAGUGUGCAUCAUGUUUAAAUUUCUCUUAAAUUUGAAAUGGGGAUGACAGAACCCAUAGCACCCCCCCUGGAAUAACUCGGGUUUACUAAAAACAUUUUCAAUGAACCUGAAAUGCCCUUCUAAAAAGCCCACCCUUUUUGUUUUGGGUUAAAACCUUUGACAAAAAUGGUGCACAUUUUUCUAGGACAACAUAAGGUCAUUGGAUUAAUUCUUAUAGUAUUUGCAUUUGGGCAUUUAAAUGCUAUAAAAUAUUUUAAAUGCUCAAAUAAUCAUAAACUAAAAUGUUUGCUGUUGGAUAUAUUCUAAGCAGUGGCCAUGACUAAUUUUAUGAUUUUUGGAAAUGCCUUGGCAUUUUUAAUAAAGCCCUGAAGUUACAGAAAUAAUAGAAUAAAUGAAAAACAGAAAAGGAUAGAGAGAACAGAGACUUACCUGGCGUAGCCCACUUGGCCCACCGGCUCGGCCCAGUCCAUUGGCUCCUGCCAGUCGUCGUCCUCCUCUCGCCAGGAGGACGAGAAGCACGUGGCCGGCGCCCGCGGCCACACGCCGGCCACCUCCUGCUUCUGCCGAUGCCCCGGACGCGCCUACGAGUGCCACACAAUACCCCACGUCCCCCUCUCAUUCUCCCCACUCUCCCCGUGGCCUCUCCCCACUAGUAGGGAAAUCCUUAUACAUAGAAUCUUAGCAGCAGCGCGGUAUAAAAAUAGACGCUACUACUAAUUAGCAGCAACGAGCUUUAGAAAAGAGCGCUGCUAAUGACUGAGUAGCGGUAGCGCUCUAGGUGAAAAGAGCGCUACUACUAUAAUUGCCACGGUGUUGCCUCUAGGCUAGAUAUAGUAGUAGCGCCCUUCCCGUGGACGCGCUACUGCUAAAGAACUUAGUAGCAGCGGUUUUGCUCAAAACUCGCUGCUGGUAAGUAUGACCGCAACUAAUUAAGUUUAGUCCCAUACUACUAAGCGAACAAAGUGUUUACCACCUUAAAUAUGUUGCUUCUCAACCUAUCUCGAGCACUUGGUCUUCAUUGAACUAUAUGUGUAUGAUUUGUGGUUGCAAUAUGAAUCCUCGCCUGUGCCUAUACAGGUAUAGUGAGGAUUCAUGUUGACUAUUUAGAUUAUACACAAAAAGAUCAAUGAUGACCAAUGUAUAUUUUUGAUGUUUUUACUAAACAAAAGAAAUAACUUCUUCCAUUAGUAGUAGCGGUUUUUCCCAAAACUCGCUGUAGAUAAGUUAGCUAUAGCGCGUUUUCUGUACGUGCGCUACUACUAGUUCGAGUUAACCACCCCCCGCAUCAAAAUUUCGCUAAGUCCUCCUUCCCCCCCCCACUGGCCUGUUCCCCUACUCCCUGUCGCCNNNNNNNNNNNNNNNNNNNNNNNNNNNNNNNNNNNNNNNNNNNNNNNNNNNNNNNNNNNNNNNNNNNNNNNNNNNNNNNNNNNNNNNNNNNNNNNNNNNNNNNNNNNNNNNNNNNNNNNNNNNNNNNNNNNNNNNNNNNNNNNNNNNNNNNNNNNNNNNNNNNNNNNNNNNNNNNNNNNNNNNNNNNNNNNNNNNNNNNNNNNNNNNNNNNNNNNNNNNNNNNNNNNNNNNNNNNNNNNNNNNNNNNNNNNNNNNNNNNNNNNNNNNNNNNNNNNNNNNNNNNNNNNNNNNNNNNNNNNNNNNNNNNNNNNNNNNNNNNNNNNNNNNNCCCGCCACCGUCUCUCCCUCUUUAAGCCCCCCACCCCUCCCCAACCCCCUCUCUCUUUGCUUAGUUAGUAGAUGAUUUUAGUAGUAGUAGAUGCUAAUUUAGGGUUCAUAGAUAAUGAUUUUUAGAAGUAGUGGAUAGAUGUUAAUUAGUAGUAGAUGUAUAAUUAGCAGUAGUACAUGUUAAUUAGUAGUAGAUGUAGUAGUUAGAUGUUAAUUAGUAGUAGUAGAUGUGCUAGUUUCUUUCUAUUUAUAGUAAGUUUAUAUUUAGUAAGAACUAGUUGAAUUAAUAGAACUAGUUUAGUUUUAGUUGAACUAGUUAAGUUUUAGUUGAACUAGUAUAGUAAGUAAAUUAAUAACUAGUUGAACUACUUCAUUUUUAGGAAGAACUAGUUUUUUUCUUUUUAUACUAAGUUUAUAUUUAGUAAGAACUAGUUGAAUUAAUAGAACUAGUUGAACAUGCCAUAUUUGGUGUUAUUUUUUAGUUUAAGCUAUUAUUUCAUGUUUUGGUUACACCUCCGAGUGGCCUAUCUUUUGCCGGAGUGUUGAUUAAUUUCCGUUCCGGCGUGACUUGUGCUAGAAAAUGUGGGAAAUAUCGAGUGGCCUGGAUUUUCUUUGAGAAAUAAUGAUCUAAUUUAGGUUUUUUAGUACAUAUAUUUAAUUGUACAAGUUUAAUCUUUGAAUUAUGAACGAAGGAAAUGUCGUACUCGGACGGCGACAGUCUCCCGGGGGAGUGCAGCUGGUGCCACGACGAUCGAGGUAUGUGCGACAGGUUCAUUGAGCUGGACGAAGUUCGGCGCUUCAGCAUUAAGCUCGAGGAGACCUUCGAUGUUGAAACGGUACGCAACAACAACAAGUGUUUUUUCGUAAUUAAGCAUGACUUCAACUAUUUCAACGUCUAAUUUUCAUCCUUUACAAUUCGACUAGCUUAUCCCAUGCCAUGCAAGACGCUAUGUCUUGGAGAGGAUGGGUUUUGAAGACCAUGAAAUUUUUUAAACAAAGAACAUACACCUAAGGACCCAUCAUGAUAUCGAUUUUGAAGUAAAUCUGUAUAAUUCUCAGAGCGUAACCCAUUUUGGUUGUCAAAAUUGGGAAGCACUUUGCAAAAUGUAUGGUUUUUAUGAGGGUAUGAUUGUCACCAUGGAUCUUGGUCAUCCUGACAUCAAGCAAGACAAUAUGGACAUUUGGGUCCUUGUUGAUACGCUUCCGAUUCUACCGCAAUGUGAGUUUCUCAAACAUAGUUAUUAAUUAAUUUAUAUUGUUUAUUUCAAAAUAGUUGACAACUUAUUUCCAUUGACAGCUUAUUUCGAAUCUUCAAAGAAUGUGCAGAAGAUGGUAGACAAAACCCACUACACUGAUCGCUCCGAAUUAACUUAUAAGGAGAAAAAUCAUCUGAUUGCUUAUUGUACUUUUUUUGAGAAUUACAAUACCUAUUGUCGAACUCCUCCAAAUUAUGGUGAAUAUGUGCCACUAGUGCACGUGUUGAACCACGAUAACUUCUAUGGAGAUACCCUGGUAAGAUAUUUUACUAUUACGACAUCCGUGCAUCUUUUGCAUACUUCGAAAACUAGUACAUCAUUGCUAACUACGAAGUUAUUACUAUAUUUUUCAACAGAAAAUCCCGAUGGAUUGUGUGCCUCAUCUGAUGUAUUACAAUGGUCGCCUUGAAGUUCUGAACCUAUAGCCAGGUCAUCCUAUGGAUCUCACCUGUGCAUAUCGAAUUUCUGAAACCGGUGAACACAUGCUAAUCAAAGAGUGGAAAAAAUGUUUAGACAUUCGUAAGGAGGUUCUUGGAAGCAACAUUAAGCGAAAGGCAAGAAUUGGAGACAGGAUAAUCUGCAUUCUCCAUAAUGGAGAGCGAGGGGCUAUCUUGUUUUUUGCUAUUUUACCUUAGAGAAUAUAGUAGGUCCUAAGAGAAUGCAGUAGGUCCUAUGAGUUACAAUAUGUUUAUUAUGUGAUACAAUGUGUUAGAGUUGAAGAUGUCAGGAGUACUUGUGAUUACGACUAGUGACCAAUGAUAUGAUGAUGAUGAUGAUAAGUUGUUAAUGAUAUGAUGAUGAUGAUAUUUAUUAUAUCAUUGGGUGAAAGAACCGCGACUUAGUUUCAAGUGGAUGUCCGUCCACUUGAAACUAGUCCACACGGUUCUUUCACCCCGUGAUGUAAUAACUCAUUAUGAUGUAAAAACAAUUUGUAAAUUCCUGUUGUAUGAAAAUUUGUGUAAAGGUGUACGAAUACAACAUGAAAUAAAAAAGAAAUAAAAUAUGAAAUAAUAGUAGCAGUGCGGGCAGAGAGAAGCGCUGCUACUAAUUACCAGCAGCGCUCCUCCUGGAACUCGCUGCUACUAAGUCGAUUUAGCCAUAGCGUGGGUGGAGGCAUGCUACUGCUAUUCGUUAGCUGUAGAGCCUUAUCAGUAGCGCACCACCCCGCGCUACUGAUAGGUCUAAAACCCGCGCUGCUUCUAGCCUUUUCCCUAGUAGUGCCCCCCUCUCUGGCUCUCUCCCCAUUCCCUGCCGAGCGCAGCCGUCGCCGCCAACAAGCUCCACCGCAGCCACCGCCGUCCACUCGUUGCCUCGCCGUGCCAAGAAGCUCCACCGUCGUCCGCUACUUUGCCUCGACCCAUCCCCGAGCGCUCGCUCGCCCCAGAGACGCUGCACCGAGCUCGUCUUCAACCUCGGUCACCGGAGAUCCCCCUCGCCGCCCCGCUCGCUCCAGCUCUCCCCUGAGCUCGCCGUUCGCUCCCCUGCAACCGCAGUGAGCUACUGACCCGUUUCCCCCUCUCCCCGCGCUCGUCCGCGUCCUCUAACCACCAUGGCCAUCGGAGCCGAAGCUCGCCGCCGCCACCGCACAUCGCCGUCGUGGCCACAGCCACGUUGGGUCGCAACCGAGCACGUCUUCGUCUUCAACGCAGUCGCACGCCCUCGCCGUGCCUUCUAGCGACUAGUUCAACCUCACCCGAACUCCGGCCUCCGCGGACGUGCUCUCCACUGUCGUCUCCGACCACCCCAGCUCCACCUACUGCCACCACUCGAUGCGGCUCACUCCCCGCAUCACGUAGAUGGUCUCCGCCGUCCUUUUGGUCGCCGGAGUGCAAAACCCGAGCACUCCGCCGCGUCUGGCCUCGCCGGCGGCUAAACGCCGGCGAGUUUGACCCCUUUGACCGUGGACUAACGCGUGGGCCCAGGUUGACUCCCCCCCUGAGCCUAUGACAGGUGGUGUCGGCCUACUAAUUAGUUUAGGAUUAGUGUUAACUAAUUUUAAUUAGUUUAGUCACUGACAUGUGGGCCUAGGCCCCACUGACAGUUUAUUAGUACUAAUCUAAUCCUGUUAAUUAGCUAAGACACUGACAGACAGGGCCCACCAGUCAGGUUUGACCUGGCCGACCCAGUUGACCCACUGACGUCACACCUAUGUCAUGCUGAUGCAUUAAUUCAAUUACUGGAAUUAUUCUUAUAUAGGAAAUUCCAGAAAAUAGACAAAACUUCUAAAAAUCAUAGAAAAUCAACCAGAGCUCCAAAUCCAACAAAUUAUAUAUGAAAAAUGAUCAGAAAAAUUCAAUCUAUCCAUCUGUAAUGGUUUCAUGCAUGACAAAACAAGUUAACCUUGCUGUUUAAGCAGAAUAAGAUAAUGCACUAAUAAGGCCAUGUUAAAUGAGCUAACAUUUGAAUCUUUGAUUCAAAUGAGCUCAUUCCUUUCUAUUUUAGCUUGCAUUAGGCCAAGACACUUUCAUUUUGCCAUGUCAUAGCAUGCAUCAUAUUCUUGCAUAUUGUCAUGUGUUGAUCAUGUUCAUUGUGUCUUUCGUGGUAGGUUCUGCCUUUGAGGAUAACCCCGAGUAUCCGUCUGAAGGGCAGUACCCUACUACCACUACAAUAGGAAAGGAACCCAUUGAUCAUUCCGAUACAAACCCAUGUUCUCGCCUCUGCUCUUGUUUACUGCAUUAAGACAACGCGAUUCAAACUGCUGUGUGCUAUGGUAGUUGAACCCUUAUCCUCUGCAUGACCUGUCAUUGCCACAGUAACUAGAUGAAACCCACUAGCAUGUGUAGGAGUUGAUUGAGCCAUGUUUGUGUUUCCUACCUUGCUAUGCCUGCUAUGCUUGGAGUUGUGUCAGGUCUGGUUCAUCUAGGUGAUGGGCUAGAGUGAAAUGAUUAUGUCGAUAAUGUGAGGGAUGUGUUGAACAUGAUUUGGUAAAGGUAUCGAUGAGAGGCCAUAUAGGAGUACAUGCCCACUUCCAUGGUAAUUCAAACUCCGGGUUCCAAAUGGCAAACCUCUAGAGUAACCCAUGGGAACGAAAUUCUAGUUGAGAGACUUGUCUUCCUUGCAUCCUUAAUAGCUCUCAAGUCCUCGGACAUAAACAUCAUUUUGGGUAUGGACUGGAUGUCAGCUCAUUAUGCUAAGAUUGAUUGUGCCACUAGAACUGUUCAACUUACUCAUCCAUCGGGCAAGACAGUCAAUGUCUUAACUCGAGUGGCCAAGGGCCAGCUUUACUCCCUAAAUGCCAACCCCCUUCCAGACCUUGAGGAUAUUCUGGUAGUCCGAGACUUUCCGGAUGUCUUUCCAGAAGAACUGACAGGUGUUCCACCUGACAGGGAUGUCGAGUUCAUGAUAGACCUUGUUCUAGGAACCGUUCCAAUUUCUAGAAGACCCUAUAAGAUGUCACCCUUAGAACUAGCCGAGCUUAAGAACCAACUCAAUAAGUCCUUGAAAAAGGGUUUCAUCCAUCCUAGUUCCUCUCCUUGGGCUUGCCCCGUCCUCUUCGUCAGAAAGAAGGAUGGAACAGAUCGGAUGGUUGUAGAUUACCGACCUGUCAACUUGGUCACGAUCAAGAACAACUAUCCGCUUCCCAGGAUCAACGAUCUGUAUGAUCAGCUCGCUGGAUCCUCAGUCUUUUCCAAGAUGUAAUUGAGGUUGGGCUACCAUCAAAUCAAAGUCAGAAACGGGGACAUUCCCAAAAUGGCCUUUGUUACUCGCUAUGGCCAAUACGAGUACACCGUCAUGCCUUUCGGUUUAACCAAUGCCCCAACCACCUUCUCAUGGUUAAUGAACUCGGUCUUCAUGGAGUAUUUGGAUAAAUUCAUCGUAGUUUACCUCGAUGACAUACUCAUCUACUCCAAGAAUGAAGAGGAACAGGCCGAACAUCUAAAGCUGGUAUUGACGAAACUUCGAGAGCAUCGCCUUUAUGCCAAAUUCUCCAAGUGUGAAUUUUGGUUGCCAGAAGUGACCUAUCUAGGCCAUGUAAUCUCUGGUAAGAGUAUUGCUAUCAAUCCCGAGCGAGUUCAAGCUGUCCUUGAUUGGACUCCACCUGAGACGGUCAAGCAAGUUCGGAGCUUCCUUGGCUUAGCGAGCUAUUACCGCCGCUUCAUCGAGAAUUUCUCCAAGGUUGCUAAACCUCUAAUUGAACUCCUCAAGAAAGAUAAAAAGUUUGAGUGGACCCCACAGUGCGAGUUUAGCUUUCAGGAAUUGAAAAGACGCCUGACAUCUGCUCCCGUACUGGUACCACCAGAUUUCUCCAAGGACUUUAUUAUCCAUUGUGACACCUCGCGACAAGGACUAGGUUGCAUACUCAUGCAAGAUCGUCAGGUAAUUGCCUAUGCUUCACGGCAAUUACACCCAUAUGAGGAAAACUAUCCCACACAUGAUCUAGGGCUUGCAGCCGUAGUCCAUGCACUCAAAACUUGGCGACAUUACCUCCUCGGUAAUCGUUGCGAGAUCUUCACCGAUCACCAAAGUUUGAAAUAUAUCUUCACCCAACCGGAUUUGAAUCUCAGGCAAAGACGUUGGGUCGAGUUGAUCUCGGAUUACGACUUAGCAAUAACUUACACCCUGGGCAAAGCCAAUGUCAUUGCUGAUGCGCUAAGUCGUAAAUCUUAUUGUAACAACCUGAUGUUACAAUAAAGUCAACCACUUCUCCACGAGGAAUUUCGUAAGCUCAAUCUUCACAUUGUUCCUCGAGGAUUUCUAUCCACCCUGGUGGCAAAGCCUAACCUUUCGGUUCAGAUCAUAACCGCCCAGCGGUAUGAUAAGGGAGUAUCCCGGAUUAAGGAAAACAUCGCUAGCGGAGUUGCUAAAUGUUUUUCCAUGCAUGAGCGAGGUGUUGUCUUCUUCGAGAACCGCUUGGUGGUUCCCAAGAAACAACAUUUACGCCAGUUGAUUCUUAAGGAAGCUCAUGACUCCCCUCUCACCAUUCAUCCCGGUAGUACUAAAAUGUAUCAAGACCUACGCCAGAGGUUUUGGUGGACUAGGAUGAAGAGAGAAAUCGCUCAAUACAUUGCUAACUGCGACGUUUGUCGUUGUGUUAAAGCAGAGCAUCAAUGGCCUGCUGGCACCCUUCAAUCUUUGGCUAUUCCUGAGUGGAAAUGGGAUAAAAUCAGUAUGGAUUUCAUUACUGGGUUUCCCAGGACCAAGAGAGGGAAUAAUGCCAUCUUCGUCGUGAUCGACCGUCUUUCCAAAGUAGCCCAUUUCCUACCUGUUCGUGAGAGUAUCACCGCUAGCCAGCUAGCUGAUUUAUACAUCUCUCAAAUAGUGUCUCUUCAUGGUGUCCCAUUGGAAAUUAACUCAGACCGUGGAAGUCUCUUCACCUCUCGAUUUUGGGAAAGUUUCCAAAAUGCUAUGGGAACUCGUCUCUCUUUUAGCACCGCCUUCCAUCCUCAAUCAAGUGGUCAAGUAGAGCGAGUCAAUCAAAUUCUGGAAGAUAUGCUCCGAGCUUCUGUCAUCUCAUUCGGAAUGGGUUGGGAGAAAUGCCUUCCAUUCGCGGAGUUUGCUUAUAACAAUAGUUAUCAAGCUAGCUUGGGCAAAGCUCCUUUCGAAGUUCUCUAUGGACGAAAAUGUCGAACGCCUCUUAACUGGUCAGAAACCGGGGAAAGACAACUCUUUGGCCCAGAUAUGAUUCAGAAAGCAGAAGAGCAGGUUCGCGUUAUUCGUGAGAAAUUGAAAAUAGCCCAAUCUCGUCAAAAGAGCCAAUAUGAUCGUAAACAUAAGCUCAUGACUUAUGAAGUCAGCGAGAAGGUUUACCUUCGGGUUACUUUGUUAAAGGGAACCCAUCAUUUCGGUAUCAAAGGCAAAUUGGCUCCUCGUUACAGCAGACCCUUUCGCAUUCUUGACAAACGAGGAGAAAUUGCCUACCAAUUGGAACUACCUUCGCAUCUUUCCAGAGUUCACGAUGUCUUCCACGUUUCUCAACUCAAGCAUUGCUUCGCGGAUCCUAUCCGUGGAGUGGACCACGAAAUGCUUGAUCUACAAGAUAACCUCUCAUAUCGGGAAUAUCCCGUUCGUAUCCUUGAUCAAGCCGAGCGUACCACUCGGCGCCAAAAUAUCAAGUUUCUCAAGGUUCAAUGGUCACACCAUUCCGAGAAAGAGGCCACUUGGGAAAGGGAGGAUCGUGUUCGACUCGAGUACCCCACCUUCUUCCCGGAGGAUCCUAAAUCUUGGGACGAGAUUCUUUUGAGUGGGGGUGAGUUGUCACACCGUAGCUACUUCAAGCAUUAGAGUGUGCAUCAUGUUUAAAUUUCUCUUCAAUUUGAAAUGGGGAUGACAGAACCCCCAGCACCCCCCUUGGAAUAAUUCGAGUUUACUAAAAACUUUUUCAAUGAACCUGAAAUGCCCUUCUAAAAAGCCCACCCUUUUUGUUUUGGGUUAAAACCUUUGACAAAAAUGGUGCACAUUUUUCUAGGACAACAUAAGGUCAUUGGAUUAAUUAUUACAGUAUUUGCAUUUGGGCACUUAAAUGCUAUAAAAUAUUUGAAGUGCUCAAAUAAUCAUAAACUAAAAUGUCUGCUGUUGGGUAUAUUCUAAGAAGUGGCCAUGAUUAAUUUUAUGAUCUUUGGAAAUGCCCUGGCAUUUUUAAUAAAGCCCUGAAGUUACAGAAAUAAUAGAAUAAAUGAAAAACAGAAAAGGAGAGAGAGAACAGAGACUUACCUGGCGCAGUCCACUUGGCCCACCGGCUCGGCCCAGUCCACUGGCUCCUGCCAGUCAUCCUCCUCCUCUCGCCAGGAGGACGAGAAGCGCGUGGCCGGCGCCCGCGGCCACAUGCUGGCCACCUCCUGCUUCCGCCGACACCCCGGACGCGCCUACGAGUGCAACGCACUCCCCCACGUCCCCCUCUCAUUCUCCCCACUCUCCCCGUGGCCUCUCCCCCCUCUCUGGCUCUCUCCCCAUUCCCUGCCGAGCGCAGCCCUCUCCGCCGACAAGCUCCACCGCAGCCACCGCCGUCCACUCGUUGCCUCGCCGUGCCAAGAAGCUCCACCGUCGUCCGCUACUUCACCUCGACCCAUCCCCGAGCGCUCGCUCGCCCCGGAGACGCUGCACAGAGCUCGUCUUCAACCUCGGUCGCCGGAGAUCCCCCUCGCCGCCCCGCUCGCUCCAGCUCUCCCCCGAGCUCGCCGUUCGCUCCCUUGCAACCGCAGUGAGCUACUGACCCGUUUCCCCCUCUCCCCGCGCUUGUCCGCGUCCUCUAACCACCAUGGCCAUCGGAGCCGAAGCUCGCCGCCGCCACCGCACGUCGCCGUCAUGGCCACAGCCAUGUUGGGUCGCAACCGAGAACGCCUUCAUCUUCAACGCACUCGCAGGAGCCCGUAGCACCCCCGCAGGCCCCUCGCCGUGCCUGCUAGCGACUAGUUCAACCUCGCCCGAACUCCGGCCGCCGCGGACGUGCUCGCCGCCGUCGUCUCUGGCCACCCCAGCUCCACCUACUGCCACCACUCAACGCGGCUCACUCCCCGCAUCACGUAGAUGGUCUCCGCUGUCCUUUGGUCGCCGGAGUGCAAAACCCGAGCCCUCCGCCGCGUCUGGCCUCGCCGGCGGCUAAACGCCGACGAGUUUGACCCCUUUGACCGUGGACUGACGCGUGGGCCGAGGUUGACUCCCCCCUGAGCCUAUGACAGGUGGGGCCGGCCUGCUAAUUAGUUUAGGAUUAGUGUUAACUAAUUUUAAUUAGUUUAGUCACUGACAUGUGGGCCCAGGCCCCACUAACAGUUUAUUAGUACUAAUCUAAUCCUGUUAAUUAGCUGAGACACUGACAGACAGGGACCACCAGUCAGGUUAGACCUGGCCGACCCAGUUGACCCGCUGACGUCACACCUAUGUCAUGCUGACGCAUUAAUUCAAUUACUGGAAUUAUUCUUAUAUAGGAAAUUCCAGAAAAUAGCCAAAAUUUCUAAAAAUCAUAGAAAAUCAACCAUAGCUCCAAAUCCAACAAAUUAUAUAUGAAAAAUGAUCAGAAAAAUUCAAUCUAUCCAUCUGUAAUGGUUUCAUGCAUGACAAAACAAGUUAACCUUGCUGUAUAAGCAGAAUAAGAUAAUGCACUAAUAAGGCCAUGUUAAAUGAGCUAACAUUUGAAUCUUUGAUUCAAAUGAGCUCAUUCCUUUCUGUUUUAGCUUGCAUUAGGCCAAGACACUUUCAUUUUUCCAUGUCAUAGCAUGCAUCAUAUUGUUGCAUAUUGUCAUGUGUUGAUCAUGUUCGGUGUGUCUUUCGUGGUAGGUUCUGCCUCCGAGGAUAACCCCGAGUAUCCGUCUGAAGGGCAGUACCCUACUACCACUACAACAGGCAAGCAACCCAUUGAUCAUUCCGAUACAAACCCAUGUUCUCGCCUCUGCUCUUAUUUACUGCAUUAAGACAACGCGAUUCAAACUGCUGUGUGCUACGGUAGUUGAACCCUUAUCCUCUACAUGACCUGUCAUUGCCACAGUAACUAGAUGAAACCCACUAGCAUGUGUAGGAGUUGAUUGAGCCAUGUUUGUGUUUCCUACCUUGCUAUGUCUGCUAUGCUUAGAGUUGUGUAAGGUCUGGUUCAUCUGGGUGAUGGGCUAGAGUGAAAUGAUUAUGUCGAUAAUGUGAGGGAUGUGUUGAACAUGAUUUGGUAAAGGUAUCGAUGAGAGGCCAUGUAGGAGUACAUGGUGGGUUUUUUCAUUGAGGCCGUCCAUAAGAACUGAGAUCUGUAUGUGUGAUUUUAAGAAUCAGCUACUAUCAUGCAUUGGGAUCCUUAAUUGACCCUCUCGGCUUCUUAAUCAUCCUAGUACUCUGUCCAGGAGUUGCAAUUAGUUUCUGGUGUUUGUAGGUUAUGUGUUGGCGGUCGUGCGUAGCGCUGACCCUAGGGGUGGGCUAUGUUGCGGUAGAUACACCGUGGCACGGUGUACCGAGUCAGCCGUUUGGUGUCUCGGGAACCCUGCUCACAUCGUUCGGGGCCGUAUGUGGAAACCUCGGCCGGACUCCCUGCAGAUGGAACCUGAAUAGGCGAUAAACCUGGACUAGAGGCUUGAGUGUUUAGGUAGGCCGUGGCCGACACCCUCGUUAGGCUUCCGCUUGAAGGUUGCCGAGUACAUGUCGUGUAAACGGCGGUAAGUGGUGAACGCGUGUAUGAAGAAGUACACCCCUGCAGGGUAUAAAACUAUUCGAAUAGCCGCGUCCGCGGUAAAGGACUACUUGGUUACCUAUAUAGUUCAUAGAAAAGUUAAUGGAUACUACUAAAAGACUCAAGAUAAGUGUGAGUGAGGGAGUCCUGGAUUAGGGGGUGUUCAAGUAGCCGGACUAUACCUCCAGCCGGACUCCAGGACUAUGAAGAUACAAGAUUGAAGACUUCGUCCCGUGUCCGGAUGGGACUUUCCUUGGCGUGGAAGGCAAGCUUGGCGAUGCGGAUACUCAAUAUCUCCUACCAUUGUAACCGACUCUGUGUAACCCUAACCCUAUCCGGUUUCUAUAUAAACCGAAGGGUUGUAGUCUGUAGGACAUCAACUCCAUAUACAACAAUCAUACCAUAGGCUAGCUUCUAGGGUUUAGCCUCCUUGAUCUCGUGGUAGAUCUACUCUUGUACUACCCAUAUCAUCAAUAUUAAUCAAGCAGGAGUAGGGUAUUACCUCCAUCGAGAGGGCCCGAACCUGGGUAAAAACAUCGUGUCCCUUGUCUCCUGUUACCAUCUGGCCUUGACGCACAGUUCGGGACCUCCUACCCGAGAUCCGCCGGUUUUGACACCGACAUUGGUGCUUUCAUUGAGCGUUCCUCUGUGUCGUCUCCUUUAGGCCCGAUGGCUCCCUUGAUCAUCAACAACGAUGAGGUCCAGGGUGAGACUUUUCUCCCCAGACAGAUCUUCAUCUUCGGCGGCUUCGCACUGCGGGCCAAUUCGCUUGGCCACCUGAAGUAGAUCGAAAGCUACGCCCCUGGCCGUCAAGUCAGGUUGGGAAGCCUAAACUACAUGGCAGACAUCCACAGAGAUUUGAUCUUCGACGGAUUGGAGCCACAACCAAGCGCGCCGCACUGUCUCGCGGGGCAUGAUCUAGCUCGGAAACAAAUACAUAAACUGUUUUGAAUUUUUUUUGAAUUUACUGUUCAUAGAGGGUGUAGGGGCAUCCAGGUACUGAAAAUCCUAUCUCGAAAACAAAUACAUAAACUCAUAUUAUGACGGAGGCAGAAGCGGAGUGUUCACCAGAACUAAAGACAUCUUGAACAGUAGGCUGAAAAAAAGAAACCAACAAAGUUAUUCGAUUGAUGAGAUGAUUAACAAAUAUUAUGACAUAUCGUUCCUAUAUAAUAGGAUAUGUCAGCGACGGUAAAGUGCUCCAUUUGCGAAUAGGGAUUCUAUCCGUAUUCUGCCAUGCUCGAUGUAGCAGUAGCACUAUAGAAGUUGCGCCAUUAUGCUCACCAUGUGUAGGGCCUAAUUGUGUGUUCUUUGGGCUGCAAAACACCCAUGUGCUCAUAUUCAAAAUGGAAAAUUCUGUUUCCGCGUCUGUUCUAUCGGAAAACAUCUUCCAUUUCCGCAUAAAACAAUUCAUUUCCAUUUCACUUUUUCAAAUUUCAAUUUCCACUUCCAUUUUCCCUCACCAUUUACUCUUGUCCGCAGGAAAGGCUGAAAGUUUCCGCUCCAUUUACCCCUACUUGGCUACUCAUGAGGUUGGAGUGUGUUAAUUUGGGUUCGUAAUAGUAGGGUCAGCACAGUUAUCCAUGUCGCGACCCAUGCACCAGCAGUUUCCUAACCCCUCACUCAGUAAUUGGCUUUAGUGUGCAGCGUGCAAUUCCUGAUGCCUCCCAAGCCUACAUUACGGCCAACUCAUGUCAAUUUUGUGAUCUAUGUCUUCAUUUUUUCUUGUAUGCAUGAAAUUGCAACUCUAUGCCUAGAAUGGUUGAUUGUGACAGCAUAAGUUAGCUCCAAUCAAGGCUGUAUUAUGCGCUAGCAGGCUAUGUUUUUAUGGAAAAAAUUGGAGAAAAAUGUUAUAUAUAUUGAGCCACACUGGUAGAAAAAGGGCCUAUAGUCCCGGUUCGUAAGGGCCUUUAGUCCCGGUUCCUAAACCAGGACUAAAGUGUCGGUACUAAUGCCCCGACCCUUUUAGUCCCGGUUCAAUCCAGAACCGGGACUGAUGGGCCUCCAGGUGGGCAGUGCGCAGAGCCCAGGCAGGAGACCCUUUGGUCCCGGUUGGUGGCACCCACCGGGACAAAUAGGCAUCCACGCGUUAGCAUUUCUGUGGCUGGGGUUUUUGUUUUUUUUUGAAGGGGGUGGGGGGUUUGGGGGUUUUGGGGGGGUUAAUUUAGGUGUUUCAUAUAUUGUGUUAGCUAGCUAUAAUUAAUAGAGAGAAGUGUCCUCUCUUAUGUCCGUGCUUGGUCGACGCUACGUACUAUACAUACGUAUAGAGAGGACUAGACACGCUAGCUAGCUAGUAAGCAAACGAAGGAAACAGAAGAUCGUCAUGAACAUAUAUGCAUACAGAGAGAAGUGAUAUCGACCACCUCUCCUUCUCCGAGAGAUUGGUCGAACAACAAGUUCUCGUAUAUCUAUCUGACACUACCGGCUACAUAUAUACAAUAAUUAUCUCUUACAAAUAUAAUCAUACGGACUCAGGGUCCACAUAGAAUUCUCCGUCUUCAGGGAUCACGUGGUCAAGAAAGAAUGCCUCCAAAUCUUCUUGAAUUGCUCGCAUGCGAGCUGGUGCUAGGAGUUCAUCCCGCUUCCGAAACAUCUAAUUUAAAGAAGGGGGUCAAUAUAUAUAUAUAUAUAUGAAUGAAUGAAACUCAACACAAAUGAUGGUAAUAAAAUAAAAUUGUGAAUGUUGUUAUUUACAUACUUCAUAUUGUUCGUCAGUGUAGCCCUGCUCACAGGUCGUGUGGCGGAUGGACUCGCAAACGUAGUAUCCACAGAAAUCAUUCCCUUGUUCCUGCCACAACCACUUUACAAGAAAUAGAGGUUAAUCAAACUGAUAAGCAAGAAUGCCAAAUGGUAUUGAUGAAACUAGUGCUUGAAUGACUAGUAGAUGCACUUAAAAUGCUACUAUAGUACUUACUUUCGGGUGUCUAAAUUGCAGCUCCUUCGGCAGUCCCAGAGCUUUUCUGGUGAAUUUUCUCCAAACCCUGCCGGACAAAGAAAACAAUUACUUGAUAUAUGAGGAAAUGAACAAAGUUGCUGAUAUGGUGGAUAAUGAUCGAUUUAACUUACUUCUCGAGUAUUUGAGUCAUGUCUGCAUAGUCCUGGGGAUCUUUUCGUCUUGAGUCUAAGACGGUUACUAGUCCCUGCUUAAGCUUAAUCUCUAGGAGAAUAUAGUGGAAACUGCACACGCAUGCAUAACUCAUCAAUUACGUUACUAUAACCUUGACUAAUAUAUAAGGGAAACCGAAUACGCACAAGACAUUAACACUCACUUGAAGUUGUAAGGAAAGAGUAUUAUAUCUUUGUUUUCAUUUAUUACGAACGAUCGUAGGAAGUUGGCCUCGGUAGCUGCGGCAUGAAAUUUAACCUGAGUUGCAUCUAUGAGAUAUGUGUUAAUGAACCCAAUAUCACCGACUUGUCUUUUCUUCAAUUCGGCGAUCUUCAAUCUGCAUAAUAUAGUGAGGAUGAUUAUAAAUACAUGCAAUGAAAGAGCUAAGCUAUAUAGAGAAACUUAAUGACAGAAGUAGUACUACUUACACACAAUAGCAGGCGACCGUUGUUUUAUCGAGGGCCAAUUGAUUGAAAAAGUGAUAGAACUCCUCAAAUGGAACAUGCAACAGUUCAAUUCCAACGAGGUCAUGCUCCUUUUUAACUUUCACAUACAAUGUACUCCUCCCCCCAGAGUCUCUGCAGAUUUUCAAGUACCAAUCAUGCAAUCUUCGGAUCAUCGUUGAUAGAGAUCUUUCAUCUUUGACGAGAGGCUUCCCGUACUCGUAUCUUUGUAUCUGCACGUCCAUGGGUUCAUAAUGUACUUCGUCGGGCAGGUAAUCUGCAAGAUUGCUAUAACUGGGCACCAUCCUCGGAUCAUUAGCAAUGUUGUGGCUAGGCACCUUGAGCGGGGGGCACGAUUGCUUCGCUUGUUCGCCGAGCUGGGCAAUUUGUUUCCCAGCUCGUCGUUCUUUCAGCCUUUGAUCACUGACUGUACUUCCCGACCGCUCUGCUUCGGCAAAUUCCUUUCCAAUAAUGCGCUCAUAGUUUCCUUUCGGCGGAGACUUCGGUGGUUUUGUCAGGGCAGCCAGAGUGCACUUCACUUUCACCGGAUCUACCUUCUCCUCCGGAGGUGGAUGUCUCUUUGCUCUCAACCCUUGAAACCAGUCAUCCACUUCGGUUCACGUGAUCUCGGCGUUCUCCUCCGGGGUCCUCUCAUAUGGUAACUUCUCUGGAGUCUUCACAGAAGGACCGAAUCUGUAUGUCCUCCCGCCUCUGGUUGUACUGCUAGACGUCGACCGAGUAGACGGAGCGGUUGUCUUCUUUACUUUCUAACGAGGCGGAGGAGAAGGACUACGACGCACCAGAGCAGCUAGAGCGGUGGCAGGUCUCUUCCACCCAUGCUAACGAGGCGGAGAAGGAGGAGGCUGGCUGCUCGGGCGCGUCGACACAGGAGGAGAAGGAGGCGGAGUGAUGCCACGCGCCGGAGAAGGAGCUGGCCGAGGGCCCUGAUCGUCACUCGCCGAAGGAGGAGGUGGUGGAGGAGGCGGAGUGCCCUGACUUGCCGGAGGAGGAGGAGGAGGCGGAGGCGUCCAGUUCGGAAGGUUGAUGAGCUCCUUCCGCCAUAGGCAUGGAGUCUUCAGAGCAGACCCCAGCCGAGUCUCCCCUUCACCGGUAGGGUGGUCAAGCUGGAGGUCCUCAAAUCCCUCCGUUAUUUCAUCCACCAUCACCCUAGCAUAUCCUUCUGGAAUUGACCGACAGUGAAAAGUUGCGCCGGGUUCAGUAGGAUAAACAGAGCCAACAGCCACCUUCACCUUCAAAUUCAUCCAUUGCGUCAUAAGGUGGCAAUUUUGAGACUCCGUGAUAGCAUCCAAGGGAUAGCUGGCAGGAGCCGUCAAGGCAUGCUCCGGCUGAAGCAGCUCGGUGGAAGCCACGCUGCUUCUGCGCUGAGAUGGCGGGGUAGCUUCAGGGGAGGCUUCGGCAGUACGUUUGCUGUGAUUUGCUUCUCGUUCCUCUAUCACGUCUACCCUUGCUUGCAGCGCCUACAUUUGGGUCCGCUGCACUUUUUUCCUCCUCUCAUGGGACUUGUAACCGCCUGCGUCCGGAAACCCAACCUUCCACGGAAUGGAGCCUGGCGUGCCUCGUGUCCGUCCAGGGUGCUCAGGAUUCCCGAGGGCCAUUGUGAGCUCGUCGUUCUCUUUGUCUGGACAGAACGUCCCUUCCUGCACUGCUUCGAUAUACUGCUUAAGCUUCCUGACUGAUAUGUCCAUUUGCUCGUUCGUCCAAAUGCACUUCCCUGUUAUAGGGUCCAAGGUUCCGCCAGCCCUGAAGAACCAAGUCCGGCAACGGUCUGGCCAGUUAAUUGUCUCUGGUUCGAUCCCUUUAUCAACCAGAUCAUUCUCAGUCUUGGACCACUUAGGCCGGGCUACGAGGUAGCCACCUGACCCCGUGCGAUGGUGAAGCUUCUUCUUCGCAGCAUUUUGCUUGUUUGUCGCGGACAUCUUCUUACUCUUUUCCGAUGUCUUGUGGGCAACAAAUGCGGGCUAGUGAUCUCUGAUCUUCUCAUAUCUGCCCUUGAAUUCUGGUGUCUCAUUAUUUUUGACAAACUUAUUCAGCUCUUUCUUCCACCUCCUGAAUAGUUCUGCCAUCCUCUUAAGAGCAAAAGACUUGAUUAAUUUCUCUUUAACUGGGUUCUCUGGAUUAUCCUCUGGCGGUAGGGUGAAAUUUGACUUCAGCUCAGUCCAAAGAUCAUUUUUCUGCAUAUCAUUGACACAAGACACCUCAGGGUUUUCUAUAGCCGGCUUAAACCAUUUCUGGAUGCUUAUCGGGAUCUUGUCCCUAACCAGAACCCCACACUGAGCAACAAAUGCGCUCUUUGUCCGGAGGGGUUCAAUCGGUUGGCCGUCGGGCGCAAUUGCUAUGAUCUCAAACUUUUCAUCCGAGCUCAACUUUUUCUUCGGGCCUCGUCUCUUUACCGAAGUUGUGCUCGAUCUGGAGGGCUAGAAAAAAGAACAAAGACUUAAUUAAUAUGUGUACAUACAAAAAACAAUGAAUGCAUCAAUCAGCUAGUCAGCACAGGCUUAACUAAUAUAUAUACCUGGCCGGACUCGGUUCGGUCACCGGAGUCGUCAUCACGGUCUCCUUCUUGCACCGGCAUUGGGUCACUGGAGCCGUCCUCAUGUUCUUCUUCUUGCACCGGCAUUAGGUCACCGUAGCCAGCUUGUUCACCCUCUCCUUCCAGACCAUCGGUUUCGUUGACAAAAAACGAGACGGCAUCACUUCCUUCUGCGAUUAUGUCCCUCAACAACGCUUCUUUUACUUCGUCUAGGGCGGUGUCCAUAGUUUCUACAAAUAUUUACAACAUGGCAAUUAUUAUUCAAACAUGACAGAUGGAUAUAUUAGUGCCAAACGUAGAACUAGCUACCUAAUCAUAGUAAGCUAUCAGGAGGGGGUAUAUAUCGACAACGACGACACUACAUCUAUGUCCCUCGACGACCCUCAUUCCCGAUAAAAAAAAGAGGAAGAAGAAGAAAAAAAAUAGGAGAAGAAAGAACUCCUCUAUUCUUUCUUCUCCUAUUUUUUUCUUCUUACUCUUCUUUUUUUAUCCUCUUCUUCCUCUAAUGUUCGAGAGGAUCGCCGAGGGGUCGGGAGGUUGCGUAGUGUCAAAGGAUUCAACAAAACCAUGUCUUCAUCAUUAGGCGAAAGUAACAUGUGCAUGAUGGUACGAAGCUCUUCAAAGUUGUUCUGGAACGGAGUCCCAGAUAGGAUAAUUCACUUUUUGGUACAAAGUUCACCAAGAGCCUUCCGAAUAUCGCUAUUUGGAAGGCCUUUGCUGAAUUCGUACCAAAAGGCGGAUUAUUCUAUCCGGGACUCCAUUCUAGAACAACUUUGCAGAACUUCGUACCAACAUGCCUUGGUUACUUCCGGCUAAUGAUGAAGGCAUGGAUUUCUUCAAUACUUUGACACUAGGAAACCUCUCUCGACCCCUCGGCGAUCGUCAACCCCUCGAACCCUCAACGACCCUGGAACCCUCGACCCCUAGACGACCCUCUUCUUCCUCUCAUUUUCGAGAGGAUCGCCGAGGGGUCGGGAGGUUGCGUAGUGUCAAAGGAUUCAACAAAACCAUGUCUUCAUCAUUAGGCGAAAGUAACAUGUGCAUGAUGGUACGAAGCUCUUCAAAGUUGUUCUGGAACGGAGUCCCAGAUAGGAUAAUUUGCUUUUUGGUACAAAGUUCAGCAAGAGCCUUCCGAAUAUCGCUAUUUGGAAGGCCUUUGCUGAAUUCGUACCGAAAGGCGGAUUAUUCUAUCCGGGACUCCAUUCCAGAACAACUUUGCAGAACUUUGUACCAACAUGCCCUGGUUACUUCCGGCUAAUGAUGAAGGCAUGGAUUUAUUCAAUACUUUGACACUAGGAAACCUCUCUCGACCCCUCGGCGAUCCUCGACCCCUCAAACCCUCGACGACCCUGGAACCCUUGACCCCUUGAACCCUCGACGACCCUGGAACCCUCGACCCCUAGACGACCCUGGAACCCUCGACCCCUAGACGACCCUGGAACCCUCGACCCUCGACCCUAUAGAACCCUCGAACCCUCGACCCUGAAACCCUCGACCCUUGACCCCUUAACGACCCUCGACACUCUACCCUAGUUCCCGACCCUCGACCCCUCGGCGAUCCGUGACACCCUCGUUCCCGAUAAAAAUUAAGAAGAAGAAGAAGAAGAAGAAGAAGAAGAAGAAGAAGAAGAAAGAGGAGAAGAAGAAGAAAGGAAUAGCUAGAGGAGAAGAUCGAAGAAAAAAAAGAAGAAAAAAAGAGGAGAAGAAGAAAGGAAUAGUGGAGAAGUAGAAAAAAUAGAAUAUAUUCUAUUUUUUCUACUUCCCCACUAUUCCUUUCUUCUUCUCCUCUUCUUUUUCUUCUUUUUUCUUCUUCUUAUUUAUUUAUCCUCUUCUUCUUCUUGUUUAGUUCUCUCGACCCCUCGUCCCUCUCUUGACCCCUCGACGACCCUCGUCCCUAAUAACAUUUUUUUCUCCCCUCGACACCUCUCGACCUCUCGUCCCACUCUCGACCCCUCAUCAUCAUCUAUCACCCCCUCGUUUUCUUUAGCAUAUAUCCAUGAACAAAAUAGAGGAGAAGAUCGAAGAAAAAAAAGAAGUCUUCCUCUUCUUAUUUUCCUUUUUCCACUCCUUCCUUUUCUUCUUCUUCUUCUUCUUCCUUCUUCCUUCUUCCUCUUUUCUUCCUUUUCCUUAUUUUACUUUUUCCUCUACACUAACCUAAUUAAAAUGCACUAACCUAAAAUCGAUAUCUACUAACAAACUAAAUAAAAAAUUAAUACAUAUAUGAAAAAACAUAUAUAAACAAAAAAAUGCUAUGAACAUUAUAUUCAUACAUACAUAUAUAGCCACACCCAUUCAUCAUAUAGCUAUAAACAAAAAAAUUAAUACAUAUAUGAAAAAACAUAUAUAAAAAACAGAGCCUCGACGGCGGCGGCUCACAACGGGGGCGNNNNNNNNNNNNNNNNNNNNNNNNNNNNNNNNNNNNNNNNNNNNNNNNNNNNNNNNNNNNNNNNNNNNNNNNNNNNNNNNNNNNNNNNNNNNNNNNNNNNNNNNNNNNNNNNNNNNNNNNNNNNNNNNNNNNNNNNNNNNNNNNNNNNNNNNNNNNNNNNNNNNNNNNNNNNNNNNNNNNNNNNNNNNNNNNNNNNNNNNNNNNNNNNNNNNNNNNNNNNNNNNNNNNNNNNNNNNNNNNNNNNNNNNNNNNNNNNNNNNNNNNNNNNNNNNNNNNNNNNNNNNNNNNNNNNNNNNNNNNNNNNNNNNNNNNNNNNNNNNNNNNNNNNNNNNNNNNNNNNNNNNNNNNNNNNNNNNNNNNNNNNNNNNNNNNNNNNNNNNNNNNNNNNNNNNNNNNNNNNNNNNNNNNNNNNNNNNNNNNNNNNNNNNNNNNNNNNNNNNNNNNNNNNNNNNNNNNNNNNNNNNNNNNNNNNNNNNNNNNNNNNNNNNNNNNNNNNNNNNNNNNNNNNNNNNNNNNNNNNNNNNNNNNNNNNNNNNNNNNNNNNNNNNNNNNNNNNNNNNNNNNNNNNNNNNNNNNNNNNNNNNNNNNNNNNNNNNNNNNNNNNNNNNNNNNNNNNNNNNNNNNNNNNNNNNNNNNNNNNNNNNNNNNNNNNNNNNNNNNNNNNNNNNNNNNNNNNNNNNNNNNNNNNNNNNNNNNNNNNNNNNNNNNNNNNNNNNNNNNNNNNNNNNNNNNNNNNNNNNNNNNNNNNNNNNNNNNNNNNNNNNNNNNNNNNNNNNNNNNNNNNNNNNNNNNNNNNNNNNNNNNNNNNNNNNNNNNNNNNNNNNNNNNNNNNNNNNNNNNNNNNNNNNNNNNNNNNNNNNNNNNNNNNNNNNNNNNNNAAUUUGUGUGAAUCACUAGUUUAUGAAUAACUUUACUAUAAAAAUAGAUUUUUUUUCUAUUUAUUUUUUAUUUAUACUUAAAACUAAAUACUUAUAGUUUUUUAGUGAUUUCUUUUUGAUUUUAGGUCACAAAAAUUAUAAACUUUCUGUUAGUGGCAUUAGUUUGAAAAUUUUGAAUAGUUUAAAUUUGUAUUUUUUAAAAUUUGUGUGAAUCACUAGUUUAUGAAUAAUUUUACUAUAAAAAUAGAAUUUUUUUUCUUUUUUGCUAUUUAUUUUUUAUUUAUACUUACAAUUAAAUACUUAUAGUUUCAUUUUAGGUCACAAAAAUUAUAUUCUUUUUGCUAUUGAAGAAUAUUAUAGUUUUAUUUGAGUUGAUCAUAACAUAAUAUUUUAAUUGAUUGUUUUUAUUUUCAUAAAAGUUUUGUAGUUCAUUCUGUUUGCUAUUAAUUCAUUCUUUGAGCUAAAUGACCCUGAAAUUGGAAAGCAUUUAAAAUGAACUUUGAAAAAGUUGAAAGUUGGGAUGGUAUCAUAAUUUCACCCACAUAGCAUGUGCAUGUACAAAACGGACAAUGGUAGCAUGUUCGUGUGUUACAAAGUUGGCAUGGUAUCAUCAUAAUAGUUGCGGGAGAUAGUCUUCACUUUUUCUUCGCUUGUGUCAUUUGCUUAUUACGCCGUAACCAUGGAUAAUCUUCAUUGUCUAUCAGGAUGCUUGAGUCAGCCUUGACAUUGAAGGGAGGAAUUUCAUGAAACUUUUCAUAAUCUUCAGACAUGUCUGGCUUGCCGUCCACUCCCAGGAUGUCCCUUUUUCCUGAAAGAACUAUGUGGCGCUUUGGCUCAUCGUAUGAUGUAUUCGCUUCCUUAUCUUUUCUUUUUCUCGGUUUGGUAGACAUGUCCUUCACAUAGAUAACCUGUGCCACAUCAUUGGCUAGGACGAACGGUUCGUCAGUGUACCCAAGAUUUUUCAGAUCCACUGUUGUCAUUCCGUACUAUGGGUCUACCUGUACCCCGCCGCCGAACAGAUUGACCCAUUUGCACUUAAAUAAAGGGACCUUAAAAUCAGGUCCGUAGUCAAGUUCCCAUAUGUCCACUAUGUAACCAUAAUAUGUAUCCUUUCCGCUCUCGGUUGCUGCAUCAAAGCGGACACCGCUGUUUUGGUUGGUGCUCUUUUGAUCUUGGGUGAUCGUGUAAAAUGUAUUCCCAUUUAUCUCGUAUCCUUUGUAAGUCAAUACAGUCAAAGAUGGUCCCCUGGACAACAAGUACAACUCAUCACAAAUAGUGUUGUCACCUAUGAGACGUGUUUCCAACCAACUGCUGAAAGUCCUGAUGUGUUCACAUGUAAUCCAGUCGUCGCACUGCUUCGAGUAUUUGGAGCGUAGACUGUUCUUGUGUUCAUCGACAUACGGGGUCACCAAGGUAGAGUUCUGUAGAACUGUGUAGUGUGCUUGAGACCAAGAAUAUCCGUCCCUGCAUAUUAUUGAGUCUCUUCCAAGAGUGCCUUUUCCAGUCAGUCUCCCCUCAUACCGCGAUUUAGGGAGACCUAUCUUGUUAAGGCCAGGAAUGAAGUCAACACAAAACCUGAUAACCUCCUCUGUUUGAUGGCCCAUGGAGAUGCUUCCUUCUAUCCUAGCGCGAUUACGGACAUAUUUCUUUAGGACUCCCAUGAACCUCUCAAAGGGGAACAUAUUGUGUAGAAAUACGGGCCCCAGGAUGAAAAUCUCGUCAACUAGAUGAACUAGGACGUGCGUCAUGAUAUUGAAGAAGGAUGGUGGGAACACCAGCUCGAAACUGACAAGACAUUGCUCCACAUCACUCCUUAGCCUUGGUAUGAUUUCUGGAUCGAUCACCUUCUGAGAGAUUGCAUUGAGGAAUGCACAUAGCUUCACAAUGGCUAAUCGGACGUUUUCCGGUAGAAGCCCCCUCAAUGCAACCGGAAGCAGUUGCGUCAUAAUCACGUGGCAGUCAUGAGACUUUAUGUUCUGAAACUUUUUCUCUGGCAUAUUUAUUAUUCCCUUUAUAUUCGACGAGAAGUCAGUCGUGACCUUCAUACUGAGUAGGCAUUCAAAGAAGAUUUCCUUCUCUUCUUUCGUAAGAGCGUAGCUGGCAGGACCUUUAUACUUCUUCGGAGGCAUGCCGUCUUUUUUGUGCAAACAUUGCAGGUCCUCCCGUGCCUCAGGUGUAUCUUUUGUCUUCCCAUACACACCCAAGAAGCCUAGCAGGUUCACGCAAAGGUUCUUCAUCACGUGCAUCACGUCGAUUGAGGAGCGGACCUCUAGGACUUUCCAGUAGGGUAGGUCCCAAAAUAUAGAUUUCUUCUUCCACAUGGGUGCGUGUCCCUCAGCGUCAUUCAGAACAGCUAGUCCACCGGGACCCUUUCCAAAGAUUACGUAGUGUAAAUCAUUGACCAUAGCAAGCACGUGAUCACCGGUGCGCAUGGCGGGCUUCUUCCGGUGAUCUGCCUCGCCUUUGAAAUGCUUGCCUUUCUUUCGACAUUGAUGGUUGGUCGGAAGAAAUCGACGAUGGCCCAGGUACACAUUCUUACUGCAUUUGUCUAGGUAUAUACUUUCAGUGUCAUCUAAACAGUGCGUGCAUGCGUGGUAUCCUUUGUUUGUCUGUCCUGAAAGGUUACUGAGAGCGGGCCAAUCGUUGAUGGUCACGAACAGCAACGCCUUAAGGUUAAAUUCCUCCUAUCUGUGCUCAUCCCACGUACGUACACCGUUUUCAUUCCACAGCUGUAAAACUUCUUCAACUAAUGGCCUUAGGUACACAUCAAUGUCGUUGCCGGGUUGCUUAGGGCCUUGGAUAAGAACUGGCAUCAUAAUGAACUUCCGCUUCAUGCACAUCCAAGGAGGAAGGUUAUACAUACAUAGAGUCACGGGCCAGGUGCUGUGAUUGCUACUCUGCUCCCCGAAAGGAUUAAUGCCAUCCGCGCUUAAAGCAAACCAUACAUUCCUUGGGUCCUUUGCAAACUCAUCCCAGUACUUUCUCUCGAUUUUUCUCCACUGCGACCCGUCAGCGGGUGCUCUCAACUUCCCAUCUUUCUUUCGGUUCUCACUGUGCCAUCGCAUCAACUUGGAAUGCUCUUCGUUUUUGAACAGACAUUUCAAUCGUGGUAUUAUAGGAGCAUACCACAUCACCUUCGCAGGAACCCUCUUCCUGGGGGGCUCGCCGUCAACAUCACGAGGGUCAUCUCGUCUGAUCUUAUACCGCAAUGCACCACAUACCGGGCAUGCGUUCAGAUCCUUGUAUGCACCGCGGUAGAGGAUGCAGUCAUUAGGGCAUGCAUGUAUCUUCUCCACCUCCAAUCCUAGAGGGCAUACGACCUUCUUUGCUGCGUAUGUACUGUCGGGCAUUUCAUUAUCCUUUGGAAGCUUCUUCUUCAAUAUUUUCAGUAGCUUCUCAAAUCCUUUGUCAGCCACAACAUUCUCUGCCUUCCACUGCAGCAAUUCCAGUAUGGUACCGAGAUUUGUGUUGCCAUCUUCGCAAUUGGGGUAUAACCCUUUUUUGUGAUCCUCUAACAUGCGAUCAAACUUCAGCUUCUCCUUUUGACUAAUGCAUUGCGUCCUUGCAUCGACAAUGACCCGGCGGAGAUCAUCAUCAUCGGGCACAUCGUCUGGUUCCUCUUGAUCUUCAGCAGCUUCACCCGUUGCAGCAUCAUUGGGCACAUCGUCUGGUUCCUCUUGAUCUUCACCAGCUCCCCCCGUUGCAGCAUCACCGUAUUCAGGGGGCACAUAGUUGUCAUCGUACUCUUCUUCUUCGCCGUCUUCCAUCAUAACCCCUAUUUCUCCGUGCCUCGUCCAAACAUUAUAGUGUGGCAUGAAACCCUUGUAAAGCAGGUGGGAGUGAAGGAUUUUCCAGUUAGAGUAAGACCUCGUAUUCCCACAUUCAGUGCAUGGACAACACAUAAAACCAUUCUGCUUGUUUGCCUCAGCCACAUCGAGAAACUCAUGCACGCCCUUAAUGUACUCGCGGGUGUGUCUGUCACCGUACAUCCAUUGUCGGUUCAUCUGCGUGCAUUAUAUAUAAUUAAGUGUCCAAAUUAAUAGAAGUUCAUCAUCACAUUAAAACCAAAGUGCAUACAUAGUUCUCAUCUAACAACAUAUAGCUCUCUAGAGCAUCUAAUUAAUUAAACCAUACAUUGAAACUAUGUAAAACAUUUCAAUGCGAAAACAAAUGCGAUCAUAAUCGCAACCAAGGUAACAAUUGAUCCAACGGCAUAAUGAUACCAAGCCUUGGUAUGAAUGGCAUAUUUUCUAAUCUUUCUAAUCUUCAAGCGCAUUGCAUCCAUCUUGAUCUUGUGAUCAUCAGCGACAUCCGCAACAUGCAACUCCAAUAUCAUCUUCUCCUCCUCAAUUUUUUUUAUUUUUUCCUUCAACAAAUUGUUUUCUUCUUCAACUAAAUUUAACCUUUCGACAAUAGGGUCGGUUGGCAUUUCUGAUUCACAUACAUCCUAGAUAAAUAAAAUCUAUGUCACGUUGGUCGGCAUAAUUUUCAUAAACAAUAAAUGAACCAAUAGCUAUAAAGAUAAUAUACAUACCACAUCCGAAUCAUAGACAGGACGAGGGCCGACGGGGGCGGAUACCAAAACCAUCGCACUAUAUAAGAUGCAAUAAUAAAUGUAAGAAAACGAUACAAGUAUCUAUCUAAACAUACAAGUAAGAAUAUUUUUCCUUUCAGAAAGAAGAUAAGAACAAGAGGCUCACCACGAUGGUGUCGGUGAUGAGAUCGGCGCGGGUGAUCGACGGCGGUGAAGACGGGGACGGGGCAUGACGGACCGCUAAAUCUAGACAAAUCUCGAGGAAAAUGGAGCUUGGAGGUCGAGCUUGGAGAGGAGAAAGCUUAAGUAGUGUCGCUCGGGCAUUCCAUCGAACACCUCAUGUGCAUAGGAGGUGAGCUGGAGCACCACAAAGCUCUCUCCCCCUCGGCCAGAAAAAACAGAGCAAUGUGCUCUGCUCUUGCGCGAGGGGGUAUAUAUAGGCACCUCAUUGGUCCCGGUUGGUGACAUGAGUCGGGACUAAAGGGGAGCCUUUGGUCCCGGUUCAAGCCACCAACCGGGACCAAUGGUGGUGGGCCAGGAGCGAGGCCCAUUGGUCCCGUUUCAUCCCAUAAACCGGGACCAAAAGGUCCAGAUGAACCAGGACCAAUGGCCCACGUGGCCCGGCCGGCCCCCUGGGCUCACGAACCAGGACCAAUGCCCACAUUGGUCCCGGUUCUAGACUGAACCGGGACUAAUGGGCUGACCCGGCCUGGACCAUAGCCCUGUUUUCUACUAGUGCCAGUUGGAUACUAGGGUGACACCUAUGACACACUUACUAUUUUUUCUGGCGACGGUGCACCUACCCACUUUGCAAGUAAUCUCAGGGCAUGUGAGCAGUACGGAAGAUAUGAAGUGGCUCCUUACUGUUAGUGCAUCCUGGUAAAUUGUGGUGUUGAGUUUGUGCCAAAGAAAGUUUCUUAGAGGGAAAGUGCCCAACACCCACUCUCCAUUUGCUUUGAUCGAAACCAAAUGCCUUCCAACCAUUUUCUAUGAAGAGAAAAGAGCAUAGUACUGCCGCAGCUCAGGCCUAACAAUUGUAGAAAAUCAAAAGUCAAUUGAUGUCAAAUUUAUUAAACCAUCACCACGGCAGGAAUGCCCAGCAGUGGUUGGUGCAAAAAGCCUAGUAGUGACGGGUCAGGCUCUCAAGGCCGCUCGCCACUGACCUCCCGCCAUAGCUUUGUUAUGGCACAGUGUUGUAGUGGCGCGUGUGCGUUAUCGCCCGGCACAACUAUAAUAACUACCGAGUUAUUUGUUUGUAUGUACCCGCCACUGCUUUGUCUCUGCUUGCCACUGUUGUGCGUAUUAGUAGUGCUAGGCACCUUUGCCGCCCGCCACUGGUAGAAUGGUAGUGAUGUUGUUAUAUAGAGUAAUUGCUGUCGUGGCAUCAUUUUAAUGGUGCUAAAGCAGUAUUUUGCACUCGAUUAUUCCACUGGGAUCAAACAAUCGUAUUACAAUGGUGAUACAAUAAUUAGGAGUAUUAAUGAUGCAAACAUACAGUAUAAGAAGUGUAGGGCAACAAAUAAAUAUGCGUGUCUUAACUCAUAUAAUGAACAACGAAUCAAGAUGUUCUGAAGCAGUGUAUCGCUCGUAAUCGAUUACCGUAAUAUGUCUUCGACUCGAUUAAGUCGUUCUUCAUCUCGCUCUAAUUGGCAGUGGAAUUUCCAAUCCUCAUUUACAACCUCUUUGUUGAUGAUUUUGGCCAACAUCUUUAGGAGGCCCCCAUACUCUGCUAAUAGUUUUUCUAUGUCCAUGUCCCUCUCCAUCUCUUCAUACCACUUGAUGAUCUGGCUAUCACUAUCAAAUAUUUGCUUUUCUUCAAAAUGUGGUCCAUGAUAGCCAUAGCAUAGUAGCCAGACCUAUGAGAGGUUUUCACAUUUUGUUUUUGAUAGCAACAAGCGCUAGUGAAGAACUUGAAUUUUGAAAGUUCUGUUAUCGUCUCUCUGAAGUUUUUACACUUGGUGACAGCAUCAUUUAUAACCUUCUUCAAUCUGGUCCGUUGGUUUUUAGGUUGUCUUUUUGAAUCGAUGAAAUAAGUCAAGCCCUGCAUCGGCAAUAGUGCGAUUACGAUCCAAUGUCGGUCGCUGCGCAAAAAAAUGAAGAAAUUAGCAUUGAUGAGAUCAAACCACAAGGCCAUUUAUAUGUUUCAAAAUAAAUGAGUGACAACUUACUUGUUGUAGUAUGGCACUAGAUGUGUCCGUAUGUGGAUGAUUGACGAUAAAGAACGGGAAAAAGUAGUCUGAGAUGACCUCCUAGCCUUCUGCGGCUUCCAGGUUGUUGCAGUGCAUGUAAAAAGGAUCAGGAAACUUUACUAUGCGGGAGUAGGGCAUUUGUAGCUCGAUGAAGCACCUAAAGCCGCAUUAACUCUGAGGAGACUGCACUGACGGAGAAGAUAUUUGCAUGGAUGACCUCAUUAAAGGCCAGAUCAAUGAUGUCUGCCGGAAACUCCUAGACAAAACUAUAACCUUCUAUGACCUUGACCGUGUAUCCAUGUUGGCCUUCUUUUCAUUUAUCUACAACAUGGGCGUGUAGAACUUGAAGAUCAAUCAGAGAGUCCGGUAUAAGCAGUUCCCUAGGCUUAUACAUAUUCUUUUUCCGCCCUUUGUGGAUGACAACAUGCAUAGGUGGUUUGUGUGCCGAUGAUCCGCAACUGUCACGUGCAUUCUUCUCCCCUGAAUGCGGAAUAUCUGGCACUACGUCUCUGAUGUUGGCAUAUCUGUGGGGAACAUCCUCUAUAUCAUUUAUCGGCCAGUUAAGCAGGUGGCUCUAGGUCACUUGCCCUAACAUUGUGAUGCCCUCUUCAGGGGGAUGUGGCAACGACCAAUAUUCAAGGCCCGUCACUACCUCCUACAUCUGCACCCUCGUCAUGUCAAGUGCCGGGAUGACCCUGUGCAUCAUUCUGCUACCAUUGGUAAAUGGGGUGAUUUGCCCCUUGGCAACCUUGUCUUUACCCCACCGACGUUGGCUUGUGGUCAACAUGGAAUAAAGUGGGAUGCUCGUGGCUGUUAGGUGAUCCUAGGUGUAUGCUGCAGGGUAGGACUUGGCAUGUUGUGCGGAAACAUUUCUGCUAACCUCUUCUUGAGUGUUGCGUCUAUUACUGCAUCUAAGUUAGUUUUGAUUAUGUCUAGGUGUAUCCUUCUGUAAUUUUUUAGUUCUUUGGUUUCGGGGUAGGCGUCGUCCUACCACAUCUUACCCAUGCCCAAUACAUGCCUAGUCUUGGUCUUCCUGUUAGGCCCAAAACCCUCGUUCAUUGUCCGGGUAAGAGGGUCAUCAUACCUAUUGCUGUAGGGAGAUUCAUGAGGGCGAGGUCCAAAUUCCUACUUUAUUUUUCUCCACAAAAAAUACAUGUGUUUUGGUAAACGAUUAUUAAAUUACGUAAAAAUAAGUUGUGGGGACUAAAUUAUUAGUGGUGAUUGAUGUUACCAAGUUCUCCUCUGUCGAGCAAAGUUUCUGCGUCGGGAGGACCAACUCCUUACUGUCUGUGUCUUGCACUGCACGGGCCCAUAGAAAACAGAAGUCAUGAGCAGGAUCGCAAUUUUCCGAGAACGGAGGCGGUUUACCUGCGGCUAUAAAGUCUGCGGCCUCCUUCUCCCACUUUGGUAUAGCAGCUUUGUAACCACCAGGGCCCAAACGGUGGUUACCUAGCAGAUUUUUUGGUAAAUUUCGAAAAUGGAAAUGAAUCGAUAUUUGGUCAAAAUAGUGACACUCAUAUUAAGUACUGCAAAUCAACACACAAAUUUGUGGCUGUGCAAUCGAACUCCACAAAUAAUGCUUGUAAACAACAGUUAUGAAAAAACAUAAAAUACAAUACCUCCACCGAAAAUUUCGGCAUGAGCUUUGCUAAAAGUAUGGCAUAUUGAGUAUCAGGAAUUUGCGAAAUGGAAAUGACUCAUUGUUUCGUCAAAACAUUGGCACUCAUAUUAAGUCCUGCAAAUCAAACACAACCAUCUGAUUUGUACAUCGAAUGACACCAAACCACAUGUUUGUAACAGGUACAUCUAAGAACAUCUAAGAUCUAACUCCUCUAUAUGGCAUUUCAUGAACACGUUACAAUUCUGUACAGUAGUGGUAUAUUAUGGAUGUGAAAAAUACCUUUUGACAGGUUUGGAGAAGAGCUUGCGAAGCCGGCGACGGUGUUGGAGGAGAUGGGGUUCGUUACGACAGCCGCGAGGGUCGAGAGGUGCCAAUGCAUGGUGGCGAGCCAUGAAAGCUGUAAGAAUAUACAGAAAAGGUGAUAGAUGGUCCCCCGGGUGCAGCCCUUUGGAACUUUGAAAAUAAAGGCCCUCACAGUUGUUAAGCUUGAUACUAACCAUGUAGUUGUACAAGACUUGUUUAAGCCAACCACACAAGGUAGUAUUGAACCCUCUCAACUUAUGGCAUUCCAAUAGGACGUCCCAAUUGCCCUUGUCAUACGACUUUCUCAAAAUCAAGUUUAAUCACUACCCGAACUCUCUUCUUGACAUGAGUAUAAUUAAGUAACUCAUGAAGAGACAACACCCUGUCCAUAAUAUUUCUGCCUUUAACAAAGGCAUUUUGGGUGGGGCUAAUGAGUUUCUCAGCAUAUUUCUCUACUCUUCGGUCCACUACUUUGGUGUUGAGCUUGUAGGGACCCCAAGGAGGCAAAUAGGCCAAAAUUGUUGCAUAUGGUCAAGACCAGAGACAAUGGGUAGGAGCUUAAUAACCAUGUAACUCGGAUGUUGGACAUCCAAAGUACAUUUAUGAAAAGUACCAAACAACUGCAUGAUUUCAUGCUUGACAGUAUCCUUACAACAUUGAUAACAUUCUACAAGGAUAUUGAGGGGCCCAGGAACCUUAUUAACAUCCAUGGCAAACAAAUCAUCCUUUCGUUUUUAGUAAACUCGUGAGUUAAGUCAGCAUUUGUCGUCAAGGUUAAGCUUUUCAUCGGUCCUCCAAGUAUCAGGGUCAAUAUGAAAUUGAUUUCCGAUGGCUGGACCAAACAAUUAUUUAUAGAAGUUACUGGCAUGUGUAUUAUAUUGACAGUGCCCAGAAUUUCAACCUCCCAAAGAUAGGGUCCUAAAAAGUUCUAGAGCGGGACCUGGACCUCCCUCCCUCCCCCGAUGCCACCCGCGAGGCGUCAGGGAGGUUUCUCGAUCACCGCCGCUGCACCCCCCUCUUCCUCCCUCCUCCACCCUUGCCGCCGCCAAGGGGCGUGGCCAGGCGAAGCCCGGGCAUCGUCUGCGGCGACGGGGCUCAUUCGUCCCCCGCUCGUGGGCUAUGGCGCGGGCUAGAUCUCCCGGCUGGGCACGGCGCUCGAUGCCGGGCAUGGCGGCACGACGGCGCUCGAUGCCGGGCGUGGCGUUCGACGGGCGGCGUGCGCCAUGGUGGUGAUGUGGGCCAGUGGUGGCGUUGGCGGCGGUGCUUCCGGCAGCGCGCUUUGGUGCCGCGUCCGGUGCGCGGGUCGCGGGCGACCCUCUCGCCAUGGUGCUCUGGUGGGGGGGCAGCAGAGGUGGUGGGCUGCUCCCACCCAGUCGGGCCAUCGCGGCUGGGUGGCGGCACUCGGCUCGGGUGGAUCCCCUCGUGGCUUCUUCAGGCAGCGGCGGCGACAGCUCAGUAACCCUCCCUCUCCGGCUUCUAGAGACGGACGAUGCCUCCUGAUGUUCUGGGCCUUCGAAGCAGGGGCGGAACACAGUUCCGGGGGGAAGUUGGAGCUGACACAGGUGUCGGUCAUGGCAAUGGGAAACUUCUCCGCCUUCCCCUUCCCCUGGUCGAUGUUGUCGCGGACCUUCUCGAGGGAGCUUUGCCAGCGGCGGUUUGGUGGUUGGGGUCGUGAAUCUUGACAAAGUCGUGGACAUUGGUGGCUUCGACGUGGUCUCAUGGCGGGGCGGCGGCCCUGGUGGUGGGAGUCGCAUUGGUCGUGGGCGGAUUGCACGGAAUGCGGGCAGGCUACUAUGGCCGCUCGGGCGGCAUGGCUGUGGGUGUUGGCGGACCGGGGUGGCGGCGGGGGAGCUGAAGCACCGGGGUACAUCACCUACCCAGUACCGAUCUGGUCGACGGUGACGGCGUCCGUGGGCAUCAUGUUUCUCCUUGCAGGCUUCGUCGUGGUGCUUCUUCUCCCUUCAUCUUACUCCGGGUGAAAACUUGAUCUUUGGAUCAGAUGGUGGCGAUGUUCUUGCUCGUGCCCUUCCUGGAGGCACCGUCUUGGAGUCCUCGGUCCGGCGUGUCCGUCGCACAUUCUCUCGGAUGAUCGCUCCUUGGUGGUGGUCUCCGUCGGCUCCUAGCGGAUCCUUUUUUUCUCAUCUUUUAGAUGCUUUGUGUCGUUGAGGUUGUGUGUCGGUGCCCGGCAUUCGUGUAUCUUGCCUUGGGUCAGUGUGGUGUGCGUUUUGUAUUGGAUGCUUGAUGUUGUGGUUGUGCUUUAUAAUAUAAAGCGAGGGGAACCCUUUUUCGUAAUUUCAACGUCCCCACACUUGAGAGCAUGGGU